This 101661-nucleotide long non-coding RNA is filed under the name Ananas comosus (pineapple). RNAcentral describes it as "long non-coding RNA (ACOM_LNC002648)". The stretch from base 73177 to 73303 matches the Rfam family "Small nucleolar RNA snoR74". The record is from RNAcentral. Lineage: Eukaryota; Viridiplantae; Streptophyta; Magnoliopsida; Poales; Bromeliaceae.
UCGGACCCCAAAUCUAAUGGCAAAAUCAAUAGGGGAUUUCUUCGGACCCCAAAUCAAAUUGCAAAUCAAGUCUAUACACGAACUUAAACUGCAAAUUAAGUUCAUAUGCGAACCCAAAUUGCAAAACCCAAAAUCAAAAUAAACCCAAAACCAAAAUAAACCGAAACCAAACCAAGUCCACAAAUAAAAUCCAAACCCAUUCCCCAAAUAAAACCAAAACCCAAACCCAAAUCAAACGCAAACCCAACCCAAAUCAAGUCCACAAAUAAAAUCCAAACCCAUUCCCCAAAUAAAACCAAAAACCCAAACCCAAAUCAAACGCAAACCCAACCCAAAUCAAGUCCACAAAUAAAAUCCAAACCCAUUCCCCAAAUAAACCUAAACCCAAACUCAAAUCAAACCAAAACCCAAACCCAAAUAAAAUCCAAACCCACUCCACACAUAAAACUAAAACCCAAACCCAAAUCAAAUCCAAACCAAACCAAACCUAGCCCACAAAUAAACCCACAAAUAAACUCAAACUCGAACCCAAAUAAAUCCAAACCCAAACCAAACCUAGUCCACAAAUAAACCCACAAAUAAAUCCAAACUUGAACCCAAAUAAACCCAAACCUAAAUCAAGUCAAGUUCAAACCCAAACAAAACCCAAAAAUCCAAAUAAAUCCAAACCAAACCAAGUCCACAUACAAAGCCAAACGGCCCAAACCUAACCAAACUAAGUCCAAAUAAACAUCCAACCCAAAACUAAAAUAAACCGAAACCAAACCAAGUCCACAUAAAGAACCCCAAACCCAUUCCAGAAUCAAAUCCAAACCCAAACCAAACCAAGUCCACAUAUAAAACCAAACCUCAUGGACCAAAUCCCAUGAACCAAAAUCAAAUCUCAUGGACCAAAUCUCAUGAACCAAAACCAAAUCUCAUGGACCAAAUCCUAUGAGCCAAAACCAAGUUCAUGGACCAAAUCUCAUGAACCAAAACCAAAUCUCAUGGACCAAAUCCUAUGAGCCAAAACCAAGCUCAUGGACCAAAUCCCAUGAACCAAAACCAAACCUCAUGGACCAAAUCCCAUGAACCAAAACCAAGUUCAUGGACCAAAUCCCAUGAACCAAAACCAAAUCUCAUGGACCAAAUCUCAUAAACCAAUACCCAUAGCCCAUAAACCAAUACCCAAAUCCCAUGAACCAAUACCCAGAUCUCAUACCCAUAUCUCAUGAACCAAUUAGACUCUAAUACAUAGAGUUUAAUAUCGAUCAGGUCUUAACACAUAUACUUAGGGCCUAAUCAACCUCAAAUCUAACUGAAUCCUAAUACAUAUACUUAGGAUUCAAUAAACUGAGACGCGAUUCAUCUCAUCCCAUCUAUAAAGGUCUCCUAAUCGAAGGUACCCCAAUCUACAGGGGGUAAUUAACAAUAGAUGCUUGCAUCUAUUGGAAGUCAUGGACCCGCAAAACCUGAUACACUUAUAUAUAUAAAUAUCAAUCUGAAUCAUGAAUACUACCCCACGGCCCCGAAAAUUUCAUCAACCGUGCGAGGUGCGUCAUUCGUGGUGGCAAACAGUGGGUAUCACUGGAAUGAACUGUGAGAAAUAUUAGUGGGGAGCAGUGGUUUUAAUUAUUGUUAUCAGAAAAUUCCAAGGAUGGGUUACAUAAAUUAUGAAGCAAUCACCAAAAAUAUUUUAGUUGAAUAUUUUAAGUGAUUGUAAUUUUGACGUGACCCUUUUUUUAAAAAAAUAGAAACCAAACAGUAAUGGACUCUUUUUAACUUUCUCGCAGUUUAACCUACCCAUGAUUAAUUUCUAAUAUAUUUUCCUGAUUGUAGCUAGCCUUAAUUACAAAUUACUAUCAAAACACAGAAUUAUUUUCUUCGAAUAAUGUUGUUUAACUUUGUGAAGUGUUUGUAAGUGUUUGGAAAUGGUUAAAAUAACUGUAUAAAAUAGAUGUGGAAAUAAUAUUUAACUUUGUGAAGUUACUAAUAAAAACCAUUUUAAUUUUCUCCCUUAAAAGUAUACAUUAACUGAACAUCACUCUUUUCCCCUGCUUUAAAAUAACUAAAUAUCACGACAAAGAAUAAAACUACAAAUGAAGUUAUAAAGAUAAAAAAAAAAAAAAACUGAACAUCACUCUUUUCCCCUGCUUUAAAAUAACUAAAUAUCACGACAAAGAAUAAAACUACAAAUGAAGUUAUAAAGAUAAAAAAAAAAAAAAACUGAACAUCACUCUUUUCCCCUGCUUUAAAAUAACUAAAUAUCACGACAAAGAAUAAAACUACAAAUGAAGUUAUAAAGAUAAAAAAAAAAAAAAACUGAACAUCACUCUUUUCCCCUGCUUUAAAAUAACUAAAUAUCACGACAAAGAAUAAAACUACAAAUGAAGUUAUAAAGAUAAAAAAAAAAAAAAACUGAACAUCACUCUUUUCCCCUGCUUUAAAAUAACUAAAUAUCACGACAAAGAAUAAAACUACAAAUGAAGUUAUAAAGAUAAAAAAAAAAAAAAACCAAUAAUAAUAACACUUUGAAAUAACAUUUUUUUUUUUUUUCGCUUUCUCUAUCUCUUCUCUCUUGUUUUCAAUGAAUCAUGCAUAGUGAAUUCUCAAUGAAUACAAAUCCCCGGAAGUCGCCAAGUGAACUCUCCCUUCAUCUUCUCCUCGAUCGGCAGCGCGGUAUAGUUUCUCCAGUCGUCGAGAAGCCCUCUAAGAUCAUGGAGCUUUGCGCCGAGACCGACGCAACAAUUCGCAUGCAAUGUGCAUAUCUUGCUCAGAUCCUUGUUAAGAUUACAAAAUCCUCCGCAUACAGCAGUGUCUAUGAAUUGUAUUUUCACUCCGUAUUUCGCCGAAAAUUCGUGCUUGAUCUGGUUAAACACCCACUGCUCAUGUGCACCAGUCCAAUUCACCCUUGCAAGGUACCAAUUUUGGUAGAAAUCGAUUGUCCUUUGACAUGAUUUCACAUAGAGGAAUCCUCCAUUAGGGAAGUUGUUAAGAUCGUCGGGAUUUCCGUAAUACGCAUCGCUCGAAAUCGUUAUGUGCGCGAAUAACGAGAUGUGGCGCAAGGGGUUUCGGAACCAUAGGAUAUCCACAUCCUGCGAAAUAGAUUUGAUCUUAGCAAAGAAGUUCAGAAACAAAAUAAAAAAGUUUCAAAUUAGAUCUUCUACUUACGGGAUCUGAAACGUACCGUGAAAAGAAAAUUGUAUCUCAACUCAAGAAUCUUUUGCUGGAGCCUGUUCCUGCUCCACAUCAUCUCAAGAUAAUCUUUGGUCAUGAACAGCUUCUCCUCAGCCGAGCUAGUGUUGCUCACUUUGUAGAAAUAGCAAAAUGGGUGCAAGGAUUUGCACCUUUCAUAUGCUUUUAGAUCAAUAGCCACAAUGACAAGAUGGUUUAGCAGGUACUCAAUGUCCUCGCCGGCGCGAAAGCUCUCGAAGAAGAGGUCGAGGAGGGAGUCCGGCGCCGCCCACGCCUCGUUGAUCCAUGUCAUUAUCACCGUGUCGUUGUCCAUCGCCGCGGCUUUUAGUAGAUCCGAUAAAUCUUCGAAUUUCUCUUUCUGCUCAGCGCAAAAAAUAAGAAAAAAAAAUUGUACACUUUGAAUUGUUAAAAAAAAAAGAUUCUUUCCUACAUUGUUUUCUAAUAUUCUAAUAUAGAUCUUAUUACAACUUUAAGUGGUGUUUAAAGAGUAAUUAAAACCUAUGAUUACACAACACUUAUAUAUAUGUACCUCUUUAACAGAAGCUGUGUUAGCUUUACUUGUAUCUUGUAAUGAAGUGAUCUGAGUUCCAUUGGUCGAAUCCAACAUCUCCAUUGAACUAGAACUCGUUGUUGGGUUCGAAGAGAGGUAGAAUAUUAUGAACACGACGGCCGCGGCUGCGCCGAGGAGUAGAGAAGUGAGAGGUUGGAGGAGGUUGUUGUUGUUCUUGUUACUCAUGGUCAUCUUUGUUACAUACACAAAAAAGAGAAAGAGUGGGGGGAAUUGAGAGGUAUUUUAUAAGGUAAUGGAGUUUUUAUUUUGUUUAAUUUUUUGUUUUUGGUCAUGAAAUUAAUGGUGGUGAUUAAUUAAGAAAAUUAACCACCAAGUUAGUCCACUAAUCCCAUGUGGGUGUUGGUUGGGGGCGUAAUAAGUUGCUUAAAUUGUCAACUCUAUGGUUUAUUACAAGAGCACUAAAAUUACUGAACAUGUUCAUGAGAUAUUAAUUAAACUACUUGGUUUAUUCCAAAAGUAGGGCAAAUAGAAUGUAUGAUUAUUUUGGCUCAGUAAAAGUAAAUUGCUCUUUAAUCUUUUUUUAAAAAAAACUUAAACUGAUUGGUGGAAAAUUAUUUUUAUUAUAGAUGGAGAAUUUUAUUUUCAUUAUAUGUAGAUCAGAGUUCUAAUAUAUAUAUCAAACUAAUAUUCCAGUAACGUAUAUAAUGAUAAACAAAUUUUUUUUUAAAAAAGAAGGAAAAACAAAUUGAAUUAUCAGAUUCUCCAAUGGUAUGUGAUAACAAAUAACAAUUACUGGGUAUAGUAAAUAAAUUUUUUGUAUUCUAAUUAUAUAAAAUAAUUUAAUUAAGUCUCUGAUUCCCAGUUGUUUAAUUGUUGCAUCCCAUAACUCUGAGCCAACAACGUGCGAGGCAUCUAGCAAUUAAUCUAAUAUUUAUUUAUAAAAAAUUAUUUUAUUUACUUUUUUUAAUUUAAAAAAUUAAACACUUGUAAAUGACAUGAACAUGCCUUGGAAUUAAUACAUAGUAGAGAAAGAAAAGGGGGAGGGUGAAUUAAUUAUUUUUUGCUUCUCAUUAAUUUUACUUAAUUAUUUUAUUGUAACUGUGUGAGAGGUGAUAUUUAGAUCCUGUAUAGUGAUGUGAUGUGUCAACUGCUUUAUUUUACAUCAAAUAUUUAAGAAGCAUUUGUAGCUUCAGAUAAAAAAUUAUAUUUUUGUAAUAUAUAUAUUUAUUAAAUCAUAUCACAUAUUAUGUGCACAUGUUAGUGAACUAUGAGUAUGUUUGACCACACCUUAAUUUGGGAAAUUUUUUUUUAAAAAAACUUAUUUCUUCAUAUGUAAUCAGAAAUUUAAUAUACAUCAUCAUCCUCUAGCAGCUUAUAUAUUUAGCAAUAUACUACUUGUUAGUUAAUUUCACAAGAAAUUUGAUACUUCUAUAGAAUAUUUAGAGAUAACAACUUAAAAAAAUUUGAUAUCUCACCUUAAACAUCUACUUAGCUUGAUAAAAUGAUUUACAAUUACAUUGUGAAUGAACUGGGUAAGUUCCAAGUUUUGUUAGAAGAAUUUUUAUUCCUUACUCUUCUCCACAUGUAGUCAUGUAGAUGAUUUUGACCCAAACCAAAAUAUUUAAUCAAGCAUGAGAUUUUUUAUGCAAGUUGGUCUCAUUGUAGUGACAUUUACCUUCCAACUACAGCUACAGCACUCCUAUAUAUUCUUCCAAAGUAGAGAAUGCACAAUAAAUUAACAACUACUGGCCUAGUCAAGUGAGUAUUACUCGGAUUGUCGUUCUCGAGGUUCAGGUUCGAUUCCUACUUAUACUUUCACAAAAUAGAGGCUUGUGCCUAUGAACAUGAUUGCAUUGAGAAGUUUUUGAAUGAGAUCUUGUUGAAAUAGUUUGGUGAGUUGUAUGAUUUAUCCUACAAUCAGUUCUGAUCCGAAAGUUUUCCACAAAAUUCAACAUUGUAUCGGAAUUUGGAGAAUUAGGGGCUCAUCACUUAAGUUUUUCUUUCUGAGAAGUUUUUGAGAAGUUUUUGAAUGAGAUCUUAUUGAAAUAGUUUGAUGAGUUGUAUGAUUUAUCCUGCAAUCUGUUCUGGUUCGAAAGUUUUUCACAAAAUUCAACACCGUAUCGAAAUUUCGAUGGUAGAUUUAGAGGAGGCCAAAUAUGGGAGAAUUAAUUAAUUAGGGGCUCAUCACUUGAGUUUUUCCUUGUGCCCUGAGCUUCUUAAUAUUUAUAAAAUUGAACAUUAUAUUCAAGGAUAAUAUUUCAUUUCUUACAAGUCGAAUUUCAACACACCUCUUAUCAACAAUGCACAAAGAAAUUUAUUCCUCCUAAAAAGAAAACAAAUCAAUUUCAACUAUUGUUUUCUCUUUUUUUGUGUUUUUUAAUGUUUGAUAAUAAUUGUUGGCAACCCUAGCUAGUAACAAGUUCACAGUGUAACAUAUUCUCAGUGAAGACAUAUACCAGCUCUCCAAGUAAAUUGCCCCCUCCUCUUCUCCUCAUCAGUAGUUAAAGCUUUGUACACCUUCCAAUCAUCAAGAACACUUCGCAAAUCGUGAAGCUUCGCUUGGAGACCGACGCAGCAAUUCGCGUGCAUGGUGUAGAUCGUGUCGAGGCCUUUCGUGUGGUUGCAGAAUCCGCCGAAAUUGGCUGGAUCCAAAUACUGUAUGUUCACUCGGAAUCGGUCUGCUAGUUCGAACUUGAUCUGGUUGAACACGAAUUGCUCGUGGUUGCCGGGAAACUUCUCUCUCGAUUCGUGCCAGUACUCGAACAGUUCGAUGUUCUUUUUGUAGGACUUUACGAAUAGAAAUCCAGUAUUGGGGAAGUUUAUUGGACUGUUGGGAUCACCGAAGUAGAAAUCGCAUGAGGUCGAUAUGUGCGCAGCAGCAGACAUCUUCUCAAAAGGAUUUCGAAGCCAUACGAUGUCUACAUCCUGUCACCAUGAUUGAUGAUCAUGCUAGAAAAAAUUAAUGUGAUCUAUAAUUAAUUAAUAACAUAAUUAUGCAUCCCUACAGAGGCUAAAAGAUCUUUGAUUUUAACCUUUAUAUAUAUAUAUAUAGAGCAGGGCUGCUGUGCUCUCAGGAGCACGGAGGCCUCCGUGCUCCUGAGCCGUUUUCGAUGAUGGAAUUUUCGAAUCGACGAUCGGCUCCGUUAGACUUGAUCUAGCGCAUUUGAAGUUUCUAGAAAAUAAUUUUUGCGAUUUUUCGAUAUCAUUUACCUAGUGAUCGAAAGGAUUCAAAAUCUAUAAUUUUUAAUAGUUGAUAUCUGCCAUUUUCAAGUUUAACGGUGUAGAAGUAUUCAAAUCAGAUGAAAUUUUGAUAGAAAAUUCUUUAUACUAUCUACAACAAGAUCUAUAUUUCUGAUCGAAAAUUUUAGUGCUAUAUCACCACUUUUUAUAGGAUUUUUAUUUUCAGCCGUUAAAAAUUAUUGAUUUUGAAUCCUUUCGAUUGUUAGGUAAAUGAUAUCGAAAAAUCGCAAAAAUUAUUUUCUAGAAACUUUAAAUACGCUAGAUCAAGUUUAACGGAGCCGAUCGUCGAUUCGAAAACUCCAUCAUCGAAAACAGCUCAGGAGCACGAAGGCCUCCGUGCUCCUGAGAGCACAGCAGCCCUGCUCUAUAUAUAUAUAUUAGUAUACUUGGUAUAUUUCAAUGUAUCUCAACUGUAGAAGAUGUAUCCUAAUGCUCAAGAACAUGUGUACUUUUGCCUACAUGUAUUGUCAAAAUUUUUAAAGAUUUUUGUUUCAUAAAAUAAAUCCUAUCAUUCAAAAGUAUAUUUUGUCCACUUUUUUGGUUGAAAAAGUAAUUUUGAAUCUCCUGCAUUGUAGAUGAAAAAAGAAAAAUGUUGUUACUAUUUACAAGUAAAUAAAUUUGGGUUGAUGAACCAAAAUGCACGAUUUUUAUUUAGUCCUUGUUUGGCGUAGCUUUUGACGACCAAAACGCACGAUUUUUAUUUUUUUUCUCGGUUUGAAAAUGUACGGUACGUUUUUGAAAUCGGUGAAAAGUGAUAUAUAUUGGCCUAACAAGCUUAUAAUCUCGAAAAGGCCUACUGAAAUUUUAGGCAUUUAGUGAAGAAUAAUAAUACAAACCGUGAAAAGGAAGUUGUAUCCAAGCUCGAGUAUGUGUUGCUGUAGUUUGACUUUGCUCCAUACCAAAUCAAGGUAGUCCUUUGACAUGUACACUUUCUCCUCAUCAAACUUAGCACCUUCUACGUACAGGAAAUAGCAAUGAGAGUGUACAGCUUUGCACCUUUCGAAUGCCUUUUUAUCCAAUGUAACUACGAUUAGAUGAUUCAAAAGAUGCUCGAUGUUGUCGCCAAUCCGAAAGCUCUCAAGGAAGAGGUCGAGGAGAGAGUUUGGCGCUGCCCACGCUUUGUUCACCGAGGUGAUGAUCACGGUGCGAUCUUCGGUAGCCGCUCUUUGCAGAAGCUUGAGCAAGUCCUGGUUAUUUUCCUGCAAUUGGAACAAGUAGGAAUUUAGCUAGGAUAUAAUGGACCUGAUUAUUGUCACAUAUUAUAAGUUUUUAAAAAAUAAAAUAUUAGCAUUUCAGUUCUGAAGAUAUAUUUAAAAUCAGGGGCAAAAGUUUCAUACUAAUGUGUUAUUAGUAGUAAAGAAGUGUUAAUUUUACAUUUGAAUUUAUAACCUUUAAUUAAGCUACUUAAGUGGGACUGUUGAGAGACUAAAAUUUGGAAAAUUAACUCCCUUAAAAUUAAGUAUCAUGCAUGAUUUGUUCUCCUUUUACAUAAAAAAAAGUUAUAAUUCACAUUCUCCUUACGUUAAGGCGGUUAUAAAUUACGCAUUGCAUUCUCUAUUGCCUCGGUUAUAAAUUAUGCAAUGCUAGAAUUUUUCUACGCACGAAUAUACAUAAAAUGUGCCGAGCAAAUUAAUGGUACAAAGAGAAUGUACAAGCAAAUAAGGAUUGGCCAAUAAAGCCAGUAACUCUAUUAGCACAAAAUUAACAGUAUAUUAAUCUCUCACUUUGUACUAUGUAUUUGACUUUUCUUUUCUUUUCUUUUUUCUACGUACCGAUCGUUUGAAAUAAUCAAUGUACAUCCAAAGGCCUCUUUGAAAUUUGAUCUUAAUUAGCUUUAAUUUCGUUCUCAUAUAAUUUAAACUAUAACAAUUUGGUCCUUCUAAUUCAAGUUGUAAAACAGUGAAGCCCCUUUUGUAAUUCUACCAUAUCUCAAAAUGUUAUCACAUCAUAUUGUUAUUAUUGUUAAAUGUCACUUUUUCAAAAUUAAGACUCUAAAGGAUGAAGUAGAAAUUCAGAUGAACAAAAAGUGCAAUUAUGAGGAUAAUAUCAAAAUCAAUUCAAACUUUCUAAGGACGAAAUUAAAAUCCGGAUCGAAACUUGUUAGGGAGAGAUAUUAAUUAUGUCAUAUUGUUUCAUCUCAACAAAACUAAUAUUACUACAAGUUUAUAGAGAAAAGGUGCAAAUUUUGCUUCUUAGAAACUACACAAGGUGCAAAUAAAGGAAGUGCAUGUCACAUGCAUAUAUAUAAAUAAUUUACCUGUGCUAUUGGAGCCAACAACAUCUUUGUUUCAUUCUCUGAAGGAGUAGUGGUCUCUUCAAUGGAAACCACCUUUGUUUCAUUCUCUUGAGGAGGAGUUCCACUAGUAAUCUUUGUUGUGUUGAUCUCUUCAUUAGAGACCAUCUUUGUUUCAUUCUCUUCAAAAGGAGGAGGUGUCAACUUAUCAUUAGUUGUUGUUGUUGUUGUUGUAGUGAUCUCUUCAAUAGAAGCCAUGAGAGUUCCAAUAUUGUUGCCUUUUCUUGCAGAUAAUAUGAAGAGUAUGAAAGCUGUGGCAAGUGAUGCACCAACUAGGAAGGAAAUCACAGGUUGAAGGUUCUUGGUAUUGCUCAUCAUCUUUGAUACUCCAAGAGAGAGAGAGAGAGAGAGAGAGAGAGAGAGAGAGACUUGUAAUAUAAGAUUUGGAUCUUCAUAGCAUUAGAAAAGAAAUUAUGGAAGCCAUUUUAGACCCUCUACUUUCAUGACAUCACUGCUAAGACUUUGUCCGCUAAGCCAAUCGUAGACCAUCCUGUCGAUCUUUGUCCAUUCCAUUUUAAUUUUCAAUCCUAACUGCAAAACAAUUUCUGAAGAGAUUAUCUUUUUAACUCUAAGUAAAAUAUGCAGAUCGCAUGGUUAAUUAUUUUGAUAAAAUGGAUGGAGAUGCAUGCGCUGAGUGGUCUAUUGCUGACACGGUGGACAAUAUCCUAACAAUAACUUCUUCAACCGCGUCUUACUUAUUAAUAACUAAAUUUUUUUUAGAGUUGGGUGUGGUUAUAUAUUAUUACUAUUACAUUAAUGAAGAGUUCGAAUUGAAGAUGCAAGGGACUAAUUCAAAUAUCAUUUCAAGGGGACCCCAUUAUGUGAUCAUGUCAUCAUGUGGAUCCUACUAUUCAAAGUCAACUUCAUAUGGUUGGUAAGUGGUAACCCAAGAGAAUAUAUAUAUUUAUUCUCAUCUUCCAAAAAAUAACUAAGAGAGAUGCAAAAAAAGAGAAGAAUCAUCAAUGCUUCCAUGUAAGUCAAUUACUUGUGAUUGGUGCAUAUGAAUCUACAGUAGGAUUCAUAUACAUAUAUAUAUAAUAUACUAUAUAUAAUAAUCUACUUGUUUUCCCUUUGUUUUUUAUUUUUUAAAUACUUGAUGUUUCCCCAUGGAAAGCCCAUGUGGCUAACUCAUAUGAAAUCUUUAGUUCACACUACUUAAUCAUAGUUAUUUUAUAAUAUCUUAAAGUGUCCAAUAGGCCCACAAUUUUCUCAAAAUUUUGUGACUCCCUAGCUAACUAGAGGAAUAAUUAUUUUAUUAAGUACUUAAAAAAUCAUUUUUUCUAAUAAGAACAAUCAAAAGACACUCCACGUAUAGUUAUUAAUGCAUCGUGCACUCAAACUAUUAAUUGUCUCGUCGUAUUAUAAUAAUAUAAUAUAUAUACAGGCAUGUGAAUCUAGAGCAUACGAGAACAUGCUUUGCCCAUUUUUAUAACAUAAUUUGAAAUUGUUCACUCGCGCAACCCUAGUUUGAUAAUACGAUGGUUAAAAAUAUUCCUUUUAUCUUUUUAAACAAAAUUAAGUAGUUUUAAAGCAUUUUCAUUCUUUUUCUUUUUUUGCGCGGUCGUCAUCAUAAUUUUAUAGCAUUAAUAGUGGAAAAUGGUAGAAGCAAAAUUCAAACUGAACCUUAGACUCCGUGUAGAGAAGUGCACAUUAAUGAAACUAUGGGUUUAAGAGAAGUUUUUAACCGCUUGUUUUUAGCUCAAUGAAGACGGUAACGACUUUUUGAUAAAAAUCUUUUCAAAAGUUUUUUUCGUAGCAUAAACUAUCACUUCUCGUUUUGAGAAUUAGAAGCUCAUUUCGGCUUCUGGCUAUAAGAAAAAUCUAAAUUUUAGGAUUUAGAAGCUCUUUUUGUUUUUAGCUAUUGGGAUAUUUUUUGUUCUAGGAGUUUUUAGCCGUUGGAUGAAAGGAUAUGCAGUUAAGAUGAUAACGAUCUCCUAUGGUUAAAUAGGUGGUUAGUUAAAUAAUAUAAUAUAACGGAUGAAAAUGAUCAAAAGGUAGAUCUAACGGCAGAAAACUUAAUAGUACUAAUAGCUUGGUACUAUCGAUAGUAUAAUAGCCGAACUCUAUAUAUAUAUAAUUAUGCUACUAUACUAUUGAUAGUAUUAAGCGCUUGGUGCUAUCGAAUUUUUAGCUGUUAGAUAAAAGGAUAUGCAGUUAAGAUGAUAGUGAUCCUCUAAGGUUGAGUAGAUGGUUGGUUGGAUAGUAUAAUCUAAUGGGUGGAAAUGAUCAAAAGGUAAAUCUAACGGUAGAAAAUUCAAUAGUAUCAUGAGUUUGGUACUAUCGAUAGUAUAGUAGCCGGACUUUAUAUAUAUAUAUAUUAUAUUUAUAUAUAUAUAAAAGGAAUAUCAAAAAAAAAAAACCAAAAAAAAGGAAGUUUAGGGGUGUUCGUUAAAAAUGGAAAUCGUUGAGGGGUGUGGUUGUAAAUUUUCUGGGCUAAUGGGCUACUAUGAGCCCACUUUACAUUGGGCUAUACUUAAAACUACGGCCCAGAUCAACUUUUGCAUCCAACAAUUUUACUACAGAGGUGCGGCCCAUAAGCUUCUUUUGCGGUCCAUGACGUGGUGGCUUAAAUUGAGGCCCAUGACUAGAAAAAUUGCAUGGACCUGAUCUACCAUGGACCACACAUAAAAAACUCUACUCACAUUUAUCAAAUUUUAUCAAAUUUUUAAAAUCCUGUCGCUGUGUUCAACUUAGCGGGUUAUCGGAUUCAUUCCCACGUCACAUACUCGUAUGUUUAGGUAACGAAACCUCACCACACGAACGAACGCCUUGAAAUAACUCAGCGGUGUUGGUACGUGGGCCCCACCUCUCGUGUUCAUGCUGUUAUUUGGUAGUUCAACUUAUCGGUCCAAUUGUUAGGUCCCAAUUGAGAUUUGAAUUUGAAUACAACAUUAAACAAAGGUGUUUCUAUGGGGAUCGAAUAGCAUAUUUGAGAAAGUAGAAGGACCAUCCGUGAAAAUUGCCUUCUUCGUUCUGCGGCAUUUCCCCGAACUCAAAUAAAUGCACGCGGUGAACUCCCCGUGAGUCAUUUUGAAUCCAAAAACUAGGGCUCGCCGCGGCCCUCCAUUCCGUUCGGAUUCACCGCUAGGGUUUUGAAGAGAAACCCUAGCGCGAUCUAAAUCCAAUCCCAACCUCUCGAUCUCCAUCUCGAUCUCUUUCCAUGGCGGACGAAGCAGCGGCGGCAGCGGCGGCGGCGGCGGCGGCCGCGGGAGGAUCGUCUUCCUCGGCGGCGGCGGUGGUGGGGAUCACGGUAAUCCCGAUCGUGAACAAGCUCCAGGACAUCUUCGCGCAGCUGGGGAGCUCGUCGACGAUCGACCUACCCCAGGUGGCGGUGGUGGGGAGCCAGAGCAGCGGCAAGUCCAGUGUGCUCGAGGCGCUCGUCGGCCGCGACUUCCUCCCCCGUGGCUCCGACAUCUGCACGCGCCGCCCCCUCGUGCUCCAGCUCGUCCACUCCCCGCGGCGCCCCGAUGCUUCGGCCGGGGAGGGGGACGAGUGGGGGGAGUUCUUACAUAUCCCCGGAAGGAGGUUCUACGACUUCGGAGAGAUCCGCAGGGAGAUCCAGGUGAAUUUCUAGGCUUUGCGAAGGUUUUUUCGUCUAAUUUUCGUGAUGGAAAGGCCUUGUUAUCUCUCUCUGUUAAAUCACUCGCUCAUGGGAACCAAAAUGAAAAUGCUUUAUAUCGAUUAAAUACUGAAACAUGGUUGGGAUUUGUGCAGUUUUCAGUGAAAUAAUAUUCGCGGUCACUUGAUUUUUAUCGUUGCAAGGUAGUAGGAUCGAAUACAGCCCUUGCAUGAGUCCCACAUUGUAGAAAUGUAUAAUGUUGUUUUAGGCAAAAUGCUAUAUGCCACCCUCUUUAUUGCCCGAUUCUUCUAAUUUACAAUGUGAUAAUGACUUCUUGUUGCUGAACAUUAUUAAGAUUACGCAACUAGAUCCUUAUUCGUAGCACAUUUGACAAGCUACAUGAUUUUCACGUGCUUAAUUUCAAUGGCAUCAAACUAAGAGAGGUGAAAUGUUAGUUCGGACAAUCGGAAGUAAAGCUGAAUCAAACUUUGUGAUAGAAGUAUCUGAAUUUUUCCCCAAUUUUUGCUGACUGUAGAAGAGGAUUGUAGAAGCUUGUUUUCCUUGUGUUGAUAAGUAUUGACAGGUUGGUCCGUUACAUUACUAAAGAUCUUUCUUUUCCUGUGAUUUUAUGCUAUUGACUUUUUACUAGUAGGUGAACUUCUAUUUGAAAAAGCUCUUAUUUAGACGCUAUUCUGCAGUUGCCUGAUCAAAAUAUUUUUUUCAGAACUCUCAAAUUGUUGUUUCACAAAUGCAGGCUGAGACAGAUAGGGAAGCGGGAGGAAAUAAGGGUAUAUCAGACAAACAAAUCCGCUUGAAGAUUUUUUCUCCAAAUGUUCUGAAUAUCACAUUGGUUGAUCUGCCGGGAAUAACCAAAGUGCCGGUCGGUGACCAACCAAGCGACAUUGAGGCAAGAAUUAGAACACUGAUCUUGUCAUACAUCAAGCACAAGACUUGCAUCAUAUUAGCAGUUUCACCUGCAAAUGCAGAUUUAGCAAAUUCCGAUGCUCUUCAGAUGGCAAGAGUUGCCGAUCCAGAUGGUAAGUAUGCAAAAUGCAACAUAAUCUUAGUGCAUAUAGAGUUAGAGUGUACAUCUAUACCUUUAUGAUUUAACUAUCAUCUGGAUAUAAGAUAUCCUAUUAUGUCAACUUUUGUAACAGAAUCUGGUUGCUCUUGCAGGCUCUCGAACAAUUGGGGUUAUCACGAAGGUUUUAUCUGUGGCUUGAAAUGCUAAAUUCUAGGUUUAUCGUACUUAUUUACUAUACACUAAAUUUUAUCUAUGGCCGCAGUUGGAUAUAAUGGACAGAGGGACUGAUGCACGUGACUUUUUGCUGGGAAAAGUGAUCCCCUUACGACUUGGUUAUGUUGGUGUUGUGAAUCGCAGCCAACAGGUACUCCCUUUUUGCCGAGUAGAAAUAUUCUAAUUUCUGCAUUUCUUCUUCUUCCACUCUCUCUCUCGCUUGCAUGUGCAUGCGUCUUCCCCCCCACCACAAAAAGAUCAUGCAUCGAUUGUACAUAUGAAUGUACCCUUGCCCCCUUUCUACCCGAAACUUUGAAAGAUAUAGAAGUUAUGAUGAUGAUAUGCGUCCUGCAUCUGAAGUGUUGUGCGACAAGAAACUGAAAUUUUAAUAAGUUCAUCGUAUGAGGACGAGUCUUUUCUUCUUCUCAUUUAUUCUUCUUUACUUAAUGUUGUCUUAUGCAGGACAUCAACUUAAAUCGUAGUAUCAAGGACGCUCUGGCCUAUGAAGAGAACUUCUUCCGGAAUCAGCCUGUAUCAUCUCCUUUCUCUAGAAUGCAUUCCUUUUUCCUAAUAUAUUAAUUACUUAGAAGAGUAUAUGAUGUGUUUUUGCUCUUUAUAGGUAUAUCACGGUCUCUCUCAUUGUUGUGGGGUUCCCCAAUUAGCCAAGAAAUUAAACCAGGUAAGUGCCUUGAAUUUAAUUUAAUUGUCAGGCCUACCUGUUUUCAAUUAUCUGAAGGACCUGGAGUAUUCUGGAACCUUUAUGGGAGUGUCCAAAUUUAUUUCUGAUCUGCUAUUGGAUUUUGCUCUUGCCAUCCCUUACAAAAUAUAUUACUUUCUAGCCAAAACAUUAAUGCUUUUGUUAUUUCUAUGCUGAGCGUGUUGAUACUAUUUCUAUUUGCAGAUUUUGGUGCAACAUAUUAGGACAGUUCUUCCUGGUUUGAAGUCUCGUAUAAGCGCUCAAUUGACAUCUGUAGCGAAGGAGCUUGCUGCCUAUGGUGAUGUAGUGGAAUCAAAGGUUUGUUUGUCUAUAGGGUGCAUUAACUGUAUUACAUGAUACUGUUAGUUGCUUUGGAGGUGUGCCUUUGUUGAUUUCUGUAGGUUGUCUUGCCCUAGUAGACAUCUUAAUUCCAAUAAUCUUGCUUAAAAUAAUGACAGAAGGAACACACUAUGUAUCUUUCAAACAUGGCACUUCUUAAUUUAUUUUGUAAGUUCUUUUCAAAAUAUCAGCUUGUGUGACUAAAGAAAUGGCCAAAUUACUUCAAUUUUUGAAUGCUGAAUAGUUUACUAGUAUUAGCAACUUCAUUCAAUGUAUCUAAAAUGCUCAUUCAUCUGAAUCUAGUGAUCUUGUUCUUAUAUACCGUGCUUUAUAUUGUUACUACUGUUGUAGUUACUGAAAAGAGCUUGAAAAGUUAGGCACCUGAGCUCUGACAUGUAUGUAGGCCGUGGCUUGGUGGUAAUACGAUGAUAACUUGCUCAUUAUUCAUUUCUUUUCUGGAGGCAUUUGUGAUUAUUCAAAUUAUUUUAAGUUAGCAUUAACUUUUUUGCAAGCGGUUUCCACCUAUGUAGUGUCGCUAGUCUCAUCUCUAAAAGAGACUGAUGAAAUAUAAUAGCAUUGCUUCUAGUCUCUCAUAAGCUUUUCCUUUCAUAUUUGGUUGUUCAUUUUGUGUAUUCUAAUUCCAGGCUGGGAUGGGUGCAAAACUCUUGAACAUUCUUGCUAAAUACUGUGAAGGUAUGCUUUAUUUUUAUAUUGUCAUUUAUUGGCUCAGCAGCAUUCUGUGACUAUGUAGCUUAAAUUUCCUCAAAACUCUUGGCUACUAUCCAAUCUGAAAUCUGUUGCACUUAAUCUUUCAUCAUCUUUAUAAACUAUUUGUUUUCCCUUUCUUAAUUUUCCCUCCUAAUUCGUGUAUGGCUUGUUUGACUAUUGCAGCUUUUUCUUCUUUGGUGGAUGGGAAAAAUGAAGAAUUAUCAACAGUCGAGCUUUCCGGUGGAGCACGAAUUCACUAUAUUUUCCAGUCUAUCUUUGUGAAAAGUCUAGAGGCAUGUCUCCUUAUGUUCUAUGCUUCAGUUUCAAGUUCCAGUUUUCAGAUAUGUUAAGCUUCAACUAUUCUUCUUAUUUAUUUCGACAAUUCACUCAAACUAUAUCUAUUCUCUCCAGGAAGUUGAUCCUUGUGAUGACAUCACUGAUGAAGAUAUCCGUAUGGCCAUUCAAAAUGCAACGGGCCCUCGGAGUGCUUUGUUUGUGCCACAGGUAAUGGUCAUUAAUUAGUGUAAUGCAUUUUUAACACAAUAACGAGCUUAAAAUAAAGUUUGUACGCUUAUAUUCUCAACGAAAAUUUUCCUUUUAUGGAUAAAUAAUUAGGUGCCAUUUGAAGUCCUUGUUCGCAAGCAAAUAGGCCGUCUGGUUGACCCGAGCCUGCAAUGUGCAAAAUUCAUUUAUGAUGAACUGAUUAAGGUAUAGACUCUUCCAUUCCAUUUUUGAAUUUUAUUAUGUGAUGGGCCAAAGUAUUCAUAAAGUUUUAUUACUUCUAAAUUUUUUUUGGUAACUUACUGUAGAUGAGUCACCGCUGCUUAGCCAGUGAGCUACAGCAGUUUCCUGUUCUCCGGAGAUGUAUGGAUGACGUAAUUGGUAAAUUCUUAAGAGAAGGACUUCAACCUGCUGAAGCAAUGAUAACUCAUAUUAUUGAGAUGGAGGUAUAAAAUUUGUUCACAUAGUUGUCCAUUGCAUUUGUUGAUGUGCAUUCGUUGACUUGAUAGUUGUCUAUUUUCGACACUGCAUAGUUCCUUCCAAUUUUGGCAUUGUAAUGGUUUUUUAUGUCUUUGCAUUGUUUCUUGUUGAGUGUUUGCUGUACCAGAAUUUGGUGGAAAUGACUGAUAUAGUGUGUUGUGACAAUCAUGUUAAAGCAGCUGGUCUUAUAUAAACUGUUUUGGCUAUACCAAUAGUCAAAAACUAAAAAUAUCUGACAAAACAGAGGGGGACAGGAGACUCCUUGUUUUAGUAUAUAUAUGAAGGUGCUGAAUUUGAGUAUAUCAUCUAUUUUUUAUUUGUUCUGAAGUAACUAUGUGAGUUGAUCUGACAAAUCACUUCUAUCAAGCAUCUAAUCAUGAACAUUUUAAGUUGUGAAUAAGUGGGUGUAAUGGUUGACUACCGUGUUCUUUUUUUGUAUUGCCUAUUUGUUAGUUGCUUUAACAAUUUUUUGGUACAGAUAUGGUUUAAGGUAUUAGGUAUAAGAUGCAAGGGUACUUGGAACGAUAACAUUGGUGCCCUUAAUAACCUCUUUAGGCUAAUAGGUUUGCUGUCUACUUGCUACAGAAGUGAGGGAUAGACACAGAAUAACUUUUGAGUAAUCUGACCACGGAAAUACUCCGCAAUCAAAGGUUUGUUCUUUCGGUUCUUAAAUUUGUUCUGUACAAUUUGCAGAUGGAUUACAUAAAUACUGCUCAUCCAAAUUUCAUUGGGGGAAGUAAGGUUGUUGAGCUGGCUCAACAGCAAGUUAAAUCUGCUAGAUUAUCAGCUACAGUUCCCAAAACAAAGGUAUGGAUUGUGUUUUUCUUUGUUCUGAUGUGUAUCAUGAACUUCCAAUCAGCAAGUGCUUUGGGCUGGAAUUCUUGAAGUAACAGUUAUCCUGAAAAUCAGGUCUAGCCAUGUACAGGAGUUUGAAUGUUUUUGGCAAUAAUUGGUACUGCUGAUAAUGAAAACCUUGAUUUCUGCUCAAUAUUUUUCUAUAAUGGUUAAACUAUUGGUGUACCAGGAACUUCUUACUCGUGUGAUUAAACAUAUGCAUACAUCACGAUAAAUUAUGUGCAUCCACCACUACAUAAUAUGCAACAGCAUGCGAAAUUUGUAUGCAAAAGCACUAAUUGUUAAGUUACAAUGAAUAUAGGAUGGUCCAGACUCUGAUAAGUUACAAGCAUCGGAAAAGAGUCUAAAACCUCGAGCUAUCCUGGGCAGAACCGUCGCAAAUGGAGUAGUUUCUGAUUCGUCUCAGGUUUGUUAUGUUCUUUUUUCCGUAAUUUUGCUGUUAAGAUUUUAUUUAUUUUUUUUAGCAUGCUAAAUGUGCAAUUAUGUGUUGCGUUAAAUCUCUUACACAGUUAUCUCCCGUUUUCUGUCUUCCGAUCAGGUAGUUCGACCUGGUGUUGAUUCUGAGAGAUCAAGCACAUCUGGUAAGAAUGAUGUAGAUUAUAUCUGAAACUAGGAAAGAAACCAGGAGAAUGCUCCAAUGUUUUAUUGUCUGAUUAUGUUUCUGCUAAAUGCUCAAUUAAAAUGUCUAAGGUGUUUUUUUGGGGGAAUGUUGCUAUUUGUUGGGAGUAUUACUAAGGAAAAAAAUAAUUUCUUGUUUAUUUGUUUAUUUAGGGAAAUGUUGCAUUGGAAUUGCGGUAUCAUUUAUUGUUUGAAAUAUUUAAACCAUCUUAUAUUGAAAUACAGUAGGAAGUUCAAAUGGAUCAAGUUGGGGUAUUUCAUCAAUUUUUGGCACUAGUGAGGACCGAACACCUGCAAAAGAGAGUUUCGUGAACAAAUCUUAUAAUCCAUCUUAUAAUCCACCUGUUCACAACAUGGAAUAUCCCCUUUCUAUCAUCCAGUUAAGAGAGGUGAGAUGGUUCUCUGGCAGCUCACCUUGGUUUGCUAUUUUGUGAUCUAAUUCGCUAUUUAACUAAUUAUCAUUGUUGUUCAGCCACCAGUCAUCUUAAAGCCCUCAGAGAGUCAGACUGAGCAGGAGGCGUUGGAAAUAGCUAUCACCAAAUUAUUAUUAAAAUCGUAUUAUGAUAUUGUUAGGAAAAAUAUUGAGGAUUCUGUUCCAAAAGCGAUUAUGCAUUUCCUGGUAAGUGGUCUCACACCAACUAUAAAAAAUUCCUUUUCUCUUUCUUUCCCCUCAUACUUUGUUCAUCAGCUUCUAUUUUCUAUUCGUAUGUCAUGUUCUUAUUCAGUUAAUAUUUGCUUUAUUUCUCUCAUUUGCUUAAGAUGACUUGUACAUCAUUUACUUCUAUGACACUUCUUUGCACACAGUAUAAUUUCUAAAAGAACUUAUGUUUGUAGAGAUUCUUAUAAUUGCGAUAGUUGUUAAUUAAAACAAUAUAUUACUGCUUGACAAAUUUUUGCAUUUUUUUUCCCCAAGCCAUUCAUUUUGGAGCUAUUAUAUCUGAAAGUGCUGUUAGUUGCCAUGUUGUUUAUGGUUGUCCAUUUUCCAGUCCUCUUUAUUGGGAUAGUGUUAUUGAAGCUUGGCAAUCAAACUAAGCCCUAUAGAAACAGCUAGAGCUCAUCUGAUUUUCCGGCUGGGUUAAAGUUUGAAUUAAAUAAGCUCAGGUAGAACAUAGGAAAUAGGCUUGCGUUUGAUUGAGCCUGAAACUAGCUUGGCUCAAUCAUGCUCAGUCAAAUAGGACAACUCCUUUAUAACAACUUGUGAAAUGUAAUAGUAGUUCUUUCCUAUGAGUAUUUCUCACACUCAUGGAUGUGUUUGAGAUAUGGACACUACUGCUGCGUACUUUUCUUUUGCUUUCACUUGUCUCUGAUUCAGGAAUUUAUGGGAUAUUUUACUUGCUAUUAUGUGACAUGAAAAGACAUCUCUUCUCUUGUAGUUUUAAUUGCAUAUAUUGAAAUGGUCUGUUUCAUUUCACUUCCAGGUCAAUCACACAAAAAGAGAGCUGCAUAAUGUUUUUAUUACCACUCUUUACAGGUAUCAUAUUUAUUAUUAUUUGAAACAGGUUAAGUUUCCUUAGAUGUUAAAAGGACUAGCAUCCUUUGUCUCAUGAUUCUCCUAGGGAUUCAACUUUUAUAAAUACACAGCCCCUUUGACAUGUCUUUUUCUAAUUCAGGUUAGUAGGAAGAAAAAGAAAUCCUUUUCUAAUGCUUGCUUUGUAAAUGUAGGGAAAACCUCUUUGAAGAGAUGCUGAAAGAACCCGAUGAAGUAUCUGUGAAAAGGAAACGCAUACGAGAAACACUCAAAGUUUUGCAGCAGGCUUAUAGGGUAGGAAGUUCACUUUUCUAGAAUCAUUACCAUGGAUGUUAGUGCCAGAUUAUCCUUUCUUUGGAAACAACUUCUCUAUUUCGAGAAGCAAAAAGCUUUUCAGAAAUCAGCUGUGGCUAACAAUAAUUUGGAGUUUUUGCUGGUGCAAGAAGCUGAGAUGAGCUUUUUGGUUUCCUAAAGUGGAAAUUCCAAUUUGAAGCUUCUGCUUCUGGUGCAGCAAGAAACUAUAAAAGAGAUUUUAAUGGAAAAGUUGUCGGUGCUUCUUCAACCAGCUUUUUCUCAAACAACACUUUUGUUGAAAUUCCAUAAGAGCAAAUUGAGCCCUCGGUAUUUAUCUCUAAAUAUAUGUUUUCUGUUUUUCCUUUUCCAUGUUUAGACAUUGGAUGAGAUUCCGAUCGAAGCAGAUUCAGUCGAGAAGGGCUAUACGCUGGAGAGUGAUUCCAUGGGCCUCCCAAAGGUCCAUGGGCUUCCUUCAUCAUUCUAUGCCAAUAAUGGUGCAAGCUCGCCAUAUACGGGCUCCCCUAAGAAUCCGAGAUCCAGGAAGUCUGCCCACUCGGGAGAGCAACCUGCGUACUCAUACGUAAAUUCCGAUUCCAAUGGCUUGGGCUCGUACCCUGUUGUUGGCUCUUGAUAUCAUCAAUGUCUGAGUUAAAUGUUCUCACUAGUGCUUCAUGUACAGUAAAUGUAUUACAUUCCUAUUAUUUCAUGACUACUCUCGUUUCUAGUUUUCUUGCGAGAGAAACUUCCCAUUUUGGCGUGAUAAAAAAUGAAAAAGUUAUAUUUUUUUUGCGAGUAUUAUCGCGAAGGACGGUAAGGCUGGGGAUGUGUAGAAGUUCUAUGCUGCAACAUUCCGAUGUUUGCCAUAUUUUUUGUAGUGAAAGACCAUGUAAGCUUUCAUGGUUGUCCAAGAUGAAUGUAAUUCUUUUUGUUUUCAAUCACAAAUAAGAUAAGAUUGCAAUCAUCUAUGCUUCUUGUUGAAUCAGUGAAGCUCCAUUUACCUGCUUGUAAUCUGGUAGACAGGUUGUUUAUUACUGCUCCCGGCCGGCGUUAGUUAUGAUUCAAAGUUGCAUUUGAGUGCAAAAUUUGUUGAUAUAUUUUUCUUUCGAUGUGUAUCGUUAUUAAACUUAGUGGAGACCAGUAAUGAAAUUAUUAUUCUACAUCAAUUAUUUCUUCUUUUGGGGAGCUAAUUUGUUCAAAUUCUUUUGAAAGCCUGGAGGUGAAGAACGUUCUGAUUUAUACAUUCCCUUAGGACUACCACUUUUGUGAGAUUUCACCUGUGUAAUUUAAAAGGGUUUGGUAUAGAGCAUUUCAUAAUCAAACCAAUUUAAAAGGGUUUGGUAACUGAAUUUAACUUAAAAACUCUUCACGAGUGAAAUCAGUUGAAUUCUAUUCAGAUUUGAUUCUAAACAGUGUAAGAGAGAAGAGAAAAAAGAAAUGCUUUUCGCACUAGCGAAAUUCGAAUAGAUACAGCAAAACACAUUGUGCGCAGAUACCAUGCAAGCUAGCGGAAAAGAAUUGAGAGAACCAAAAAAAUGUACAUGAUCUUCCGUUGUUUUACUGCAGUUCCCCAGACAUCAGCUGCAACAUAGAUGCUACAGUUGGUAGUAAAAUCCAUGUCAUUUAGCCUCUCCUCGCUCGUGUGAAGUUGCAGUGCCGAAACAAGUAUGCAACCGCAAUAUUCUUUCCUGGAAUAAUCUGAAACAAAGAAUACUUCAAAAGAUGAAAAAUUAUUCUGCAGUUAAAUCAAUCUGCAUUUGAUGGCAUUUUUUGCAGAAAACAGUUUAAUAUUCUAAUACACGGAUACACGUAUCUAAUCCUCAUGUAAAUCCAAUCACAUUAUUUUAGCCAGUAUAUUAGCUCAUCUAAUAAAAUUUUAACAGGGAAAUACCCAAGUCUUCUGACCAAAGAACAGUUCACUCUUUAUUACUGUUUAACUAGAAAAAUACAUAUAUACUGAUUAAAUCUGAGUAAGAGGAUAUAUCGUUCACUAUUUGCUCCGAAGCAAAGAUGUCGAGAGUACCUUACUCUGAUAUGCCUUCUUCUCUCGGAUUUCUUUGUAUUGAUGAAGGAAAAAACUUGCCAAAUCCAGCAAAUGCACCAUUGAAAAUAGUUGGAUAUCUCCCUUCUCGAGCCAAAGAGAAAACAAAUAAACAAGUAAACCUGCAGCAAAGUGGAAAAGAUACUAUUAAGUAUGAUAAUUCACACACAGUUCUUUCAAUUAAGUCAAACUUACUUGCCUUGCUUAGAAUUCUCCAAUCCUCUCACUUGGCUGUCUUCUUUUUUCCCGAUUUCUUUUUCUUCUGGGCAACACGCGGACCGCGUUUGAACACCGCUAGAACUUCAAUGCUACAAAGAUUUUGCAAUUUUACAAUUUAAUAAGAAUGUAACAGGCAAGCUUAUGUUUCAUGCUUCAAAAACAACGUGUCAUCAUUAUGAAAACAAACAUACUAAAUCUGAAAAGGUCACUACAGAUAUCAAUCAUUCGGUUAAAGAUGGCUAUCAGGUGAAGAAUUAGCAGUGAUGUAAUUUAUCACACCCUCAGAGAUUGGGAAAGUAGAGAGAUGAGAAAUGACAAUGAUCAGAGAGUCAUCCGAAAUAAGACUAACAUAGGACCAACUCUCUAAUGAGCCAGAUAUCAAACCUUUGUAUUAAGCACACGGCUUUGUUUCUGUGAUAGUGUCAAAAAAUAAGAACUAGAAAGCAGUAGGAGAGGUGUUACAUGUAUGCUAGUAAAGGAUCAGCAUACUAACUACCGCCCCCUCCUCAACAAUCCCUCUUAUUACAGAGGACUCAUUUUAAGGCGGUUCUUAUCAACAAACUUCCUGUCCAAAAUUACGAGUCGGUAGUCAUAAAUACCUCUGAGUGCCAGGGAAAAAGUUGAAAGCAUGAGCUUUCUCCAAAUGCCAUGCAUUAUUUGAUAACAAGUUCUUACAAUCCUGUUGAAAGAAUUUUAUAGCCAAAAAUAAGGAAUCCAUCAUUAAUCACCAAACCAUUAAAAGGACAAAAAGGAAUAGAUCAAAAAUAAAGGGUCUGAAAUACCAAGGCAACGAGAUAUAGAUGAGACUCAAAUGUGUUGUAAACAAAAUAUACCUCCUUAAAACUUUCCCAUCCACAACUGAUAUAGAUAAGGGUUGCCGGCCAACUUUGACUAUUUUCCCAGUUGGUUUUGCCAUCAACAUGAAUGGCUGCUUCCCUUGCUCGUAGAAUCCAGGGUCUCUUUUCCUCUUUCUCAUUUAGGAUAGAACUGAACUCAGAAGAAGCUUUAGGAAGUCUAAGCCCUUUAAUUAAUAGCCAUUUUUCUUUAUAAAUUGGUUAUAAUGCAAGAAACACCUUAUAGAUUUAGAAGUUUUCACAUUUCCCCCUAAAAUUUUAAAACGUACAUUUUACCCUGUUGACUCUAUGAGCAAAAAUCCUGUACUCCGAGUGCAUCACUAUAUAGGUUUCAAUAUCUCAGGGUGAAAAGUGAAAACAGCAAUAAGAAUGAGAAAAUACAUUAUGUAUAUGACAAAAAAGGAAUCAUCUUUUUAAAUCCUUAGAAAUAAAAAUGCAUCUAUACCUUUUGGGAGCCUUGGAAGCCUUACUAUAAGACAAAGCAACAUUCCUUAAAGCAUCGACAAGAGAUGGAUGCAAUCCUUUUCUUGGAGGAUCCACAAUAACAACAUCAGACCCCUCAAGCCAGUGAACUGGUUCCUGUAAUCAUAAUUCACAAUUCCCACUUUGAAAACCCAAUUUUCCAAUAGUGAACCAUUAAUUCAAAUAUCCAGUUCUGAAAUUUGACUUCAUACAAUUGAAGCAUCGGUAUUGUGCCAAUUGAUGCUGCAAUCUACGGUUUUGGGCAGACGGCUCACUGACUUCUCAAAAGACGCUUUCGACUCUUUGUUGAUCUCAAUGCAUUUCACAGACCUGAGAAUUUAAAAAAUUAAAAAUAAAAAAUGACAGGCAUUUGAUAUAAGAUAACCCAAAUAGGGUAAAAUUCUUCAAAAUAUAAUGGAAUUAGACCCUAGCACUUGCCUACAUUUCCUUGUGGCUGCUACAGAUAAACCAAUGGCACCAGCCCCUGAAUACAGAUCAACAACAGAUGAUCGGCGAGGGACGUACUUCUGCAAUUUCCUUAGUAAAGAACAAAAAGCCUGCAUAUGUGCAAAUAAAUGAAUCCAAUAGAAACUGCAAAUAGUUCAAUUCUUGCGAACUUCAAUUCCUACAUUUGUGUGGCAUAAGAUACUUAAUGAUUUCACACAAACACAAUAUUAUCUUUCAUUAUUAUUUCUAUUUUCAAGUACUCAUCACUUAACUGAUGAAAUACUUGAUUUUUGCAAUGUAAAUAGGUGGUUAGAUACCUGAGUAUUUGCCUGGCCAAAGCUUGAUGGAUCAAGAGAAACAUCAAUUCCUCCUAUAUGCUCCCAGAAAUCUCUCUCCCCUAUGAGAUGUCUCCAUUUGUUUCCAAAAAUUAUCUGCUCAUACAAUGGAAAACUAUCAUACCUAACAUGGUUAUUAGAUAAUCCAUGAUCUUUUCCCCUUUUUUUGGUUAAAGAUGAUAAGUCUUACUAAAUGAAAAAUAAUUAAAGUCGGCAUCUUGUAUCAUAUUAUAGGCUAUACUGGAAUGUAACCACAAACCAUGAGGUUAACUACGACAUGCUAAAACAAUUAAGCUAAAUUUGGCUUACAUUGCUGCUUGACGUUUGAAAGUUGGCCCAUACAGAAUGAAUCAAAUGGAUGUUACCGUUUGGUCCACCGUUUCUCCAUAAAAACUGUAAGAAAAAUGACAAGACUCUGAUUUAAUACAAAAGUAUGUCAAAAAUGAUUAUAAUUGGAAUAUCCACAGCUGAUUCUAACGCUAGCACUGAUGACUUACAUCAGACAAGGAUUUCAACUUCUCAGAAUUCUGUGCAUGUUCAUUUCUUGAAUUCCAAACCAAGGAAACUUGCACUUUACCUAAAAGGAAAACAAGCAUAUCCUAGCAUUUGAGAGAACCUCUAUGCAAUAUAGAGCUUAUGUAGAAACAGAUUAACACAGAGAGAGAGAGAGAGGGAGAGAGCUUCUGUGUGAACCUUCUCGGUAUCGUUCUGCAGCUGGGAGGGAUGUGUUAUAUGUUGUCACAGCCAUCUGAAGAGUAGGAUUACAGAAUUUAAAAAAAGGCACCUCAACUGAGUUCCUAUUCAGUUCAUUAUAGUCAAACAAAAAACUCAACUCAUUAAUAUGCAUAUAUAAUUUUCAGAUUGGGUUGCUUUUCAAAGAAUACAUAUCUGAAGCCAAUUAUUUCAACCGAAACACUUGUCAAAAAAACAAGCCAGCUGAAUUAGAACCUUCAUGCUUUUGGUGUAAAACCUAAUAUUAAGUGUGGACCUUUAUAGACGUAAGACACUAAUUAAAGAAGACUCAAACAACGCCCAUGUCAUCCUGCGAAGUCUUUACUCCCUUAGUUAAUAAGCAGCUUAAUAAGCAGCUUCAAGUUUAGCAGCUAUAAAAACUAAGCAGAAUAAACUUCCAAUCCAAUCUAGAAAUAUCAAGCCAUCAAGGCCUCCACAAAUAUUCAAUAGUAUAUCUCCAAUUAGAUCGUCAGAUACAGGACACAUUAGAAUGCACAAUUCUAGUGUCACUAAAGUAAUGCUAAAGAUACCUUAAAAUACACCCCAAAAUGCAGCUGAUGAGUCAAAUUUGCACACGUGACAGCUAGUGAUUGAUUUAGCUUUUAAAUUUCAGACAUGAUACCUAAUAUAGAUAUCAAUAUUAAAAAGCUAAAUCAUUCACUAGUUGUCAUAUGUACAAAACUAACUCAUCAACAACAUUAUGGGCUAUAUCAUAAGAUAGUAUUACUUAUAUGAAAAAUUAAUAGAUUCAUCUUCAUCAUGAGGUUUGGAGGGAAUAUUAUAACUUCUGUUGAAGUUCCACCAUCACCAAAAAAUUUUGGAAGUCCAACAAUUAAUUAUAUCCUUGAGUAAACUUUACAAACUAUACCAGUGAAAUACCCAUGUUCGCUAAGAUUUAAAGAAAGAUGUUAGCUACUGGUUUCUCCUAUGUCAGCUCUCGCAUAGAACCAAGUACACUGAUCAUAGUGUAUAGAACUUCUGAUUAGACCAAACUCUGAAUCAAGUGGAACUGUGGAAGACUUUUCAAGUAAACACAAUCAGUCAAAAUCUUAUUACUAGAAUAUACACCUUCCACUGAACAUUUAACUUAAAACAGCUCUUGCACUUCUUUCCGACGGUAUCCUCCAGCAAACCACCAUGGCAAUCAUGCCCCAAGACUUCUUUUAGAGUCCAAAAAUCUAUUCAUUCUUCAAUUGGUGCAUGUGAAACUUGUUAAGAUAAUACUCCCAGCCUUACCUAGUAAGGGUACACUGCUAAAACAAAUAGUAGACACCCUCUUCCACCACCACAUUGUGUAGAAACAGAGUUCCCUUUCAAUGUCUCUUCAACAGAUUGUGUUUUGUUAGAAGGCUCAGAACUCUAUUGUUUAUAGGAAGCUAGUAAUUUGAAAAGCAACCCCAUAAAACCACAGAGCCAAUGAGCUAAUAAUUCUCCAUCAUUAAGAGUUUCGUAACAAGCAUCAUUGCCAAGUUGUUGCACCAGCUGGACACCAAAUUCCCUAGUCUAUAGUAAUAUUAAAACUGUCCAAGCAGAUGAUUGAGCUCAAACUUCUUCUAAACUGUACAUUCUAACUUAGAUGUCUUUUCAUAGAAUUCUUGUAAUAGAAUUUCAAUAUUAAAACUCGCCAAACAUAAGUCCCUUAAUAAGAGAGAGGCCUCCACUUCCACUUGCAUAAUAAAGCGCUAAUAAAAUUCCUUUGGCCCAUCAUUCUUUUUAACCAUCCUAUCUCAGCUCACUUUGACAAUGUCUCCGCAUCCAGUAAAACUUCAUUCUGAUUGUCUGAUUCUACCGAUAACCAUGGAGGCAAUCUAUAAAGAGAUCUAAUAUACAAAGGAAACAGAUAUAACCAAUUUAAGAAGAAUUAAACUUCCAACCAAAGAUGAUAGAGAACUUUCUGACCAGACUAAUUGGGGUCAACUAAUUGGGUUUGAAAAAGGACAUGAAACUGGGAUUCACAAAAGAUUUCACGUACCUCUUCUGAAAUAUAACUUUGAAUAGCCUUUUAUUUCAUUCUUAUGUCAAACGACCAUGCGUCAUUACACGCAACUUACCAUUAUAACUUGUUAACCAAGGAAAUAAAUAAAUAAAUAAAGAUUUGAAUGUAUAUUAUAUAUUAAUGGGUUUCAAAGAGUUUUUGGCUAAAAUUUAGAGCUCAAGGAGCAAAGUGCAGUGACACAAAAAGCACAACGAUGGACAGAUGGAGAUAAAUUUUACCAUCAUUUAAUUGAUAGUCCAAAACAUUAAGCAAUUCACUUAAAUGUGUAGUUGGUGACUAGACUUUUGGGAGACUCUCCACCCAACGAGUGCCCAACCACGCUAACAACCUAGGCAGUCUUUCUCACCUACUAUCUUCAUGACACAAGAAAUAUUAGUUGUCUUAGUUUAGUUAAACCUUUUAGUAACAUAUAAUCAAUAGAUGAGUAUAAAUAGCCACAAUGACAUAAAUAAGAGUGCUAUAGCAAAAGAAUGUAUAAUUACUGAUCAGCUGGAUGUACUAAAGUAAUAAAAAGCAAUAGUGACCUGGACAUAUCUCAAUUCACCGGUACCCAAAUCUUCAUCAAAUGGCUGAAUAUUCAACUUGGAAAUACCUAUGAAAAUUAAAAAUGUCAAAAAAAAAAAAAAAAAAAUCAGAGACCAAUGGAUAUGCAAACAAAAUGCAACAGCUAACUCUUGAGUUAAAAGAGCAUGCCUUGUUUUAGAAGGUCGACUGCAGCAUUGAUGCUUGGAUGAUGUGCUGCAUGAAAGAACAACUCGAUAAAAGAAACAGAUCGCAAGGAGCAAAUUGUGAAAGGUUGCAAGGAAACUAUAUAUCUUAUUGAACUGAUGGCAUGAUAAUGGACAAAAAACCACUUACCAAAACACUCUCAUUAUACAAGUUAUGAUACAAGGAUAACUCUAGCAUCCAAUACAAUAAUUACCACACAUAACAAAUAAAAUAUUGCAAUGACAUAAAUGUUAAUGCAGUUGUUCUCUCUAAAUCAAGACCCUAGCUUUAGGCUGAAGACAAUAGACAGACAAAUCAACUGUACAAAGUAAUUAACGCACCUCUACCUAAAUACUAUCACUAUGGGAGUGAAAUGCUUUAAUUAGAGUACAGACAUACACGCGAGAAAGAGAGAGAGGGAGGGAGGGGGGGCCUUGACAAUUGUCGCAACAUUUUAACUACCAAACAGUUUAUGUAGUGGCAAAAAUAUGAAAAUGUUUUGCUGUCUAACCUCUACAUUGUGGAAUAUCAACAACACUAUGUGUCCCUUCUUGAUAUAGCCCAACCAGCGGGAUCUCUGGCGUUCCGCGUAUAGCAAGCUUUGCGCGACAUCUCCACUCCCACUAGAAGUGCCAUUUAUGGGAAUCAGUAUAUAAGAGAAAGCUGCAUGAAAGUAGCUUACAGCUUUUCCAUAAAAAAAUAAAGCAUAAGAUAUAAAUUAAUAAAAAAACAUUAAAAAGACAUAAUAGUAAAAAUUGUAAAAAAAACAUAUAUGGAGAAAAUAUAAUCAAUAGCUUUUCCAAAUUAAAGUAUAAAACAUCUAACUAUGGCAGAAUACAAAAAAAAAGAGGAACAGUUCUCAUACAUGGACAAUAUAAAGGGUCAGUGGUUCACUAAUAAGCAGAAAGACAAUUAGCCCCUUAACAUGAGGACAUGAAUAAGACAAUGUUAUGGUACUAUCGGUCUCAAGUGAAACUACAAAAUAAACAAAACUUAGUUUUAAGCACCAAAUCUCCAGAACAAAAGCACCGUCAACAACUUUUGAUUAAUUCCACAACCGCAUUAGACAACCUUACCACAUCAGUUCCAAUUGUGUAUGAGUGCGCAUGCGUGCGUGCUUGUUUGCAUGCAUGCAUGCAUCUGUGUAGCCUACAUCUUUGCUUUUAGUUCAUCUCAAAAUCCUAGCAGUCAUAUCUUCCGGUCGAACGUAAUCUGCCUACAAGGUCAUGUGUCUUACUCACAAAAAAUAACUUAAAGGUGGCAUAAACUAGUGCCUGGAACAUCCAAUCAUACUCCUCAUUUACCAAUCACUGCUCUUAACCUUCAGUAAACAAAAAUGUUGUGUGGAACAUGGUGCUCAUGCAUCCAAAAUGGCCACAAAUUCAAAAGUAAGAUUUGAACCCAAGUAUCAAAUUCAAAAUGAUGAAUUUAUUUCAAUGCAACAUAAACAAAAAAAAUUAAUAGACACAGGUUGAUUCCAAUAAUAACACACCAAUCGACCAAUAUCAAAGGAGAAGUCGGCAACGCCGCGGUCCUUGAAGAACUUGCUCACUUCUUCGAGCACUUGCGGGCGGUCCAGAUCCCACUCAUGCGUGCACCCUGAACACCUAGGAUCUCACCAAAAAAAUAUAUAUAUACAUUAAUAAAAAAUAAUUUAAGGGUCCUGCUUGGAAUUUGGCUCACUAAUUUCUAAUUUGAUGCGAGAUAACGCAAAAACUUAUCUCCCAUUUCAAUUCGAUCCCCAAAACUCGAUUUGACUCAGGAAAGCUCACUAAAAAGUAAAAACCAGUGUUCCCAAGCCACAAAAAAAUCCGCUUUAUGAGGAUUUAUGCACUAAAUUACACUUUUCGAGCUGAAUUUAAGCUGCUUGCACCAAAUUAGACUUAGCAGAACUAUACAACAGCGAGUUUUCUGUGCCAAAUCAAACUCUUAGGGCCAAAUCGUAGUAAGAACGAAAUUAGUGAGAUUGAUAUGAAAGAGAAAUUUGGGUCAAAUUGCAACUGCGACAAAGUUACCAGAUUUUUGUGAUGGUAAUCAAAAAAAUAAUCAGAAAUAGACGACCAUGAGAAGGGAUUAGGGUUAGGACUUACGAUUGGAAGUGCGGGCACUGGAGAGCGCAAGAAGAAGCGGAGGCGGCGGAGGAGGACGAGGAGGAGGAGGGAGAGAGGGGUUGGAGGUGGAGAUGAUUAGGGUUUUUAGGGCUUCUAGGGUUCUUGUAGGGUUCGGUGCGAGGAGGAGGGGCGGCGGGGGCGAGCCGCGCCGUGACGAACGUCACCGAGAGUAGCGCCGCCACCAUUUUUUCUUUUUUUUUUUUUUUGUUACGGAGCGUCCGCACGAAAAACUGCGUGCGAAUCGCGGAAAGCGAACAAAGCGAACCAACACUGUAGUAGAUGUAUACUGUAACAGCGAGGUACGGAAAUCCUAGAUAUUAGUAACUAGACUAAAUACGAAAUUACCCCUGUAUAAAUUUAAGUAUAAAUUAUUUAUUAAUUAACUUGCUAUAUCUAAUUCGUGCAAAUCUCUUGAUCAGAUGUUCUGAUCGUCCAAAUUCGACCUCUAUCUCUCUCAAAAUGUGCAAAAUGCCUUAUUUAAAGCGAACCAAAUUUAUCAUUUGAUGUCCUCGACCAGGCAUCAAAUUUUGCCGCAUAUUUAUAUCAUCAAAUCAUUUUUUUUAAGAGAAGAUUACAAGUAUGAUAAAAAAUGAAAUUAAAAGCAAUUAUAUUAAAACCAAAUCCAUAAUAGACUGUCACAUUAGACUUUUUUCAUAACGCGGGGGUUUUUUCAUAAUGCGGGGUUCAAGAGAUCGAAAUUAUGAACCUGCAUUUGGUAAUCGUAUUUAUAUAAUUAAAAAGUUGCAAUAAAGUAUUAAGUGAAUAAUUUAGGAACAAAGUCCAUCUAUAUUAUACGCCACACUUUGGAGAGUUUAUAGCAUUGCCUAAACAGUGCAGUCCCAUCAUGGUUCCAACUUUGUUGUUCACUUCCAAAUUUGUAAAAUUUAUUUUCCAACCUCCAACACUUGAUGAAUGAUUACACCCUUCAUCAUCAAGCACAUAUACUAAUUGUGGCCGCAAAACUUAAUGUGUAACAGUUUGAUUUUGAGCACUCUUCGUUUUUCAAAUAUCACCCCUAUCUUCUAUUGGCCGAUCGAAAAGCUGAUCAGCUUGGCCAUCGUACACGAUCUCUUUGCAGAUACCUCCCAUAACGAACGCGUUGGCGCGUAUCCUUCCACAAACUGAACGUCAACUUACGCCGCGUGGAAUGAUAUCAUCCUAGCAGCAGCUCAACGUCAACUGAACGUCAGAGAGCGAGUCUUGCCGCCGAGCUCAGGAACAAAGCAAGCUCUCGUAUGUUCGAACAUUUUAGAUACGGGGCGUCCUGCCUUAGUAACCGAUUCGCGCUCCCCCUCCCGUGUCGUACUCGGUAAACGGCCAUCCUUCGAUAAAUGCGUAAACCUACUUGGCAAUAUGGUUUCCAAAUCUAUAUGAAAACAUAGGUUUGCAACCUGAAGAACAGAAUUUUUCAUAUAAGGACCAAAAACUAUAUAAUGCACUAUAUAAUUUUAAUGUGUGUACUCAAGAAUGUCAAAAAGCUUACUUAUGAGCCAAAUGGACGCAUUGUCUUCGUCGACUCGCAUGCAGGUUCGUACUUGAGAAACUCAACAUGGAGCAUGACAACAAUUUCCCUAGAGAGAGAACAAAUGAUUGAGAUUCUUUUCAGAAAUAGAGGAGAAAACUUUAUUGGUGUUGUUGAAAACCAACCUGUGAAGCUCAUAGUCAUAGCAAUCCACAUUGAUCAAGCCAGAGUGUUUCAUAAGUUUUGUUACAUCCUCCUAUUUCCAAAAUUAAUGCAACACUGUUAGCUAUUACAUUAACUCAUAUAUGUUUUGAGCUAAGAUUACAAAUGUAAAAUUGCACUACCUGUGAGGGGUUGUCUUAAAUUCCGCGAUUCCGGAGCCAAUUGUUAGCAUCUGAUAAAAAGCAGCAUAAAAUAAAAUCAGCAUUUUAGUCAUCUAAACUAGAAAAUAAACUAAUUAAACAAAUUGUAACAAGGCAGAGGUGUAUAUAGUAAACUCUCUCCAAUGAAGCUCUUGACAGAAAUGCCAAGGGGGUGGUCCCAUAUGAUGAGAUAAGUGCUAUGGACUUAAAAUCGCGACUGGACCAUAUCCGCACCCGCUCCCUCAGAAAUACAAGAGCUGUCAAGUAGCUCGUACAGAAAAAUUUUAAAAAAAAAAAAAAAAAACCAAAGCCCAUUUAGUUGCUGUUCAUCUUUACUUGUAUUUAAUAGUUGAUAUGGACUGAUUGUGUUUUAGAAGAGAGAUCCAUUGUGACAUAACUACUUUACAAUUUAAAUUUUCUAGUUAAAUGCACCAAUUGUUAUUUGAAUCCUCACUUAUUUUGGUUUGGUUCCUUACCCUUUCUAGCCAAUAAAAUUUCUAUACAAUGCACAUUCUUCAUUUAAAAAAUCCUUGCAAUAUUUGGCACCUUUAGACCUGAACCUCUACAAAGUACACUAAAUUAAAAAAUUAUGCAAGACACAUGCUGCAUUUAAUACUGAAUUAAACUUAAUUUAUACACAUUCACUGGGUUUAAAUGUAGUCAUUGUUUGAUUGAUAUACCAACCAACGUAGCUCACGUGUUGUGGGCAAAUGUUCCAUGACGAAAUUUGAAAGACAUAUAUCAGGAAAUUACAAAUACACAAGUAAAGAUUUUUAAUAAUUUUUCUUACACUAAAGUUCGCUUGAUGACUUCAAAAGUCAGCAUAAAAACGUAUACAAUUCACACACGAGCUUCUAUUUUCGAGUCAAGAUUAUAUUUGGAUUUAAGCUCGACCAUUUUUUGCACCUGUUUGCAACAACCAACGCACAAUUCAUAUCCAUUUGAUACUAUUUGACAUUUAGAAUUUGUAAUGAACAAUUAAGAGUGUGAGCAUGAGAAUUAAAAGAAGAGGAAAGAACUUUUCUACCAUGAGUGACAACAAAGCAUCCUCCCCUGUUACUAACAAACGUCACAAGUAGCAGAGACAGUCAUGUAACUUAAGCUCAUCCCAAGACCAAGCCCAAUAAGUCCUCACAAAUAAUAUAUUCAUCCAUAAUACAUUAAUGAUUUUGCAAAUCAAAGGUAAGUAAGAUUUUCUUAAAAAUUAGUGGUACAAAGAGAGACCCAAUGUCGUAGGAUAACCGUGCAUAUUGAGUCGAGGAGACUUGACGACACUCCAUCGAUUCCUCUCGUUUCGCGAUCCACGACCUCGAACACCGGUCUGCCCCUAAGACGAAUUCAGCGAUGUUCGGCGAAUUGACGCAGCCAUGUUAUGCCACCCCUGCACAAUGUUUUGACCUCAUGAUGGUAAACACUACCAAUAGUCCAGCACGAAUGAAAAAAUAUCUGAUUGAAAUAUUAUGCAAGACCCCGGUACUUGUAAUAAUAAUGGCUAAACAUUUGAGCCGCUAGUUUUGAACAACGAGUUAUUACGCUAAUUAUUUGGUUGUUCAGUUUUUCUUGGUGUUUCUGUUUUUUUGUUUGUUUUGUUGUUUCUGUUGUUUUGUUGUGUUUGUGUGUUCGUGUUUGAGGUUGUUAAAAUUGUAUCAGAAUCAAAAUACCAAAGUAAAACCAAAGGUGAGAGCUAACUAACAGAUAAAUGCUAUAUCAGGAUUGAUUGAGCAGGCUCCACACCUUAUUAAUAAAAACAUGGACUAAACUUUAAAACCGAUGAUUUGGAACCUAUAACAAAUUAAUUAUUAUAGCGACAAGUCGUAAACAUAAGCAAACUUAAUUCAUUCAGUCACUAUAAUGAUGCCUACACUAAAAAAAAUGACCACAUAAUCCAUCAUAAAAGUAAUUAAUAUCCCUGAUCUUGUUUAAUAAUAAAUAUCAUAAAGAACAGCAUAUAUAUAAUAUCUAUAUAUAUGUACAUAAAUUAAUAUAUGUCAUAUCAAAUUCUCAGAAUAGGCAAAGCAAAAAUAAAAAUCCUUCUAUACAUUAAACCAUAAAGAAAUUUCCAAAUAUGAAAAAACAUAUCACAACAAAUGAACAUACAUAUCUAGAGUAAAAACAAAAAAAAAAAAAAAAAAGUUAUAACCAUACCAUUAAAACCCCAUGUUGCAAUAGCACAGGUUGCCUCCUUUUUCCGUCGUCAUUGCCGCCGCCGCUGCCGUUUACGCCUCCUCCCCCUCUCUGCGGGAUCCUUUGCAUGCUCAAUAUAUAUCCAUCUUGAGUUGUCACCUAAAAAAGCCAAACAUAAAAAAAAAAAAAAAAAAAUUUAACUUCCACAACAUCAGUGUAAUUUCGUACGAAAAUUUGAAUUUAUUCGAAAGAAACUGAUUAAACUUAUAGAAGGAAUUUUCACAUAAACAACCUCAUAUUCUUCACAUUUGUAACCGCGGGGGAUCACCAUCAACGCGCAUGGCCCUGUCGUUUCAGGCGAUGGCACGGCAAUGUCCGACCGAGUAAGCGCGCGAGCUCGAGUGAGACCGAAUUGGAUACAUAAGUAGAGAAGAAUAGAGAGAGUGGUCCAUGCCAUGCCAUUGUAACCCAUAUUUGUUGUUAGUAUAUAUGUUAGUAGAAUAAAAGGAUGCAACAUAUAUAUACUGUAGGGGGGUGGCUUUUAAAAGCUUUUAAAAAAGGAAGGGGGAGGGAAAUUGAGGAGAGAGAGAAAAAGAAGUGUGAAAGCAAAGAGAGAAUUGAGUUUUUUUUCCCCCUACGAUGUGAUAAAUGACUCAAAUGUUGAUGCCUUAAAAAGUGUGGGGCUUCUCUUUUUGGCUUACUUUAUUGGUUAUACGUAUAACAUGUUGUCGAGGGCGUACAGGCUUGGGAUUUAGGAGUUGACGUUCAUUCGGUUUGGGAUAGAUGGGUGGGCAAGAAGGGGCCGCAAUCUACGCCUAAUAGGAUCCCAGAAUUAGCGGCCUGUUUGUGGAUCAUUUGGGAGAACAGAAAUAAUACAAUCUUCAGAAUGAUUCAGCUGGACUCCCUGAGAGUUGUUUGUAAGGCUAAACAGUUGUCGAGCUCUUGGGAUCAAUUUUUGUCGGUUAAUUGGUAAUUUUUUUUUUUUCACCCUUCUCGAGGUCCGGAUGAAUGAAGCGGAUGCCAUGCUAUCUUAUUCUCAAAAAAAAAAAAAAAAAAAAAAAAAAAAACAUGUUGUGGGGAAAUGAGGAUGGGAUUUGAUGCUAAGGCUAGUUGAAGUAAUCAUUGUUGCAGAGUAGUGAAGAAUCAUUAAUGUUCACACUAGAGGGAAAAUUAGUUAAAAGAAAAAGAAAAAAAAAAAGUGGGCAUGAACUUUUGGUUAUUAUGCUUUUGGGGUAGCUUUUAAUUGACUUGAAUAGGCUUUUAUUAUACACACUUUGUAGAUUGAUAUCAUUGAGUGAGGACUAAAGUCCUUGCGUCCAAAUUCACAACCAAAUAAAUAUAAUAUUUUUUAAAUUAAAAUCAAAUCAUCUAUUAACAGAGUAUUUACUAUACGCAGAUCAAAUAAAUAAAGAAAGAAAAUAAUUCCUUUAACUUAUUUUCUAUUUUACUGAGUUUUGCUAAAAUAUAUAUAUAUAUGCGCAUGAGAAAAAAAACAAAAAAUACGAGUUCCCAUAAGAACGUGUAGACAACGUGAGUGCGUUGGGAUAUUGUGGAAACGUAUACAUCAUCCACAAUAGCCUUUUGCGUUACGGAGAGGCCCCAAAGAAAACAUAUAUAUAUACACACAUGCACUGAUCAAUUUUGUUCUCAGGGUUACGUAGAUAGAGAUAUUUUUGAGGAUGGGGUUUGUUAACGAAUUAUUGUAGUUGUUGUUGUUGUUGUUGUUAGAGAGAGAGGGAGAGAGAGAGAGGGAGGGCCACACGUGUGACGUGGCUACAGGAACUCCCUACAACAAACCAAUUUGGGGACCCACCACUUCACACGUGGGAUCCUCUUAACACGUGGAAAUUUGUGAUAAGAGUAUAGAAUUUUUCGUACACAUAAAGUUUUGUUUGGUAUUACGAAAAUAUUACGUUAUAUAUUAUGAGAAAAUAUGAUAAAAAAAUAUCAUAUUAUUUUUGUAUAUAAUAUUGCGUUUUGUAUAUUGCAAUGAGUCGGUUACGAUAUAUUUUUUGCAGUCCCACCGAAGAACGUAGAAAUAUAUCCUUAUAUAUUUUUAUCCCGACUUAAUUUUAUCUAAUAGCGUCAAAUAGACCUCAAUACCAAACUAAGCCUAACUCGUUUUCGAUAAUAGAGCUNNNNNNNNNNNNNNNNNNNNNNNNNNNNNNNNNNNNNNNNNNNNNNNNNNNNNNNNNNNNNNNNNNNNNNNNNNNNNNNNNNNNNNNNNNNNNNNNNNNNGAUUAUAUUGUCAAAUCAUUUGAAAUUUUUCUUAUAUAAAAUGCCAAAUUAUGAAAGGAAAGAUAGAGAGAGAAAAAGGAAAUAAAGAAAAAAUAAAAAUUUUGAAAAUAUAGUAGAUGUAAAAUGACUAAAUUGUCUAUGUAUUAAAAGACAAAAAUAUUCUUUUUUAAGAUACCUGGUAACCGGUACCUUUCCUAAAGUGACCUGCUAUUGUAGGUCACAAUUUAAAAAAAAUUAAAUCUGAACCGUUGAAUACACGUGAAUGAACGGUAACCAACAAAAAAAAGUAUAGAAGCAUUACUCAAAUAAAAAAUAGAAUAGACAUUAAUUUCUCAGAUAUAAUACUAUUAUUAUCGUACCAAGUUGCGUAAAUAAAUAAUUGUAGCUUAGAUAGACCAUUUGCUUAAUUACCCAGCCCAAUGUAGUUGUGGAACAUUUUCUCAUACAAUCCCUCCCCUCUCCCCUCGUCUCUUCGUUCUCUUAAUUUCUACUGCUGCAUUAAUUCUAUCCAUCUAUCUAUCUAUAGAUUCUAUAGAUUCUGUACUAUCAAAAUCGAUAUAUGCAUGGCGGACUGCAUCUGUAAGGUUGUUGAUGCGGCGAUCUCGCCGCUGGUGAGCCUCGUCACGGAGCAUCUGGCGUAUCUUCUUAAAGCGGAGGACAAUUUGGACGAGCUCGAGAAAGUCGCCGCGGAGCUGGCCGCCAGGAGGAAGGAUGUAGACGAGAGGAUCCAGUCCGGCCGCAGAACAACCGGCGGCACUGCGACGAANGCCCUAGAGCUCUCUUAUAUUAGAAAAGUUUCCAUUUUGGCCUGAUCCAACCAAACAUAUAUAAGGUCUUGGCCCAGUAAAUAUUAUAUGGGCUGGGCUGGGCUGGACCAUUUAAGUUUGUGUUCGACCUAUUGAAGUUGUGGGUUCGUUCGCAUCGGGCCUGUAUCACGAGCUCUCCUAGUAGAGACCAGACCAACUUUAAUAGGUUAAUCCGGUACUUGAACAUUUAUGUAAUAAGAAAUCGAUAUCCAUGUUUGGGUAAUCUAGCGUAAAAAAAGAAAGGAACAUAAAGUCCAACGAAAAUAUGGGGAGAUUUUCUUUUAUUUUGUGAGUUUGCAUGUAGCUUGCUAUUCUGUAAAUUUGGAUAUAAACCGCUGUACUAGGCCGAAGUAACAUGCUAGAGUCUUAAAUUUGAACCUUCAUUGAAGAAGGUUAAAGGGUAGUUGUUUCCAUUUUUCAAAAAGAAAUGAUUUUAGUAGAUUCAAUUUUAACACAGAUAGAUUGGUUAUUGUUUCCAAGUUCAAUACUGAAUCUUUAUGAGAAUAAAUGAAUCUUCGUGAGAAUAAAUUUAAACCCUUUUUCAUAAGUUUUAUGACUUUUUUUUUUUUGAUUAAGAUAGGUAGUACGUUACCCGCUUUAUUUAUUUCAUUUAGAAAUAAAUAUAGCUGAAAAUGUGAAUCAAUUAGGAUUCGAACUUGAAAUCUCGGGUACCAACCACCAAACCUUUGCCACUUGCUCAAAGACGGUUAGUAGGCAUCAAAUAUUUCAUAUCUCAAAAUAAGUAACCGAGAUAUACAGAAGUAUAACGCUCUUCUUAGGAAGAAGACAUUUCAACAACACUUUAGUAGCUGCGUAUUGAGCAAACAAAUGGUCUAAUGUUAAGCACGCAUAUUUUCUCACCCUUGUUGGCAUUUUUUUUUUUUUUUUAUUAGUUAUCUAUGCAAAUUUUAUAUACAUAUAUAUUUUUUUACCUGAAAGAAAUUUUAUCGAUCAAACUUAUAAGAAAGUUACUCUGACAGGCACGACAAGUUGGAGAUUGACAACCCGCCGGCGGCGGGAAUAGAAUACCGGUAUCUUGAUCAGGCACUCCAAUUUAUCAACGAUGACGCGGUGAAGAUGGUCGGAAUCUGGGGCAUGGGCGGGGUGGGGAAGACCCACCUCCUCAAGUUCAUCAACAACUCGUUCGCUCGCCAAACUUCUUUCGACGUCGUGAUCUUCGUCACAGCGUCUAGAGAGUGCUCCGUAGCACGGAUUCAAAGCGAGAUUGUGAAUACGCUCGACUUGCCCGCGAUAAACAACGUGCAGGACCAGGCCAGAAUCAUCUCAGACUUUCUGCGCGAAAAGAAUUUUCUCCUGCUGCUGGACGAUCUGUGGGAACGACUCGACCUGGGAGCCGUCGGCGUCCCGAUGCCUUCGGCCGCGGGCGAGCAGCUUAAAAGAAAGGUGGUGUUGACAACGAGAUAUUUGAAAGUCUGCGGCCAGAUGGGUGUAAGCAGGAGGAACAGCAUCAAAGUGGAAUGUCUGGACGGCGACGACGCUUGGCUUCUCUUCCGAGAGACCGUCGGCGAAGACACGAUCGGCUCUAGUCUUGCCGUCGAAGCCCUCGCAAGAAAAGUAGCCAGAAAGCUGGGCGGCUUGCCCCUCGCUCUCAUCACCGUCGGAAGAGCCAUGUAUGAUAAGGAAGAUUCGAGGGAAUGGGGACAUGCCAUCGACCUGCUGCAGGACGCGCGCCACGACGAGGUCGAUCCGGAUGCAGAGGAAGAAAGCUUGUUCCAUACCUUGAAGUUUAGCUACGAUAGGCUACGGAAUGAUGCCUUGAGAGAUUGUUUGUUGUGCUGUUCCUUGUGGCCGGAGGAUUCCUGCAUCCCCAAAAAUGAUCUUAUCCUGNAUAUAAUAUAUAUAUAUUACUAUGUAUAUUACUUUCUUAUUAGGAUAGUAUUAUUUAUUUCUUUGUAUAACAGGAUAUAAUCCUGUACUUCCAUGUAAAGCUUUUCCUCUCUCUAUAUAAGAGAAUGGAUUUAGAUGAAUAAUAUACAGAAAAUUUCUCAAAUCUCUUGUUUCAGUGCUGUUCCUUGUGGCCUGAGGAUUUCUGCAUCCCCAAAAAUGAUCUUAUCCUCUGUUUGUUGGGGUUGGGCGUGAUCGACGGGUUCGACGACAUGCAGAGUGCGUAUAACAUAGGAUACGAUCUCAUAGCUAGCCUGCGAUCUGCAUGCCUGUUGAACGACGACGACCUCGGCUUCGGAGUGAGGGUUCACGAUGUUAUUCGCGACAUGGCACUGUGGAUAGCUUGCAACUGCGGGGAGAGGAAGAAGAAAUGGUUUGUGAAGGCAGGACUGGGGUUGACGGAGGCGCCGCCGCAAGGGACGGGAAUUGUAUGGGGCGAGACCGACUGCGUGUCGUUAAUGCAUAACAGGAUCAAAGCAUUUCACGGCUCUCCCGGCAGUUCCUCCCCCGCCGCACUUACAACCUUGAUGCUGCAAGGUAAUCGGCUACGCAAAAUUUCGCUCGCGGCUUCUCCCUCCCUCGCGGCACUCGCGUACCUAGAUUUGUCUCACAAUAAACUCAACGGUUUCCCGGAAAAUAUAUGUCGGCUGACCACCCUUCGAUACCUCAACUUGUCGUUCAAUCUAAUCCGCGAAUUGCCUGCGGAGCUUAAACUUCUGACUAGCCUCGAGUACUUGAUUCUGCGUGAAAGCAACGUCCGGAUAAUUCCUGCGGGUGUUAUACGCGAACUCGAGGCGCUUCAGAUGCUGGACUUGCGCGGAUUCCUGUCCGGCGCGGUGGAGUAUUUGCCGUGGCUAUUCGAAGAGUUGGAGGCGCUCAAUAACCUGAAGGCUCUAGAGAUCAGUGUGAAGGAUGUGAACCAGUUGAAUCGGCUCGAUGAGUUACGGAGGACGCGAAUUCGGUCCCUCAACAUAUUUCACUUCGAGCAAACGACUCUUCCCUUGUUGGCCACUCCUCUCGGCAGCUCUCGAAUACAGAACAGCUUGUUCGAUCUGGAGAUUGCCGGCAGCACCACUUUAGAGGAGAUAGUAUUCGACGACGCCCGUUCGUAUCGCAACCCGUGUUUUCACAAUCUGGAGAAGCUAUCAUUCGACGCGAUGCAUAGAUUGAACAUUGUGUUGGACCGAUUGGUAGCCAGGGAAGUUUUUCCGAGGCUCUGUACUUUGGAUUUCAGGUAUUGCAACAGCCUGAAGGAUGUUUCUUGGAUCUUGUAUCUCCCGUGCCUUCGCAUACUAGUUAUGCGCUCGUGCCGAAGCGUGACACAGCUCAUUUCUAGUACACAGAACGAUGACGGUAAAGGAGAAGUCGUGGCGGCGCCUACCUUCCCUUCCCUCAAAAGGAUAAGUUUGAUCAACCUGCCGGCGCUGCAAUGUGUGUGUGAUCCUGCAUACACCUUUCCAUGUUUGGAACAAUUUGUGGUUAUAAUGUGCGGGAGGCUUACGAAGCUGCCUUUCCGCGCCGAUACCAUCCCCAAAAACUUGAAGUUUAUUAGAGGUGACGAAACAUGGUGGGAAAGAAUAGAAUGGGAGGACGACGUCUGCAGAACUUCCCUUAAACUUUCGACGUCCACAUUUCUUCCCUUAGGUUCGUCUGAGAAAGGGAUAGCACGUUACGUGCUCAUUCAUUAGGUGGGUCAACUCAGCUACGAGUGAGGCAGCCACGGUCUCGAAAAAAAAAAAGCAUCAGAAAGUAAAAAUAAAAGUAAAAAUAAAAACUAGUAAGAACAUCAAGGUAAAGGAAAUAGAAACAACCAAACUUAGGGCGAAAUGAAAAAUGCCAUCAACCUCGACCAGUCCUACAAAAAUCGGCCCACUCCUUUGCAAGAACUCCGAUAUCAUAAACUUGAGGCGGUAGCGUCCAAGAACUCCGAUUUCUUCCCUUACGUACGUUCCUUCCAUAUAUAUAUAUAUAUAUAUAUAUAUAUAGAGAGAGAGAGAGAGAGAGAGAGAGAGAGAGAGAGAGAGAGAGAGAGAGGUUAGGGCUACUAUCCUAUUAAUAGGAUUGAAGCAUUUGUCCUAUCAAAUUAUUUUUGAUGAUAGAGAUUCCGAAUCGAUGAUCGGAGCCGUUGAAGUUGAUCUAGAAUAUUUGAAAUAUCUAUAAAUUAAAUUUCAUAAGUUUUAAAAAUUAUUUACAUGGUGAUCAAAGUGUUGUAAAAUCGAUAAUUUUUGACGGCCUAUAUGAGCCGUUUGCUUGUUUAACGGUGUAGAGCNACAAUCCAAAUUGCUUGAAUUUUUGAUAGAAAAUUUUUUAUACUAUUUAGAUAAUAUUUGAUAACUCUGAUUAUGAAUUGAGAAAGUCUAAUCUUUAUUUUAAGAAAGUUAUUUAUUUAUGAUCGUUCAUUUUUGAACUCUUAAGAUGAACUUGAUAAUGAUUUUUAAAUAUUACAAAAUUUGGUUUCUAAACAUUCUAAUUGUGUAGAUCAAUUUCAAUGGUGCCGAUUAUCAAUUUGAAGUUCCAAUAAUACAAACGACUUGAUAGGACAAUGGUCUCAAUUCUAUUAAUAGGAUAGUAGCCGGACUAUAUAUAUACAAGAUAGUAGUUUCUCUGAUCUACUGGGCUAGUUGUGUGUUUCCUUUUAGUGAUUCUCCUGUGCGACUUAGAAGCUACUUGCGUGUUUUUUCUCAAUUAUUGUCGGUGUGAGUAGAAAAUUAAUGCAAGUGUAUAAUUGUCUUCAUGUAAUCCAAUUAAUGAUUUUAUUUGUGUAACUAUCCAGCUCACUAGCUCUCUAAUAAUGUAUUGGCCCAAACUAGUAGAGGAGCCAAAAUUAGUUAAACUCAUUCAUUAUCAUUCAUUUUAACCACUAAUAAAUGCCUAAGUUAACCCCUUGGUGCUAAAUACUAUUCACAUACUAUUCGGGGCGUCUGAUUAGAUGUAAUUAUAAAUGCAAUAUAGUUAGAAAUGCAUACCGUUGAAAAUGCAGUAAUUAUAACUAUAUGCAUCAUGUUUGAUUGAAUGUAGUAGAAAGCAUUACAAGUAUAAAUAAUUUGUUUGAUUGUAUGCAGUAGAUAAAUAAUUUUUAAAAUUUUAUCAUUUUAUAUAUAUGAUGCUGAAAUUAACUCCAAUGUAAAGAAAAAAAAAAAAAUUCUAUUUAAAAAAUAAUUGAGCAUAUAACCAUACCUUUUAUGUAAAGUUACUCUCUUCAACUGCUGCAGUUGAAACUACGACUAAUUUGGGCGUAGUUCGAACAGCUACAGUUGAAUUUUCUUCUGUAGUUCCUACUGCAGCAGUUGAAGUUAAAUACAUCAAACCAAACACCGAAUUCGCAUAUGCAUGCAGUUACAACUACAUGCAACCAAACGGCCUCUUCGUAGUAGUCCAGCACCCCUUAGUGCUAAAUACUGUUCACAUACUAUUCAUAGUAGCCUACCUCAACCCAGGGUAAAAUAAGUAUGUAGUCACAUUUUUUACAAUAAUGUUAGCAAUAUAGGUAUUUCUAAUAAUUUCUAUUAAUUAAAGGAGUGUUUCAAAAUUAAAAACUUUUGGAGAGCUUCUUCGUAAUUAAGGGCGGACGGAAGGAAACAAAUGAUGUCAUCCCUUUUUCUUUUCUCUACCACCGGGACAAACAGGGUGCUGCGACAGAUUAAGAGGCCCCAACAACCUUCAACUUCUUUAGAGAGAAAAACAAUUAAAAUACUCUAAAUAAAUCGUAUGUUAACUCUAAUAAAUACUCAAAUCAACACUAAAGGACUGAAUAGAGUUCGUCACGUCGUCAAAUAUAACAAGCUUUUAAGCGGUAGAGACUUUAUUGAAACAAAUACUAAGCUUUCGGAACUAGAUUGCAAACAUUAAAUGGUUGGGGGCCAAAAUGAAUUGGGAUAAAAGUUGGGGAGUAAUUGUGCAAUUAACAACCAUCCGAUGAUUGUCAGAAAUGCUAGUCCAAGGCAACGGUUUUGCAAUUUACCUGAUGCAAAAUUCAGACCCAAGACUAAUUCACGCUUUAAUUGGAACGAGUUGAAACAAGUUGGUUCCUACCAGGGUAGUGAACCUGCAUUACUUCUCCUUGGUACAACAUGCAUCAAAUCACAGGUACAAUAAGCACAAUCUUGAUACUCUAAUACUUCAAAAGAUGAGAUUAGCCUUAUUUAUUGCUUACUCGUUAUUAGGGCUCUUCAGAUAUAUAUCUCCGUUCAGAGACUAGAGUUGGCUACUACACGCGAAGCAUUGCGCACUUGAACGCGGUGCCAUGAGGUGUUUAGUAUUCCUCUCAGGUUCCAUACUUCGUCGACAUUUUGAGGUUGGACAUUUGCAGCUGAGUCAACCUGUCCAUGAUGAGUGACAGUAAAGUAGGUAAACAAACAUUGCAGCUAAAACUGAAACUACACACAACGUGAGAGAAAAUUGCAAACAUACCGCUUUGGCAAUGAUCUCAGCAUCUUCUGGUAUGUCAGCCACAGCCUCAAAAAGAACCCACGCCCACUUAUCACUGUUCAUAUCAUCGGAUGCAUACAGCACAUUGGUUUUCUGGUAUCUCUGAGCUUCCACCCAGGUUUUACCCCCAUCCACAGAAAUAUCCACUCUCUCAAUCCCACGGCCACCACCAGACAGUGCAUAACCAGCAACCUUAAUCUGCAAUUGAAGAGCUUAUCAAAGAAGUAGCAUAUCAUCCUUAUUUUCCAGUGCAGGUUAUAUCAUUUUUUACAUUAAAAAGAAUUAUGAUAGUAUAUCUAUACAAGAGAUAUUACUGACCUUUCCUUGUCUGACAACAUCUACAUCCUCCAAAGAACAAAUAGCAGACUGUUCGGAAAAAAAAAAAAGAUUGGAAAAGAUCAGCUGAAACUUAUUACUUUAACAUAGUCAGACACGCCAAAUACAAAUUUCAUAAAUAAAAAAAAUCAAUGACUAAUAAGAACCUGGGUAAUAUUCAUGCUUAACUAAUAAAAACUAAAAUCUUCACCACUGUCACAUUCAAAUCAGAAGGACAAUACUUAUCAUUACUCUCAAAACUUCAAUAGUCAUGCUUUGCUGCUUGGACCUCAUCACCAAGAUUACUAAUAGGAAGAGAAGAGUUUCCAGGCAUAACACGUAAUCAGGAUAUGUUAAUCAAAUAGGAAUGAUAAGGUGUAAUCAAAGCACCAAAAGCAUUGAUUCACUAACUUUACAACAACACACUUCUGUGUGAUUACUUACGUUCCACUUUGAUGGUUAUUUCAAAUCUGUAUCCGUGUUUUAUUUUUAAUUUUAUGGAUACAAACUACGAACACUCGAGUACAAAAAUGUGUGCAUCAAUCUGUAAUUACCUGCACAGGGAAGUCCAUCUGUGGCUUCCUAGUUGACCAGUCAAUGUUGUCCCAAUCGACUGAAGGUGGAAACAUUUUGUAAUCCUUCUGCAUAAAAAACCCCUGGUUCGAAAAAGAGAGGGUCAGAAACUUCUGUUUUGGGCACUAAAAUUUAAUAGAGAGGAAUCCAAACUUUUAGAAGACCUGGCAUUCUUCUUCUUUUAUCUCAAUGCUAUCCAACCAUUUAACAGAGCGUGCACCAAUGACACCAGGAACAACCGCACGUAAAGGGUAACCAUGAUCGCGGUUUAGAAUCUAGACAUUGACAAGAGAUUUUGAUUAGAAAAAUUCUUGUAGUGCAUGAUUCCCAAUAACACCAAGUAAAAUAACAAUAUAGAUUGUGGGAGCAAAAGAGACUAUGCAGAUCAAUUAGUGAACAACCUUCUUCAUGCGUGGAAAGAAAGAGAGUACAACAACAUAUGAUUGUGUAAAUAGAGAUAAAGAAGGUAAUAAUGUAAUUAAAUAGGUAAUUAUUCCAAGAAAGAGAAUACACAAGAUAAAUUUGUCAUUUCCACAACUUAAUAAGAAAAUAAUAUAGACAAAGAAAUCAAUUGAACAACAAAAGAAACCUAAAUCUUCAGCAAAAGUUAUAAUUAACAAAAAAAAAAAUCAACCAAAAACCAUCAAAAAUGAUUCUCUACGACUUCAAAUAUUUAUGCUCUCUAUGAAUAAAAAUUUCAUUGAUUUACAUGUGCUUGGCUUUAUUAAUUGAAUGCAUCCAAAAAAUGGACUGAGGUAACAGUCCGAUAAAUGAUUUUGCAAUGAUUCAAGCUCUAGAAUUCUCAAGAUGCCACAAAGUUUAGUUUAUAGGAGUUGUGACCAGUACAAAGUAUGAUGAUCAACAUACAUUUUCAAAUUGGGAAUCUUAUCAUAUAUUUAGCUAAAAUAGUGCUUCAUAUGCUAUCAAUAUUUUGAUAGAUAUAGGUGCCCCUGCCUGCAUUUGAAUGUGUACCUACAUUUAGUAAAUAUAUGUCUAAGUAAGAGUCAAUCUACUGCUAAAACGCUACACAAUCGUCUAGCUACUAUUUUUCACGAGGAUAUAGGAAAAAAAAUACAAAGCAACGAGGUCAUAUAAAGGACUAAGUAUUACCAAAAUACCGAUGGAGGUUGUACAAAGGAACAAAAACUAUGUCCAAACUAUCAAUAUUGAAACAGCAAAAAUAAGCACAAGGGUUACGUAUCAUCUGCAAAGACUCUCAAAUAGAAAAUUUAAAGUCUUAUGCACAGAAGGAUGGUAAACAAAUAGCAAUUAUACACAAAGAAGAAUUACAACCAUAUUACGAGUUUAGAAUUUCCAUCAAGUUGAAAUACUGUGGUAUGAUGAAAUCAGGAAUUCUGGAUGCUUAUUACCUCCCCAUUCAUUUCAUAUGCAAGUAAGACAUCAGCUUCUGGAUUUGUGGCCUGCCGUAGGGGAAUUGAUGCCUUAUAAGGGCCACCCUUCUCCUCCUAAUAAAUAAGGAGACAGAAAGCCAAAGGAAAUCAAGAGAGAUAGGUCAAAAGUAGAUUCCUUAGAAAAAGAUAAGAAGGCAGAGUAAACAUACAACUAACAGCUUUAGUAAUAAGGAUCCAAGUACUCACUUUGCACCUGUCGACACUGGUAAACUCAACAUGCCUGCCUCCUAAUGAUGUGACUGAACUUUGUUUGGAUACCCCAACUAGCUCGAGGAUGUCUACUAAUCUCGCUCCUCCCCAAGUUGCUGAAAAAUAAAAUAAGAUAAUGCAAUCACUGUUAGAUGUUUGACGACAAAUUAAACUAAUCAAUAAUCAAAGACCAAACGAAAAGAUGACGUGGAUUUACAGUAAUAUUGCAAGAGAUGGGAUGAAAGGUCCUUCGUCAUAGGCCAACGAGAGAGAGAAAAUGAUAAUUCUUGCAAGAAGCCCAUAAAUUGAUGCAUUAUUUAGUAGAACACUAGUCUCCAAAAUCACCAAAUUGGCUUUCGUUUAAAAUGCAGCAAUGAAAGAACUUACUCAGACUUUGUAACAAGAUCUAGACGCGAGAGAAACAAACAUACCAUUUCCAAGAGCAGCAACAUCCCAACCGACACCUCUCACUUUCCGUGCUUUACUCAUAGCUGUCCGUCUGUUACCUGCACACUGCAAUUUACCAUUUCUUCUUCAGAUCAACAAUUUAGCCUUCACAAGCCCAAUAAAAACCACUAAAGCCCAGAAAAUAUCUAAAAAAGAGGGUAAAAAAAUUACUCCUUGCAACUUGCCUGCAAAGUGGCAGUAACAUUAUAUUUUGGGAGUUUCCUGCAGAUUGCAACUCUCUGAUUAAUUAGUGAUAAAUACGGCAUAACUUUAGCCUAGGUAAUCGUAUCAAGCAUUACCUGAUUUCAGCCAUAGAAAGUUGUAUAGGCUUUUCGACCAAACCACCUAUUGUAAGACAAUAUCUGUCAUGCCAAUUAGUAAUAACAGUUCAGUCCACAGGUCCCUGGAGUAAGUGCGUGCUUGGCUUUUGGAACAGCUUCUCUGCUCCGAGAAGAAAAGAGCAGGUGUUUGGCUAAUAAAAAGCUUUGUGCCUUUGCUGCAGUUAAAAGCAGAAACUCCAGUUUGAAGUUUCUGCUCUGCCGCAGCAAAAAUCUGUUUAGUUUGAACAGCUCUCGUCAACCAACAGCUGUAUGUAAGCUCCAGGCAGGCCAAUUAAGCUUAAGUUUAUAGAAGACUUGAACAAUCAGGAGAAAAAGGUGGAACCUCUCGAUGUCAUCAACUAUUGGAAUCGGCCCAUGGUUUCUCUUGUAAAAGUAAUCCACGGAAGUGAUAUAGGAUGAAAUAAGAGCUGCACGUGGAGGCUCAGCAUUAAAUGGCUCCUGCAGCAGAUUUCAUGCAAAAUAAUUCAUAUCUCAUUUUGUUUUCUUCCAAAAUGACUAAGAAGUCCAACAUACGGUAACUUCUGAGGAAAAUUACAUGAUAGUUCAAUAAUCUAACUAUGAAGAACCAUGCAAUAACAUAGAAAGCCGAUAUUAAUAGAACACAGAGGUUACAUUCUAUUGGCACACUUAUGAACAAAUAUGUUUAAGCAUUCUAAACUAGAGAAAUAAAAGGGUUGAGCACUAUUACCAUGUCGUUGAGAAACAUCAUUUAGAGGGGAAAAAGGACUUUUUAUCUUCUAUAACUUUGCAAACUACAAAAUUGCUUUCUUAGACAUAAUGAUAAAAAAUUCCUUGAUUAAACGGAAUGUUUUGUAACUUACUAAUAAAAACAGUUAAAUCAAAUGAUAUUUUACUAUAAUAAUAAUUAAAAAAAAUCUUAAUAGGGGGAUUAAUAUAUAUGCACAGUUUAAGGAGGGAGUAUCCACAAUAUUUAGCCCAUAGAAAAACAUUUCCAUCGACAUUAAUCAAUAACUGAAGAAGCAUUCAAUAAGUUCCACUCAAAGGCAUCACAAAACACUAACUAUUACAAGCUAUAAACGGGUUAAAAAAAUUGUUACGUUUUUUUAAAAAAAUAAUGAAAUCUCAAGAUGAUCCUUAUUUCUUUCGUUUCUGAUCCGAUUCAAACCUAUCUAAUGAUGUUAUAGUUUAAAAAAUGUAUAUAUAUAUAUAUAUAUUGGGGAACAAGCAUAAGAUAUGAUACGUUAUGGAUUUCAUUUUGAAGGGGAUCGACGAUCACCUUGGAAUUGAUCUUGAGAGAGGGGUGGCGAGGAGGCUCCUGAGAAUAAUCGGAGGGUGCUCGUAGUCCCGGCAUUUUUUUUUUCUUUUUCCACCUUUUUUUCCCCCUAUUUUUCUCGUGCCUCUCGAUCGGAACGGACGGGGUUUGGCGUUUUAAGAUGAGUUCGCCUUUACUCGUGUCCUCCGAACCGAGAGAACCGAGGAAAUAUUAGCUGGGCCGGCUGUACCACGCCGACCAUGGACCGACCCUAUAGCUGAGCCUUUCAUGGAAGGCCCAAAAGGUUUUGGGUGGAGCCUUUUAUUUGGACCAGCCCAAUCCAACAUGGCCUUCGUAAUUGGCUUGGGCUUGGGCUUGAUGCUUGAAAACUUCAUAUUUCUCCGCCUUAGAAAAAAGCAGAAGCUGCGAUUUAAAUCUUAAGCUUCAUUUGGAAUUGCGAAAAUAUUGCGUUACAUGAAGUGAGAAAAUAGGAUAGAAAAAUACAUUCUGUAUAUCGCGAUGAGUUGGUUAUGAUAUAUUUUCUGCGGUCCCACCGAAGAACACAGAAGUAUAUUCCUAUUUGCUUAUACCCUAACUCCAUUUUAUCUAAUAGUAUCAGAUAGGGUUCAAUACCAAACUAAGAUUCAAACUUCUACUGUAGAGAGAAAUUGUAUGAAAACUUUUGGAAUGAUUCUGCGAUUUAAGUCAUUACUAAGAUGAUGCUUCAUCGAACAGGACUAUGUCCAACGCGCUACGGCGUUGCAAAAUAGGCUUAUUAUGUUGUUUGGCUUAACAAUUCAAUCCUGCUUACACGUAGCUUGCUUAAUGAGAAAGAGGCAUCAAAGAACAUUUCGUAAUGGUUGGUUGAUUUUCUGCAAGAAUGAAAUUGCUGUGAAGCAGAGCUCGCGAUCAAUUAAACACUUACAAUGGAAAAAUGAAUAAAAAGGAAAAGGGGUAGCAACUACAGAGAAAUAGUUGCUUCAUUUAUAUAGACCAUCCUUUUGAUUAAAAUAGAUAAGACAAAUUUCAGAACAAUCAAAAACAUUUAUGCAAACAAGUGGGGGUAUUCACAGAGAAAUUUUCGGAGUUCGAUAUAUCCAUAACAAAAACAAAAUUAGCAGGAAUUUAGAAUUCACAAAUAACGUGCAAGUUCUAAUGAAAUAACCCAUCACACUAUCUCUCUCUUCAAAUCUGACACUAUAAGCUCCUCUCCUUGUUCAGAUUUUAAACCGUGCUUGUUCACCUGCACCGUGGUUUCAGUCCAGUCCCCAAGUCCCAACCUUUCAAUUGCUUGCAAUUGGGUCUCAAAACUUCGAAUUUCAUCGCAAACUUACCUUCAAAUUUAACCAAGAAAUCUAAUGAAAUGAUCAGAACGCAAUGAAAUGAAAAAGAUAGGGAGCAAAUUGUAACAAUUGGAAGGUUCAGAACCAAACAGAAACUCUUGCAGUUUCUCUAGUAUUGUCACUACACACCAAGUUCCAAUAUGUAUCAAUACCAUGUUGUGUCCUUUGACAGAAUCAUCAUUCACCUGGAUCCUCCACAAAGGUCCGCCAAUAUCUUUGUAUAGCAGUCCAACAUCUUAGAGGCUUUUAUCAGUCAAAUUAAAAAUGAACAAAUAAAUGAAAUACUCCAAGAGUUUGUAACAACAUUCACAAUGAUGGUUAAUGGUUAAGAAUAAACCUAUAGAGAAAGCACCAAACUUAAUUAGUUUAGUAUAGCACACAGUACUAUUACCAAACUUUUCACCAAGUACUAAAUGCAGCAAAGUAGUAAAUAAAAAAUUAGUGCCCCCUAGAAUAAACUAGUGUACGAUACUCUCUACAAGAAAAUCUGCGAGAAAGAAUACGAAAGAAUAUGAAAAACUUAUUCAGAUGUUGGUUUUCUCCCGUUCUAAAAUAUUUGCUAUUUGUACUUGAAAGAAAGCAUAAAUGCAAACAGUUGCACAAAGAGCUACCAGAACUAGAUGGCUUGUGAAAAGUAGAAAAACAUGAGAAGCUACUGAAGUAACUGCUAGUGAGAACAAGAUUCAAAUGCACAAGUGAUGAUUAAAUUGCUAAUUUCAAAGAUUUGCCAAUUGUUUGUCUCAAAGAUUGUCGAUUCAACCCACUAAGUUGAGCUUUGAAGUACAUACCCAUAAAUGAGGACUAGAAAAUAUCCUUUCCUGUCAUGUGAAAUACCAUGUUAUCAAUUUCAUUCUAACAGGUUAAUGUAAAGCUCUAAGAGCCUAAAUCCAAACCCCAUUCAAGUCCUCUAAAUCAAAAAACGGUGUCACAUAAUUACUUGGUCUACCACUCCAAAUGUUAUCAUCAUAUCAUACCAGUACAGUGUAUUUUUCUGCUACUCUGCAUUUACACAAGUUAGCAUAAACAUAGGUUAAUGUCUUAACAAUCUAAUAAAAAAAAAAAAUUCCAGACAAAAAAAUGCACUAUCUUGCAUAGUUGACGUGAAUUUUACACAACCACAUAUGCAAAUGCUUAAGUACACUCCAUCCUUAGCUAUAUCAUAUAAUACAUUCUGCAUAAGACGGCAUAAAAUGUGAGAGAUUUUUACUUGUUUGGUAUAUUAAUAACUGACUGCACAAAUUCAAGAGGGCAUACAACUUACAGAAAGUAUUAUUCUAGGAAAGUUUCCAGCCUCACAGAACAUUCCCGAGUUGGGCUUGGACCGUUGGAUUGAAAGAUUAUGCCUACUUCAGUGACCAGCUUAAUAUUAUGCCUACGUCAGUGACCAGCUUAAUAUUAUGCCUACUUCAGUGACCAGCUUAAUCCCAAUAUUGGAAAGUAGCAUAAAUGGUAUUAAUUCGGCAUCAACCUUUCUCUUCGCAGUGCUAGUUCUAGAAUGCAUACUAGCAUAAGAUUUGAUAUACUAAAUGAACGUAACGUACAGCAAAAGUCCAAUAAAAUAUCAAAUACAUAAUAAUGGUACUCUGCUGAUUCUGAGGUUGGGGAAACCCUCAAUCACUAUGCAGGUUUGCAAUUUCAACCAUUACUGAUGGCAAGUAACAGGACGGUUAUUCUCAAUGAAACAUAAAAGCCUCUAUCUAUAUGAACUGUUAUUCUCAAUCUUAAUUGUUAUUUUCUACAAAAACCUAGCUUCUCUUUACUUAGAUUGAUACUGUAGUUAAUAUUUCAACUUUCAAUACCGCACAAGUGGUCGGAAGAGUAAAAGAACUAAAUUCAUACCAUUUCAAUAACAUAUUGUGCAACCUUAUAUUGGAUUCUUUUAUGCGAUCCAAACUUCAGUUUGAUCAGGAGGAUCUUGUUCAAGUUAAAAACGAAAACUCUAAUUAGAGUGAUUUCAUACAAUAGAAUCAGUUUGACUCUACUAAGCCUAAUUUGUGCCUGGAUCAAACAAAUUGAGUCUGUAAUUAAACUAUAAGUCAUGUAAAUUGCGUCAAUUUUUAUUCUUUUGUUUCUCUAUGUUUCUCUCUUUUGUUUCCUAUUUCAUUAUCUCCACUCUCAAGCUCCCAGAAAGGAUGCACUGGCAUAAACUGGAGUGAAACCAUUAAUAAAUGCUCAUUAUUAUAUAAAUUUAAAUGAUACAUCCAGGUCACAAGCAUUGAGUAUUCUUACAAAGGCAAACAAACAACAAUUGAAGGGAAGAAAAGUAAAACCAAAAACUACGAAGCUUACAGUCCAACAUACACAAAUUCAGAGUGGAAGUACCUCCAAUAUCCAACACUGCCGCGACCACCAAUCCAAAUAAUGAACUAAUUACUUCUUCUCCUCGGAUUGCUCUGCAAACCCUGCGACCCUUCAAACAACUCUGCAACGAGGCUCUCCAAAUCCUCCGGAUUGUACUUAAUAUACCGAUUUGAAUUCCGCCCUCCCUCUAACUGCCCCCUAAACCUCCCCACAAAAGCACGGUAAGCCGGAAUCACCUUCUCCGACACUGAAAUCUGCAGCUCCUCACGGAGUUGAGGAUCUGCAACCUUCCAAGCCGCCUGAGCUCGGUGUAUCUCCUCAAUAGCCAAAUUAAAAUUCUUGAACCUUUCUUUGAGAGCCGCUCUACCUGUGCCACUCCCUCCCAAUCCAUCAUCCCUAAGGUAAGAUAACACCCUUGUCCAUGAAGCUCUCAGAUAGCUUGUUUCAUACUGUCGGAUCAGUCCACGAUGUUUACGGAUCCAAUUAUCUCCCAACAAUGUCCUCAGCUCAGAUUCCCUAACCUUUUGCACUAUAUAGUAUGUGUUAUUCAUCAAGAAUAUAUACUGCAUUCCUCCAUCUUCAUAAAGUUUGGAUUUUUCUUCAAUUUUUGAUUCCAGGAAUGUAAUCAGCUUCAGAACGCAGCGGCCUACCGGGGUCAUAUUCGGGUCGGAUUCUGAACUCUCCCCUUCAUCCCCUUCGAAAUUCUCGAGAAGGGAAUUGAGUGUGGCGGCAUAUUCUACGAGCAAUCCAAUGUAGUUCAUGGAAUAACGUGUUAGAUGGUGGGUCUCAGCGGCCUGCAUGGGCUUACGCGAGGACUCACCCCUAAUGGCAUUGGCGAACACCAUGAUCGUGCCCCUUACGGCUUCACCGAGCCGUUGGAGGAUCUCCUUGGCCUCUUCAGAAAUUAGAGCUUUGGAGUCACCAGUGAAGAGUGUGUCAAGGUCGGGUGCAACAUCAGCAAGGGCCUCGUACAUGCCGAGGAUGCGGAAGAGCUUCUCCGACGUGCGGGGGCAGAUCGCAACGGCGUCGCCGAAGUUGAGGAGCUGGAGAACCAAGCCCUUUGUGGCCUCUGAGAAGCAGUUCUCAACGAUAUCAGGAUCGGAGGCGGAGGCAGAGGCAGAGGCAAGGACCUGGUUGCAGAUGCGGCGCUCGCCGGAGAGGAGUCCCCUGACGGCGACGCGGAGGGUCUGGAUCCAGCGCUUCAUCUUGCCGUCGAGGGUGGUCCAGUCGAUCCGCUGGACCUCCUCGAUGCUGAGCUUGUCGACGCCGAGCACGGCGAGGGAUUCGAGGAGGGCGUCGCGGCGGACGGCGGUGUAGACCUGGCACAGCUCGGGGGCGUAGCCGGCGCGGAUCAUGCGGUCGGCGAUCUCGCUCAGAUCGGCCACGGCGUCGGAGUUGACGAGGUUGGAGGAGAUCCUAUCGGCCGAGAGGGAGAUGCGGCCGCGAUCGUCCAUGUUGUUGUGGCUGCCGUUGUGGGAGUGGGAGUGGUCCUCCUCCGGCGACCCCUCCAACUCGUCGGCGGCGGCGGCGGCGAAGGAGGCGUCGUCGGAGGGGAAGGAGGAGAGGGAGAGGCGGCGGAGGGAGCUGUGGAGGUCGUCGGGGGCGAGGGGGACGGUGUUGCGGAUGAGGAGGUGGCGGAACUCGUCCUCAAGGCGGGCCAUGGCGGUUUGGAGCGCGGACUCGGCGAGCCCGCGGAGUACGAGGGAGGCGGAGGAGGCGAAGGCGAUGAGCUCGUCCACGGCGGAGAGGUACUCGGCGGCGUCGUCGGGGGACUCCCAUAUGAGCGACUCCGCGUCGGAGGACUCCCACCGUAGCACGACCCUCUCCGCCGCCGCCGCCGCCGCCGCCAAGAUCUCGUCGGCGUCCUCACUGUCAAAGGCGACCUCCCCUUCUCCUCCCUGUUCCCCUCCUCCUCCUCGCUCUUCUACUACUACUGCAGCAGGGGUGGGCUCCUCCUCCUCCUCCUCCUCUUCCUCCUCCAUGGGAGCGGCAGCAGCGGAGGAGGAGUGGGUGUGGGGGAAGAGGUCGGGGGAGAAGGAGGAGAAGCGGUGGUCGAAGCCGGAGAGGAUCCGCAUCAUGUCGUCUGCGGCGUUCUUCGACGUGGCGAGGCUCUUCACGAUAUGCUGCGCCGCCGCGAUCACCUUCUCCUGGCCGUCCACUCUGGCCGGCGCCGCCGCCAUCGCCGGAGAACUUUUUGGGCGGUCGAGGAGGGAGGUGCUGUCGACGCCCUAGGGUUAGGGUUUAGGGGAGUUGGCUGUUGGAGAAGAAGAAGAAGAAGAAGAAGAAGAAGAAGAGGGAAAGAGGGAAAGAGGGAGAGGUUCGUCGUCGUCGGAGGGGAGGGGGUCUGAGCUUUCCUCAGAGGUGUGGAACGGGAAAAGGUCCUCCGUUGACUCUUCUCGGGGAAAAUGUACGUUAAACCCCUCAACUAAAGGCUAUUCUCAAAUUAAGUUUUGUUAAAUUCUUUGAUUAAUAAUGAGAAAAAAAAUAUUAAAUUUGAUGAAUGUACUGAUGAAUUUAAGAAAAUUUUGAUUCUGAUUUUCACUAAAAUUAAUAAACUAUUUUUAAAAAAAUUCAAAAGAGUGUGAAUACAAAAAACCAAUGAUUUAAAACCGAGGUCGAUCCGGCCGGUUUGAUCGUCAUCCUGAUUCAAUUUAUAAAACGGUUCGAUUCAAUUUUUAAAUCCCAUAAGUCCAAAAAAUUAUUUUGAACUACUCAAAUUAAUAGCUCAACUAUUAAAUUGGUAAACUGGUCCAAUUUUAGACAAAUCGGCAGAAAAUUUUUAACUAAGUCACAUUAAAAUCUAGCUUUCUAUUAAUAUAGAUUAGCCUUAUAAAAAGUAAAACUUGAAAAUUUAUAUUUAUUAAAUUUAAACUAGAAUUCAAUAUUUUAUAAUUAAAUAUAAGACUAAAAUAAUAAUAUUUUUUACAUAAUAAAAUUAAAAUCAUAAUUAAAUAUUUAUAAUGUCGUGCACUCUUGCUAAGGUUACCUACUAGUUGAAACAGUAAUUUUUAAUCCAAUAAUAUUUUUGAAUUGGACAAGGUUUUUAGAAUAUUGCAAAAAAGAAAAGAAAAGAAAAGAAAAAAAAAACUAGAGUUUAGUGUUCAUUUUUAGUUUUUUUUAAUACUUUGUUUAUUUAUUAGGUGGUACAUUGGUAGGUUGGUGAACUUUUUAAAGUAAUAUAAAAAUGGUUUGGAAAGAAUAGAACAUCUGAAAAUGCUGUUCAUGCCUCUCAAAAAAGUGAAUUUGCUCGUAUGUUCGUAGAACUAGUCCAUAUUUUUUCUAUUCAUUUUAAUGUGAUAUUUGAGUCCUUUCUGAUACACUUUAAUAUGAUAUUUUCUGAUGAUACAAGUUCCCAGUACUUAAAUAAUCAUAUGUGAGGAUUGAGAUCAUGGAUUCAACACUUGGGCAUUAGGAACUUUGACUUCAUAAAAUGUAAGAUUGUACCUACAAGAAUUGCUAUCUAGGGUGUGAAAUAAAAUACAUAUAGCUAGCAAGUUCCCAUAGCCCACAUAUAUGCAAAAAUUGGUCUAGUGAUUUCAAGUGUAUUUGUAUUUCAUUUUAGAAUAUAAUAACCUUUAACAAAAGUAUCUAAAUUUUGCCCGAAUUACUAUUUACUAUCUAAACUUUGAAUGCUAAAACAUAGCAUUAGAAGUGCGCAAAUACUUUCAAUAAAGGUGAAAUGUGGUUUAUUGAGUGAGUGGCUGCAAUGAAGUGGUUUAUUAUCUAAUACGAAUAUGCGCGUAAAUAAAUAAAAAUUUUGAGUUUUUGCAUAUUUGCAGGAAUAUAUAAGCAAAAAGAUCCUACAAAUUGUUGUGUCCAAGCUGAGUGCCUACCACAGGGCCAGAACAACUAGUACAAAUCAAGAAGUGGGGGAAAACAAUGUGGGUCAAGCAUUGCUUGUUUGUCACUGCAUGAGAAAAGGACUCUUCAAUAAAUAUUGUCAUCCUAGGAAAAUCCUUAGCCAGUCUCGCCGAAUCUUCGACUAAGACAUGUUUAGCGGGUGUGUUGACGAGCCCGGGUUCGGUCGGAUCGGUCUAGAUCAUGAUACAUUUUCUAAGGACUAAACCGACUCAGAUUCAGUUCAGACUAAUCGGAUGGUUUGAUAAUGUUUUUUUGGCCAUACUUUUGGGAAAAGUCAAGUUAGUAUUGAAGAUUCUACUUAAUUGGCCAAAAAAAAGACACCUCCUGUAUUGGAACCACACCUAAUGUUCCUUUCAAGGAAAUAAAUUAUCAAAUAUCUGACUACUGAAAGUGAAUGAAGAGCUAGGUGUACCCACAAUACAUCAGUUUACCAACUUUGCUUUCUCACUUAUUAGGUUUCUCCACCAAAAUGGUAUUAUAUAGAGAUCCCAAUCCGAAUCAGAAUCCUAAUCCAAUUUAAAACUAAGAUAUCAAGUUAGAUUUCAAAUAAAUGAAGUAUAUGAUAACAAUAGAAAAAGUGGAUAAAAAUCACAUUCUACAUGCAUAAGAUCAGAAACAUCAUAGUUUUUCUUUCAAAAAAAAAAGACGAUCAGAAAAACAACAAUUGUUUUAAUUUUUUCGGAACUUUAUAAUAAUUAUUUUAAUGCAGUUCCAAUGUUGACAACAAAAACCAACACACGUAAUAAAAAAUUUGAGGGGAAGAUUGCCUCAAGGUUAUUUAAUUCUCAAAUUCAUAGCUUCUCAGCAUCAAGCUUCCACAUUCCAAAACUUUCCAACACAGAGGAAAAGCAUCCAUAAACAUAAAGCAAUAGCAUCUAUAUAAUCUGACUAAUUUAGUUAGUUUAAAUACAUUUCCAAGGAAACCAAUUUCUAUGGAAAACAGUCAAGAAUGGCUACAGUAGCCAUUUAUUCACUAUCUAACCUUUGAUAAAUGAAAAAAAGAAUCAGUAUAAGGGUUUCAGAAGUAAACGACGGAUAACGAGUAGUAAUAGAACUUGUCUAUAUCGCUAAUCUGAAAAGCAAGAAAGCUGGUGCGUCUAACCAGAACCGUUGAUCACCCAAAGGACUGGCUGAGAUGAAUCAACAGUGAGCAAGCUACACCAUAUGUAUACCAACUUCUAUUCCGUAUCAGUUUCUAUCAUCAUCAACGAUCUCUAGGCCCUUUCCAUAUCAGUUUCUAUCCAUCCUUUCAGUCAUUUUGCAACUAUGGUUUACUUCUUUUUCUUUUUUUUUUUCUUUUUUUUUCACUCUGUGCAGGUUUGAACUAAAAGCAAUCCUUUCGUGGAGCAAAAUGCCCAUAGCUGGAACUCUAGCAAUAGAUUUAUUGUGCAGAGGGCCACAGGCAUUUUGAUCCAGAAAAAUAUAUCUUACUCCAUAGUUACAAAAAUGAAAAAAGGCAGAUUGAAGUUGCAAAAUAAAAGAAAAGGUGAAUUACCUCUGUAAAAUCCCCAUGAUAAUCUAAAACUGUACAUCGUUCAGCAAGCCUAAUGUACACAAAAUCAACUGCUUCAUCACCACCAAUCUGGUAUUUUUAAUCUCCUGCUCCGAUGCACCUCAAGAUUGACCGCAGGCAGCUUAUUUCUCACUUGCCUCCAUAUCAUAUUUACGGCAUCACCCUUUUUCGCAGGGUGCUGAAAUUCAAAGUGGUGAGACACAUUCUUUAAUUUUCCCCACAUCUCAAUCCACCUCUGUUUGGGGAACUGCCUAAGCUGAGUGAUUAAGUAAUUGGGUUGAAGAGCUUCUUCCACAGAGAAGAAGAGAGAGAAUUCAGUGUAAUCGAUCUCGUUUUCGAAAGGAAGCUCAAUACGAUCACUGAUGAUUACAGGGACACAGUGACUGAUGAUGGCGUCGAAGAGUCGGCAUGAGGAGGGAGUGUCACCGGCAGGGUGGAGGCAGAAUUUGGACAUCCGCAUCCCUUCAGUGGACUGGGAAAAGAGAACAGAGAGAUUUAUUUAUUUUUUAUUUGUGUUAGAGAGUAGUUAAAAUGUUUUAAAUAUUAAGAUUAUGAUAAUUCGCCAAGCCUAGCAUAUUCUGGUUUGAGGAAUUGAGGGUUUCUUUUUUCAAGUAUGAUGCAGAAGACAAGAUGUCUCACUAAUUACCUAGCUUUCCCAACAAAGAAAAUUAAAAAUUCAAGAUUGGGAACAAGAAUAUGUUUCUAGGAGUCAAAACAAAUGGAACAUGUCAUUCUAAAAUUAUGCUGCCAUAACAGACAGGUAUAAAGAAUAAAAAAGGUUCGGAUACAGAUUGCCAAUCCUAACCAAGAUAAGAUGGAUGUGUAAGUAUUCCAUUCGCCUAUUCCAAGAAGAAUGUCUGGGCAAUUAGAGAUGUCAACAUGCCACGCCCAAGUAUCAUUCGUACCGAUCCUGAACGCAAAAGGUGCAACAGGCAUACCAAAUGUUCUUAACAUAUGAUGCCAGUCUCAAGGGGGUGUUGGUGUGGUUGGGUUGUUCAUUAAUUGAAUCAUGCCACAACCCAGACACACAAAAAUAAAUAAAUAAAUAAAUAAAUAAAGCUAUGAACAGCCGUGAAUCAUAUGCAUCGGAGGAAGGAGAGGAAGGAUAGAAAAGGAUCACCAACUUACUGCUUGUAUGCCAUGGCCAGUUGCAAGGCUGUUCUCAAAAUGCACAUCAUUGUAGCCUUGUAACAUCUUUGCUAAAUGAGAACGGAUUUUCCCUUCCUGCACAAACAAGCAGCCCCACAUAAUCACUUCAGUGUAGCGUACAAAAGGACAAAAGUUUUUCAACCUUUUUACCAACAGAGUCUACUUUCUCAUUUUUCAGAAGAAGUAACAUUUGAUAUUUUUACAAUUUCAGCCUGCAUUUCAACUAUUAGAAUCAAACUGCUCCUCCACUACAUGACCAUGAUGCACAGCAUUCAAUUUUUGAAUGGGCAAUGCACAGUUUUGAAUGAUUAAUACAUAAUUUUGAAUGAGAAAAACAUCUUUGAGAGUAUGCAGCUGCAGUUCAAAACUUUGCAUCUACUAAUCAAAUCUGUGCACUGGUAGUGGUGGCUUUGAAAUACAUGGUCACAACAGUCAAUUAUUAGGCUAAAAUUGCAAAAGUGAUAAAAUGUCCCCCUCUGCAAAAUUACAAAAAAAAUGUGAAUUUUUUUGCAAAAAAAAAAAGACCAACCAAAUAACUCCAUUGAAAUGACAAAAUACAUACAUCUUUCCUGACGGUACGACCUCGGAAGAAGAGAAGAGUAGGCCGUGAAUUAAAUGGGUCAGGAGAAUCAUCAUCCGUAAAGGAAUCAACAACAUGCACAUAAGGGGCUACAACAUCUUUGCUCAGAAAAGACACGUCUCGGGGGUAACGUGCAAAAUCUGCAACAAUGAGUAUCGAUGCGUUUACAAGAUCCCGAAGAAACCUAAAAGCAUUAGGAUGAUGCAUGGGAAUAACAUGAUCACGGCCAGCUGAUCGUUUCCAGUAUUUGGAUUUCCACAAAAUAUCCAAAAUGUCGACCUGCCACCACAAAAUUGGCAAUAAUGUGACAAACUAUCUCGGCGAAGGAUUAAUGGAAUGGAAAGGCGACCGACUGCAUUGAUUUGCAGACAAAUAUGCAGGGCCACAGGUUACUGCUUUUCUGGAAACUAAGAAUAGCGCUUCGGAAUCUAGAUUGAAUGAUUUAUCUUAAUUGUAACCUUAACAGCAGUUAAGCAUUGACAAAACACUCUCUCCACAUCAUUUUGAUUCCUAUAUCUCAAUAAACAAAGAUCCAGCUUCCAUAAUUAAAUAAAUAAGAGCACUAUAUGCGAGAGGGAAAUGGAGAAACAUUUGAUGACAUCACAACUUACCAAACAAAAAUCAGCAUGAAGAUCCUAAAAACUCCAGAUCAAUAGAAUGAAUCUACUAAAGAGACCAUAAGAUGUUGCCCAAUUGCUGUAGAUUAGUGAAUGUUAGGUUCAAAUAACAUUUGCAAAAGAGAUCUAUAUUUUCUAUUUAAAUAUGCAACUUUUAGAAGCCAACAAUCUAACCAAUUCCUAAUUUAAUCACCAAGCAUCAAUUUUUUAAUUCUGUUGCUUGCCCUGCACUGAAAGAUAGUAUAAAAUAACAAUUAUAUGCUGAUAUAACAAAAGUCACCAAUUUCCCUGCAAAAGACCCUAUAUUCUAAGUUAAUAAUAAUAAAAAAAAGGGAAUUAACAAUUCAGAAAUAGAAAAGAAGCAACACUGUCACUUGGAAGAGCAAUAAAUGACAUAAAUCCAAGAACAUUACCUGAAGCUGCCGAUCGAUCUCGGUAUCCGGAUCGGUCAUGUUGUGCCCAUGAACGUUGAAGCUCAGCGACGAGAAGAAGGGGACGAAGAACACGUCCGCCUCCUCCCCAUCCAAAACCCUAACCGCCUCCGCCUCCGCCCACUCCUCCUCUCCCCCAUCGCGCCCCACCAGCGACGCCAUCAUCCAAUACUCCACGCUGUGCUGCCUCUUGAUCCCAGUGCCCCUGGGCCACGCCGGAAACCUAGAUCCUCCAUCGCCGCCAUCGCCGCCGGAGGAGUCAAGCAUGCCGAGGUUGAAGCGGCGUGGGAGGUCGUACAUGAAGACCCUGAGAGGUGGAGGCGCUCGAAGGCCGCCGCCGCCGCCGCCCGAGGAGGAGGAGGAGCAUUGAGAGGUGGAGGAGAUGGGGAGUGAGAAGGAGAAGAGGCGGGGGCGGAGAUCCAAGUUGGAGAGGAGGAGGGACAAAGAGAUAAGGAAAAGAAGCGAAGCCCCAAUGGAGAGGGCGAACGAUCGCUUCGUCGCCAUGGGCGGAGACAGAGACAGAGAGAGAGAGAGAGAGAGAGAGAGAGAAGAGGAGGAGGGGGUGUGGUUCGUUAUCAGAGCGGCACCGAACGAUCGCAUAGAGACACUUUCAUGGGGACGUCGGUAAAGAGUAUUUAAAAAAAAAAAAAGGAUAAACUUUAAAUAUCACCCCUGUAAUUUUAUACUUUUUCACUUUAGUAUUCUUUGAAUUAAAGUAUAUCAAUUUAAUAUUCUGUUAUUUUAUUUUUUCUCUUUACCGGUUCCUCUGUUAAUAUUUUAUUAAAUUAUAUACAAAAAACUUCAUAUACUCCACCUAAAUUUAUCGAAUAUUCAUUUUAAUACUUUUUAAUUUUAAUUUUGUUGCUGAUUUAAUAAAAAUAAUAAUAAUAAUAAAAUAAAAAAUAGAAUUAUAUGUACUAAAUUGAUACAUUUUAAAUUAUAUGGUACUAAAGUAAGAAAGUGGAAAUGAUAUUUGAAGCUUUUCCAUAAAAAAAAGAGUCCGGCUGGAAUACUAUCGAUAGCACAAGGGUUUGGUGCUAUCGAGUUUUCCACUGUUAGAUUAAACCUUUUAAUUAUUUUUACUCGUUAAAUUAUACUAUUCAACCAACCACCCACUCAAUCCUAGGAACCCACAUAAUCCUAACCGCAUAAUUCUCAAUCCAAGGACUAAAAAAUUAAUAAUACUAAUAACUUGAUGCUAUUGAUAAUAUUCCAGUCCAAUUCAANGAGGAGGGGGUGUGGUUCGUUAUCAGACUGGAACCGAACGAUCGCAUAGACACUUUCAUGGGGACGUCGCUAAAGAGUAUGUUUUUUGAUAAACUUUAAAUAUCACCCCCGUAAUUUUAUACUUUUUCACUUUAGUAUCCUUUGAUUUAAAAUGUAUCAAUUUAAUAUUCUAUGAUUUUAUUUUUUCUCUUUUUACCAGUUCCUCUAUUAAUAUUUUAUUAAAUUAUAUACAAAAAACUUCAGAUACUCCAUCUAAAUUUAUCGAAUAUUCAUUUUAGUAUCUUUUAAUUUUAAUUUUAUCACUGAUUUAAUAAAAAAAUAGUGAAAGAAAUAAUAAAAAAAGAGAAUUACAGGUACUAAAUUGAUACAUUUUAAACUAUAUGGUACUAAAGUAAGAAAGUGGGAAUGGUAUUUGAAGCUUUUCUAUAAAAAAAAAAAGAGCCCGGCUGGAAUACUAUCGAUAGCACAAGAGUUUGGUGCUAUCGAGUUUUCCACCGUUAGAUUUAACCAUUUAAUUAUUUCUAUUCGUUAGAUUAUAAUAUUCAACCAACCACCCACUCAAUCCUAGGGGCCCACAUCAUUAUAACCGUACGAUUCUCAAUUCAAGAACUAAAAAACUAAUAGCACCAGUAACUGGAUAUUAUUGAUAUUAUUGCAGCCUAGUUCAAAAAUAUAUAUAUAUAUAAAAGCUGAUCGCUAGAUACCGUCCACCACGGCAAUUGUUAACUGCCCAAAAUAAUCCUACCAUCAUCAGAUGAUGCACCGGGUGUAUAAAAAUAUCUGCCAUAGAAGACUUAAAAUCAGAAUCUAAGUUCCCAUUUUUAUUUCUAUGAUAUUUAUAAUAUCUAUACAUUAAAUUUAUACAUAAAUUAAUUUUUUUUUUUUGUGCCGUUAAUUAUUUGAUGUAUUAAUAAUAAAUAUUCAAUGGUGUAGGUCAAAUCUAUUUAGUGUACUAGAUUUUAAAUUUUAUGACAUGUUAAUAUUUGUGUACGGUGCUUGAGGAGUACGGAUACACUAAGUACAGGUGAUAAAUAAAAGUCUGCCCCGCCUCCCGUCCCGAAUUCGUGACGGAUUGGAAAUAGUUAUCCCAUAAUCCGCCCCGCCUCAUAACCCGCCUCUCGCCGGCGCCCCGAAUCCGCCCAGCCAAAUAGUAUUUGUUUUACAAAUUUUAAUAUUAUUAACAUUUUGUAAAUAUAAAUCAACAAAAUUUUUAAUAUUAAUUGAUAAUAUUAUCAAGUUAUAUAUAAAUAACAAUAUCAACUAUAAAAAUUAAAAAUAUCAAUCACAAUUCGUAAUAAAAUUCAAAGUUGCAAAAUGAGACUAUGAGAGCUAAUAUAAUUGGGUUUUUUUUUAUAAAUAUAUCAUUUUUUAGGGAUAUUUUAAAAAAAUAUAGAAAUAGUUUUCGGGACGGAUUCGGGAUGGAUUCGGGGCAGGGCGGAUUCGGGGCGGAUAAAAAAUUUUUCAGUUUCCUACCCGUAUCCGCCUCGGAUCAUAAAACUACCCCGUUUUCUGCCCCGAAUUCGUUUAUUUCCUCUCGUUUACUGCCCCAUUCGGGACGGAUCGGGGCGGGAGCUCCACCAACCCGGAUCCGUUUGCAUCCCUACUCUGACCUCAAUUCCCGUUCCUAAACUUACAAAUUUUAUCAUGAUCAAGUGCUUUUUGGAUUGUCUCAUGUCUUUUGAUCGGUGUUUAUCCCCACCAUAUUUCGAUUUUCUUACGUAAAAAAUAUUUACUUCUCCGUUCCUAUUUGAGCGGUGCAUGACAACGCGAUGAAGCGGGUCCACCAGUAGUUGGAGUUAAUUACAGUCGCAUACGAAAUAGUUAUGCGGAUGCAAAGUGGCGUGAAAGGAUGGGUUUUGUUUUUGCUUGGCUCCUCAAGUACAAUAUUAAUAAUAAUAAUUAAAUAGAACGAUAAUAUGCCAUGCUUGUAGAUGGGACAAUGUUAAUCACUUGCUUUUAAAACAAAAAAUAAAAAAUGAUAACAUAUUUAGGUUUAGUAGGUUUAGUUUGGUUUUGAAGUUUAUAUAACGCUAUUAGAUAAAAUAAAAUUAAAAAAAAAGCAUAUAGAGAUAUGCUUCUGCGUUCUCUGAUGGGAUCGCAGAAAAUAUAUCGUAACCGACUGAUCGCAAUAUACGGAACGCAAUAUUACAUACGGAAACAAACAAAACAUACAAAAACAAAAAUUAACUAUUUUUUAUUUUUCAUUUUUUAUUUUCGACAAAAUAUAAAGUUCGUUCAGUUAAAACAAUUUGCAGACCUUUUAUAAAAUAAAUAUAUUCAUUAGCCAACAUUUGAAAGUAAAAGUAAGAAGGAAAAAAAAAAAAAAAUCAUUGCUUACUAUCAAGUAUCAAUGCUAACUUGGAACUCCGGAAAUUAUUAUGUAAAAAUGUCAGGUACAACGAAAAAGAGGCAAAAAAGGGUUUUAAGGUAUAAUCUAGGACCGAAUCAACAGUAACUUAUACAGAAAUAAUCAUUAGAUUUAUUGGAUACAGUAGUUCUUUUAAAUCUCGCGAUCGCCUCGACGUAUAAAUAGCGUGUUAAAAGCCACAGGAUGAAGGCGCUUCUCUUUCUCCAUCGAUCGCCAAUUCGAGCGAACAAUGUCUUCAAACUUGUUUACGAGGAGAUCAUCUGUGUAGGCUCGGAUACGCCUCCGCCAUCAUCAAGACCACGAGCGAGGUCCAACCGGUAAAAGGCCGCGCGCCUUUGCCCUUUCCCUUGUUCUUUUGGUCGUAAUUUUCCCACAAGAAGCCACUUUCGUAGUAGUUCCGCACAACGUUCCUGUUGUUAGUGAUGAAGAAACAGUGAGAUAGGGCUGAAGACCAGCCUCGAAUCGGUUUUUUCCCUUCAGAUAUAUACAUUCUGAACACAAUUAUGUAUCCGAAUAUAGAUCGCUGCAAAAAUCUGAGUUUUCAUAUGAUACGAAGAUUCUGAUUUCACAAGACGAAUAUAUGUAAUAAAUAGAUGAUUUCGCAGGGGGUAUGUAUGUUAAAGCUCGUUUGCCGUUCCUCCUUUUAAACUCUCAUUUUAGAGUUUAAGAAAUAAAGGUCAGGUACCUGAUCAAGUUAGACCUGAGCUCCUGGUACAAUUCUCCUGCUCUCGCCUUGUACGGUCCAUCCUCUGCAGCAUAAUUGAGGGGUUAGAGAUUGCAUAUGUUUAAAUAAUUAAGAGAGAUAUAUAUUAAGCUAUUUGAGGCUUUAGCAUCAGUUUGUUACCUUGUGCAUAAUGAUUUAGUGCCGAAAGAAUCAUGUAGUUCAUGUUCAUCCAAAUGGGGCCUCUCCAAUAUGGCGGGUCGUGCUCCGUAUUGCGUUUCAUGUACAACGAGCUAUAACAGUGAAUGAAAUCGAUAAGAAUACAGCAUUUUCCAACUAAGGUCUAGAUUUAAUUUUUUUUUUUUUUUUUAAAAAGAGCUUACAACGACGGGAGAGCAAUGCUAUUCUUCUUUUAACCUUUUUGCACGCAUAAAGGGAGAACAAUGCUAUUCAUUUUUUUCAUCGCGCUCAACUAAAAUAGAUUGCUAAGCAGGAAUACCUUGUUUUGGAAAGCGAACGAAGUCCGUAAUCAGUCCACAAGAUUGAGCGGUUGGAGAUAAGAUCUAGCUGUUUUUCAAGAAUCCACGAUUCCUGGAAAAGAAAAAAAAAUUAUUGCUUAUUUUGAUAUAUCUAUCAACAAUCUAUCCUAUAUAAUAGAAGGUCUUAGACAAAGACACGCUUGAAUUUCGCUUACAGGUGGAAUGAUACCCAUCAUAAAUGGGAAAAGGCUCACAUAACCAACAUGGGGAACCAAUUGUAGCUGAGGCUUUUCCAGGGUUUCUCUUAAGAGCUCUCUUUUCAUCAUCUCGUUGCUUCUUACCUCGUACCAUCUCAGGCGAACCUAAAAUUAGAAUGUGAAAGCAAAAACAGUACCAUAUAAGAGCAACAACUAGAGCAAGCAAUCAAGAAUGAACUUUACUAACAAAUAAAUUUUAGAAUGCUGAUUAAAUCCGCGUGAGAUGCAACAAAUGAACUGAGAAGUUAAAGCACCACCCUGUACAUUCUUUGCCCUUUUGCUCUUUUUUAUAGCAAGCAACGAGAAAUAAUCAAUUCCGCCUAUUUGCUCGCAAUUACAAAAUUGUAACUAAUUUCUGAAGUGAAGGUGCUAGGUUUUCAUAAUUUGCAAAUAACUUAAUGAGGCUGCACAAUUUACUUUCAAAAUACAUGUAAAAAUAUAUUGUUUCGUUAUAACUCCUUCAAUAUGAAACAAGUUAACUAACCUUCUCUGUGUGGUUCCCAAAAUCAUAGUAUGCUCCAGAAGUAUCAUCCAAAUGCAUCUGGCCAAAAUAAAUGCAACAGUAAUAAGCUCAAAACUGACAAAUAAUAGACAAUUUUAUUUUGAUUCUCUUUUUUCUUUCUGAAUUAUAGUCCAAAAUUUUCCAUCUAGUUUUAACGUGAAAUGUUCCUUAAAGAAGCACGUUUCUUUAUAUUUGCUAUUAUUGUUGCCAAACAGAUUAGAGGAGGGUCACUGAGCAUCUUACCCAAUUCAAGAAAUAAAAAUCAAUUUAGCAACACUUCAAGACAUUUCACGUAAUACAGACGGAGAAAAAACUCACUUGGACCACGUUAUUGUAACAAAAUGAGCAGGAGACGAAAUAAGUUUGUUGUCUUAAAUUUUUGCUAUAGAGAACAGAAAGUCAGAAGCAAAAUAAAUGCAAUAGGUUAUGAUGUCAAAAACGCCCUCCACUAUAUGUUGUCCAGUACCUUAUAGAUUUCUAAGUAAUAUUUUUUAUUUUGGCUGGCAAGAAAACAUAGAUUACCUGAUUGAGGACCUCAAAGUUUGAAAGUUGUUUGGACAUCAAAUUAUAAUCCUGCACAAGUUCCAUCACAAUGCUAAUUACAUAGAACGAAAAAAAUCCUUCAUUGUGUGCAUCAAUCAUAAAACCAGUUACAUUUGCAUAUAUAAUCCUUGCAAAAUUACCAAUUUCUAUAUGCAUCCUUGCAAAUCUGAAUUUCAUAUAUGUGCUCUGAAAAAUGCUUCCUUACAAAGAUACCCUACACUUGCAAAAGCGCUGCUCUUAGAAAAUACUUUUCUUAUUGAAGACAAACCUCCCCCGUGAAUUGAAUAAUUCCCUAACUUAAAAGUCAUCUGUGUAGAAACUGCAGUUUCAACGGGCACACAGGAAAAUUCUUAUUUGCAUGAAUACAUAUUUAAAAUAGAUGAUUGCCUAUGUACAUGUAAAAGGCCCAAAUAAACUAUGAUACCUUUUCUAAAUCGCUUUUCAUGUUGAGAUGCUCUGCAAUUGAAUGCAUGCAAUCCGAAGCUAGAAGCAUCCAACAUCUCAGAUCUACAUGGCGCUCCUCAUCAUUAGGGUGAGAUGCGCGAGGGUAAUCGUCUAACCCAGAUGUCAAAGUCUAGAAUACAAUGGUUUUAAAUUAAAAGAAGUGAAUUGGAGCAUAAAAAUGGCAAAAUAUAAUAAAAAGUUGAGUACAAGAAAGGGCGUUUAGAAAACCUUAGGAUUCAAUUCCCUUCUUGUUGUGUUGUCUCUUCCAUGCCAAUAAAAGGUGCCUUUAUGCUUCCCUGGGAACCAAAGACUGGGUUAAAGUGAAAAGUGAAAAAGUUUUUCGAAGUUCAUAUGAACAACUGAUUUUUAUAUAAGCAUUAUACUAUUAGAGUAAUGAUGAUCUCAUCUUACAUUUUACCUUCAAAGAAUGCAAAAAGACAAAGAAACGAGUCAAACUCACCAGAUUGUAUGGUAUUGAACCAUUGAAACCAUGCAUUCAAGCGAAUGUAAGCUCUUUCUAGGAAUGCAGAGAUCUUCUUGGUUUCCUCACUUGAAAAGCUGCUUGUAUUUAUACCACUUGCCAACUCUGAAUAGAUCAAAUAUUCAGCAUCAAAGCACAGCCUCGCAUUAUUUUCAUAAGUAUAUACUCGUUGAAUAACAAUGGUUAAUAAGAAAAUAUAACUAUCUUUUGCGACGAGGCGAUAAAUAUGAAAACCAACAUCAUAUCAUAGAUUAAUCUAAAAGACACAAGAUGACCAAGGCUUGAACUCUCUCCGAGCACCUUACAGCUUAUCUCAUAAAAGCUUCAUCAGCUUAGGAAAGGGAAAAAAAGAAAAAAAGAGGACAAGUGAGCUUACCUCGUAGAGCUAGGAAUAAAGUCGGUGGGUUCCCAUUCGAUGGAUGCUGGAGAACAAAUUCAUCAGGAACUUUACUGAAAAAAGAAAUAACAUAAAUUUAUACAUAAUAUAACCAACAUAUGCACAAUACAAAUAUUUCUUUACAACAAGUUGAAUCAAUUAUACAAAAUAUAACGAACAUAUGCACAUUACAAAUAUUUCUUUGCAACAAUUCGAAUAGAAAAUUCUUCACUAAAUAGGAGAAGAAACUUACCUCAACGCUUCAGCUCCUAGGAUUUGCUCACGAGGAAUCCACCCAUCUAUAUUAAUAAGAUCUAACCAAUGCCCAAUUAUAUCCAUGCACAUAUCAACAUCCCAGCGCCUACACAUUGACAUAUAUAUAAGUCGGCGUCAAGAAGAAAGCAAAGUUUACAAAAGAUUUGCAUAUACACCCCUGCAAAAUUAUCUACUUUACAUAUUAAACUGAUUUCUCAUAUGUGACAUUUCAAAACUUAGUUUCUAACACAUAUACCUGUGUAUUUGCAAAAUGCCUCUCUCAGCAAAACUUUUUCCAACUCAAACCAAAUCUUUCCCCCUUGAAUUGGAUGACUUCCGGACUCAAGAUAAGGGCAUUUCAUUUUGAAACACUUUCUAGGAGUACAUAUGAAAAUUCAGAUAUUAGAGGGGGUGCACAUGAAAAUGAAUGUAAAUCCCAAAUAUGAAUUGCGGGCAACCAACCAAACGAUGAGCUGAUGAAAGCCUUCGUCCCACAAAAAUCCCCUCGGAAAGAACGAUCUACUGGGAACAGCAGUAAAAAGUGCAGCUGGCCAAUAAGAAAUGGAUUUAUCACCAUUCUUUUGCUGCAAAGAGAAAUUUCCUCAGGCAUGAUUAUUCUUAAGUGUUUCAGUAUAAAUGUUUAGCCUCAUAGGAGGAAUAUAUCUAGCUACAACUAGAAUCCAGAUAAUCAAACACACCACAUAUAGUAUAAACAAAAAUAAGAAGAACAAAGUUGAACUCAGUUAACUUACAGUGAGGCCUUUCGGCAGAGCAAUUCUCGACUGGCCAUAGAAAUAGCCAAUGCCACCAAGAAGAUUGCCUAUCGCCGCCCUACCAACAGAUAUUUCUUCAGAAUCAUCCUGAGUCAAAGCAACACCCGCAUGGCUAUAAUAUAUGAAGUAGAGAGAUUUAUAAUCACAGAUUUAAGGUUCACCUAUCUGCAAAAAAUUAUUAUCAUAGCCGAAUUUACAUUUUACGUGGUAAGUACAUUUGCAGGUUGGAGUAUAGUAAUUUAACGUAUAAAUUUAAUAUUCUUUAUGUACAUGUUUAUAAUUAAAAAUCCAUAAUGUUCACAUACAUAAAAACCUUUGCACCAAGUAUGCAACAGAGAAAGUGGUAACAACACCAUACAUAUAAAAAUAGACAAGUAACAACCAUCAGCAGCAGGCUCACCUCGUCCUUCACAUUGAAGCAUCUCGCAUAUUUGUCUUCAAAAUCCUUUUGUUUCUCUUCCAAGCGACUGGUCAAAAAGACACCUAGUAUAUGUCCAUAUAAAGGUAACAAAAAAAAUAUAUAUCACAAAUAUUUCGGCAUCUACCAGCUUAAUAGAAAUGCAAAUAUCUAAAUUCUAAAGGCGUCUGAUAGUUUAUAAAAAAUAGUACUUUAAGUAGAUACACUGUCCACAGUCCACUCAAAUGAUUCUGAAUAAUGUAAACUACCCCAUAGUAUAUUCUGAAGCUGUUGAAAAAAAAAAUGCAUACUGAUCAUCCAUUGGAGUUGAAAAAGGAAAUUGUAAAUUGCACCAUCCCAUAUAAUCCUUAAAUGAGCCAUAUUACAGGUUACAAUUUCCAAAAUAGUUUCUAAAAUGAUUUUUGAAAGCAUGUAGUGAUUCUCUAGUUUCAUUGAAGUCAAUACCUAACAAACGAACAAAAGGCAAAACAAAGCAACAGAUUCAGAAAGAGAACUUCUGCGAGUAUAGUUGCAAUAUUAGACAACAUAUAUUGUAAGUGUGACAAAUUCAUCCGUGUAGUAACCAGCACGAGGAACCAUGUAAAGAAAUUGGUAUUAAGGUAAUCAUCUCCCACUAUAUAAAUAUAUGAAUAACAAAUUGCAAAACAAACAAUAAAUAAGCAAAUACGAAUUUAUAAAAUGAAUGGAUACUUAACAAAUACGAAUCAUCAUCAACAAAAUAUCGCUAUAGUGAAUGAUAGAUGCACCAGGUUUCUAUCAUUUAUUAAUCAACCUCUUUACCCCAUAACCCCCAUAAUUAUUUGAUUAAUUUUGUUGGAUAAAAACCAACAGGUUCCCUACAUAACUAUCAGUUGCCAUUUCUUUGAAGAAGAAGCAAAGAUGAGUUUCUUCAAUUUGACCAUAAGUUUCUUCCUAAUGAACAUCAAAGUGCAGGAUGAGGACAAGUAUUAUCCAACAUCAUAUUUCAAUCAACAAAGGCCUAUUUUAAAGACGUUGUAGCAUUAGAUAGCUAGUUACUUGAUUACUAAUGAAGCACAUGUACCUGUAAGGCUGUUGAUUCGUUCUUCUAUCCUCGAACUUGUUGAAUCAGUUCCAGAUACAAACACUAUAUCAAUUUUCGCAGGGAGCUUAACAGAAAUCUGAGGUGUAAUGGAACAAAGAUGCAAACAAACAGGGCAAACAAAUACAUCAGAGGGUCAGACCCUAAAUUCCACAGUUUAAAGCAAUUACUAUACAGACUUAAGGCUGGCAUUAUUUGGUGAAUUCUUUUCUAUUUUUUUUCAUCAUUCACAUUACCUGAUAAACCAUAAUGUUUGGAGAGUCUUCAACUAUGUCUGGCAGUUGCACGAACCCCGUUCUCCUUGCCUAGAAAAGGAGGCCGCACCAAAAACAAGUAAAUUUAGAUGAAAUUUCAUCCGUGAAACAGAAAAUAGAAGUUUGAGACGAACUUGUCCUAUCUAGGAGAUUAUCGAGCAACAUAUGGGAUUAAUUUGACAUUACAUGGCUUGCAAGAGUACCCUGGACUAGUUCAGUUAAAUUGUGCAUAUGAAGAGAUCUGUAACCAGCAAUUCGUUUUUCCAGAUUAUCCUGUAACAAGACACAGCUACUCAAACACCAUACUUUAGCAAAGGAAACACAAAAAAAAAAAAAGCAUAAAAGUUGAUGAUCCACGAAAAGAUAAAAUGUUGUACGACGUACGGUCGAUUGUAGAUGCAGCUCCCAACUACCAACAUCGUUUCGGGUCCCAGAUGCCAAAAGGAUGGUAUUGCGAUGCUCAAAGUCUUGUCUACCCAUAUCAAAUGAUUUUCCUUCUUCAUCAGCCAAGUAAAAGAAUAAAUGAACAGCUCCCUCUUUAGGUUCAGUUAAACUUGACCUGCCAUGAACCAAAUGGAUGCCAACAACCAUUACAAGUUUGUCAUGAUACUGAUAUCUUGCGAUGACCAGCCAAGCAUAAUUUUAAGGGUCUUGAAGUAAUUACCAAAGUGAACAAGUACAAAGUUUUACAAUUUAUCAAGGUUAUAAGCUUCCUCAAGCUGUUGUGUCAAAUUAAUUCCCAAAAUCUAAAGUAAUUAGGAAAUAAUCAAUUUGCGAUGAAACUUUGUGGGCAAUCUAUAGCAGAUCAUACCUGCUGCAAAAGAAAUAAUAAUAAUAUAAUAAAUAAUAAUACCGAACGCUUACUUCUCAUCCUGCGCUUCCAGUCUAACAGCCCAAUCCCCUCCAUAUCCACUGCCUUUUCCUCUCUCUUUCAAAAAACUAGUAGUCAAAGACAAGCCGUGAUCGAUCAACACUUGGCGUCCAUAAUCUCUACCAUUGUGAUCCGUCCACCCAUAUAUACUAAGUUCAUCAGAAUCUUGGCAAACAUGACGCAGAAAAUAUUGUCCAUUCUUUGUGCCAAGCCACAUUAAUCCAGCAAUUAGUGACCGGUGUGUUCUGCAAAAGUAAAUAUAUAAAAUUAGAACAUUUAGGAAAACCCAAAAGAACUUUAGCUCCAAAAAAGAUCGCAUGAAUUACUCGCAUGUAAAUAUUAGCUGAAAACUGAAAAGUCUUUUGAGGUCCAUAGAAGGCCAUAAUGUCUGCAGAGAAAGUGGCCAAGUGCUUUCAAAUGCCAACUAUAGACAACAAGAAUAUUGAAGUUUUUAAAUCAUUUCAAUCCUAAAAACACAAAUUUUACUCAAGAGAAGAGCAAUGCAAUGGUAAGAGAGUUAAACAUGCUAGGAAGAUUAUUUCACCGGAAGCUAUCUAUGUAACCCAAAGGAAAAAAAAAUUACAAACUUAUACACACAAUAAACUCAAUCUAUGGAAAAUAAGAAGAACAGAUGAACAGCUCGCAACGGAAAAUUGGAACCUGGCACGAAUCCCGAGGUAAACAUGGGGUCGGUAGGUCCCCCAGUACAAGCUCUCCUUGUGCUCCCCUUGAAACUACACCAUUCAACGAAAACCCAUUAUUCCAUCAACAACCAAAAAAAAAAAAAAAAAAUCCAUUUUUUCCACUAAAAACAAGCAAUUUAACUAACAUAUGCAUCCUUCUGUAACAUUACAUGAUUCUAGGCUAAAAUGUAUGGAUUGUCCCUUUACUAUCUCAAUACUGCGAUUGGUCCCUAUAUUAGUACUUUCACAUUAUACUCUUCAAACUCAUACCCGACUAUUUAAAGAAAAAAAAAUAACUUUUAUUGUAAAAUAACAUUUUUAAUCUUAUUUCAAGUAAAUUGAGAAAACAGUUGUUCAGGAGAAAUUUUUUUUUUCAAAAAAAAACAGACUUUUUAUGGUUAAAAAUGAAAUUGCAAUGUAUGCAACAUUUCCGGAGCUAAACUGUUCGAGUAGAAACAUUGGGACAGUAAAGGGACAAUCCGUACAAUUUACCCUGUGUUCGGGAUCCAUUUCACCUGAGGAAGCUCAAUCAUCUUCGGCGCCGGCAACGGCGUCACGACCCUCAUCACCUUCCUCACCGCCGCAUCCUCCUCCUUCGAUCCCCAGCGGUAGUUAUACACGAGAAGAGAGACGAGGAGGAGGGCCAGAAACCCUAACCCUAGCCCUAGGAGGGUUCCCAGGCUCACGUCCAUCAAGCGGAUGCGGCCAUGGUCGCCGCCACCACUCCCCCUCCGCCGCUUCCCGGGCGCGCCGCCGCCGCCGCCGCUGCCGCCCACUCGCCGGGGCUCGUCGGCGUCGCGAUCCGCCGCCGCCGCCGCCGCGGCGCCGCCGCGAGCGGUUCGCCGGCGACCUCCCGUCAUCGCUCGCUUCGCAACGAAAAGGGGUUUUGCACGAGAUUUUAGGUAGAAUUAAUGCUAAAUUGCAUCGCGUGGUCCCUGAAUUUUGACCAUAUUUCAUUUUAAACCUUAAAACUUUUUAUCAUGAAGAUUAGUCUACCACGUCAUCCGUAGACCACCAAACUACCUACUUUUGAGUUUUGACAACAGUGAAAAGGAGUGAGAUUUUGCGGUCCACAGAUUACUUGGUGCACCACGUCGACGCAACAACUAGUCCAUACUGAGUUUUUCGUCCUUUCUCUAUAAAUACCCUUUCAUCUCUAGGGUUUCUCUUCGCAAGCGGAGUGCGGCGGCGAGAGCGAUUCCUCUGCAUUUCCCCCCACCUCCCCAAUCUCUCCGCGGCCAUGGUAGGGUUUCCUCACCCUCUUCUUCUUCUUUCUCUUUUCCUUCUUCGUCUCGAUCUCUUGAUGCGUAUCGUUCUCACUUCGUUUCUUUGUUAAUCGCAGGUGAAGUACUCGAGGGAGCCCACAAACCCUACCAAGUGUAAGAUCACAUUGUUUCGUGUAGUAAUUUAGUUGUUUUCGAUCUUAAUAUAGUUCAAUCUGAGCGUGGUAGUGAAAAGCGGACACUUUUAUGAAUCAUUUAGUGCGUGAUUUAGUUGAAUAAGUGAUUGUGUAAUGGAUUUGCUUGUAGUGUAAUGGAUGAGCAUAUGAAGACUUUUAGGGUUUGGGUUUACUUAUUUUGCUUUGUUUCGUUUUUUGCAGCCGCCAAGGCCAUGGGCCGGGACUUGAGGGUUCACUUUAAGGUAAUGUGGUUUUUUUAAAUUUUUUUUGUGAAUAUAUCUAUGCUUUGUGUAUUUGUACUUGAGUGUUUUUAUUGUUAAUUUUGUGAAAAUUUUUAUCCUUCGUGCUGUUACAUUAUUGUGGUUGAUCUAAGUAUUGCUCUAUCUUCCUGCUGCUUUUGUUCAUAUGAUGUAUAAGACUAAGGAACUAUCAUAGAGGGGUUAGUAUAUUGUUGCCUGUUGUAUGCGCAUCAAAAUAUAUGCAAAAAAGUCCAAUAUUUUGAGGCCUUAUUCUGGGACAUUAAAUAUAACAAUGAAAUUUUUGGUUUUUCAUUUGAGCAGUUUUUGAUCCUUGCUGGAAUUUUAGUUGCUCUAGAUGAACAGUAUGUUCUAUUUUAACUGGACUGCAACUGCCUAAAGUAAAAAAGCAGGGUACUGUUGUCUUCAUGAACAGUUCUCUCGUAAACUUUAGGGAAAUCAUGUACAUUGUUAUUGGGUGAACCUUUGUAAACUAUGUGACAAAAGGUUCAGUAAACAAUGGCACAUAUAAUCAUUUUUAUUUGCUUUUUUCUCUUUUUUUUUUUUUUUGGAGGUGGCCAGGCUCAGUAAUGCUUCAUUCGGAUGGAGAGAAUUGGAGAGGAAAGAAGAAUAAAAAAGAGGAGAGAUAAAAAGAAAAGAAAGGAAAAGUAAGAAAGUAAUUUUCUCUCUGGUCCUUUGGAUUAAAGGAAGAGAAGAAGAUAAAAUAACUUUCCUUUUCUCUCUCUCUCUCUCUCUCUCUAGUUUUGGGGAGAAAAAAAUUGACCGCUAUGGAAGGUCAUUUUCUCUCAAUUUCUCUUCGUUUGUCUCCGCAAAUUUUGAUCCAAAUGAGACAGUUAUUUUCUCUUCUUAACUUUCUUUUAAAGUAUUUUACUUUUAAAGUAUUUUACUUCAUCCCCCAACGGCUUAUAAGCAAAAGUGAUAGAUAGCAAAGUACUGAAAACUUGUAGUUUUAAGAGGGUCAUUUAGUUUUUGAUAUUUUAGGACGGCAAAGUGAAUACUGCUAUAUAACUGGGCAGUUUCCUGCAAUUUAAGUUGUCUGGCAAUCAACUUACUAUCUUGUUGAUUUCAACAGAACACUCGUGAGACAGCUUUUGCAAUUAGGAAGCUGCCGCUGGCAAAGGCUAAAAGAUACCUUGAGGAUGUGAUUGCUCACAAGCAAGCAAUUCCCUUCCGCAGGUUCUGUGGAGGCGUUGGCCGGACUGCACAGGCUAAGUCCCGCCACUCAAAUGGGCAAGGCCGCUGGCCUGUCAAGUCUUGCAGGUUCAUUUUGGAUCUGCUCAAGAAUGCUGAAAGCAAUGCGGAGGUACGAACCUUACUCCUAUUCUCCUUUCUGUAUUAUGUGCUCAGCACUUUUAUGUAUUUAUACUCUUGUAAAAUCACUUUGUUACACAUACAUCCCUGUAAAUUUUGAAUUUUCUUAUAUACCCAUUGCAAGUAUAGUUUCUUGAUAUAUGAGUUGUCCUAUUCAUGGGGCAAGUUAAUAUUUGUAUUAGGAGAUGCUUGUAGAGAGUUAAGAGGGGGGAAAUUUUGUAAGGCCAAGGUUAUAUAUUGAUUAAGAAAUUAAGUUUUUGUGGGGGGGACCUAUAUGGCAAUUCAGAUGUUGCAGGAAUGCGUAUGGAAACUAGAUAAUUUUUCAGGGGUUCAUCAAAAUAGCCUAUUUUAAACAUAUGUUUUCUCCACCUCUUAAACUCAGGUGAAGGGUUUGGAUGUUGAUGCUCUCUACAUUUCGCACGUCCAAGUGAAUCAAGCCCAGAAGCAGAGGCGUCGCACCUAUCGUGCUCACGGCCGCAUCAACCGUGAGUAUUCUGUUCUCUCUCUUUCCUUGUGCUCGAGUUGGACAAUCUACACUUUGGUGCUUGACAAAUAUUUAUACACUGGUCUAUUGCAGCUUACAUGUCUUCUCCGUGCCACAUUGAAUUAAUUUUGUCGGAGAAGGAAGAGCCAGUUAAGAAAGAGGUAAUUUUUAAUAUUGUGGUUAACCUUUACAGCUUGAUUAUGUUGUUUUUGAAGCAUGUUAAUGCCGGUGAAUAUGUUUAAUCACUUAUAAAUUUCACUUCUUAUGUUGCAGCCGGAGUCGCAGAUUGCGCCCAGGAAGACUAAGAACACUGUUGUGUAAGCAGAAUCUCUUCUUGAGUAGAAAUAUCAGUGAUUGUAGUAAAUUUGAGUUGAAAUUUUGCGAUGGCUGCCCACUCAUUUGUUUCAAUGUUAGAUGGACUUAAGGUCACCUUUUACUUAUCAGCUAGUAUUUUAGUGGAAUUUGUCAGCGUUUUAUUGGAUUAUAUUUCUGGUCUGGAAUGUUUCUUGUCUUUUUAGAGAAUUGAAUGAUUAUUGAGGUGUUACUGGAUUUUUUUUUUUUUUCCUAAGCAAGCAUUUUGAUGUUUCAGUUGCUGUUCAUUUUACACGAUGGUGCUAUGCGGCAGUUAUAUACUUGAUGUUCUGAUAUUUGAUUUGGCACCAGAAAUUUGCAAGCGAAAAAACACUCCUUUUUCGGGUGCUCUCUUUUUUCCUUUCUUUCUUAUUACCUUUUUAUCUUUCUUAUUGCUUUUUCUUCUUUAUUUUUUUUCUAAAUGGCCUUGUUGUCACAUUUUUGUAUUAUUGAAUGAAGCGGCAGUGCAUGCUAUCUUUUCUCUCUCAGAAAAAAAGAAUAAACACUUACCUCUCUCUGUUAGCAUUCAAACUGUUUUAAAAAAAUACCAGGAAAAUAAGAGAUUUUCAAUUUUUCUUCACCAAUGAGAGUGAAAAGUGAAAAGAUCAACCGCUUUUUGACCAGCAUGGUGUACUGGUGGUUGGUUUAUAAUUCAAAACAAUUUGGCAUUCUAGUAUCACAAGGUUUGAAUGAUACAAUAUGAUCAGCACAAUAUGGUAACAGGGGGAACUUGGCCAGUAUCAUAGAGUCUGAAUGAGACAAGACACCAGCACAGUUUGUUAACAAAAAGGGGAUUUCGCAUUCUAGUAAAUCACUGAGUUUGGAUGAUGCAAGUUCUCAUUCUAGUAAUCAUUGAGUUUGAAUGAUGCAAUUUCACAUUCUAGUAACCAUUGAGUUUGAAUAAUGCAACAUGACCAGCGUUAAAAAGGGGAAUUUGGCAAUCUAGUAUCAGGAUUCAAUGCGACCAACAUAGUUUGUAGACGGGAUUCCAAACUAGUUCAAUAAACCAUCAGCAGCUUCCAAACUAGUUCAAUAAACCAUCAGCAGCUGCAGCUCCACGCAAGGAAAUGCAAAUGGAGAAAUCUUCUAAUACGCUCAUAUGAACGAGAGAUUAGGCCCUUCAAGGCUGCACAGCUUCCAAAAGCUUCUCAUAUACCUGUCUCGCGGACAAAUCCUCAACCUGAAACCAUCAUGCAAAUUGAAAUAAAAUUGAUUUUAUUUUACAUCAAUUUCAAACAAAGAAAAACUUUGAAAUUGUCUGAUACAGAGCUUUGCAAGAAAAAAAAAAAAAAAUCAUAUUAUGCUAUUCAUUACGGUCCUUCAAGGAUUAGGUUUUUGCCUGGGUUUUAUUUAUAUGAACUUAAAAGAAAGGUUCAGAUUGAAGUAACUCACAAUUAGAAGCUUCGAUUUGUUAUUCCAUCCUCUCUGAAGGGUCAUCUGACUCAAUCUUAGGCCCAGCACCUGUUUUCACGAACUAUCAGUUUGUAUGCCUAUAUUUCAUGGCACAGCAUUCAAAGCAUCUUAUGCAGAAACGCAUCCUCAUCAACUAGAUAUUAUAUAUUUUGGUAGUUGAUGGAACUGAUUGUGUAGAAUAUAAUAGCAAAAAUGACGGAAUCACAAACCUUUCCCAUGAAUUCUAGCAGUUCAUUGUUAGCUUCUCCACGAGCAGCUGGAGCAGCUAUUGUGACUCGAACAUCAUCAGCAUUUACUCCUGAAGAAAAUCGUCGGAGCCAUAAAAAUUAAAUAAUUUGAGUCGUAAAAAAUUACUCAUGCAUAAGAAAAUAUCAAAAUUCCGGUAGUCCAGGUUAAUCAAAAGAGAAAGAGAACGAUAAUCAGGCCAAUAUAAUACUUGUAAUUGCUGAACGCUGUGCACGGUCCUCUACUUCAAUUGCCACUUGGACAAGGCCGCCUUCCAACUGUGAUAUACAUGGGGGUACAGGGGCAUCCUGCCAUGUUAUAUUAAAAUUGUUUAAAAGAAAAAUUAAAAAAAGACAAAUAUAAUAAAGAGGCAGGUGCGAAUUGCCUCAGUCAACCGCUAGGUGUUGAGCAUGCUACCAAUAUCCAGUUCAAAGAUUAAAUUCAAUCAAGAAAAUCUGUUGCGAGAACCAUAGACCAGAUAUGAAGAAAGUCAUGAGAAAAUCAACGUAGCAAGGUCCAAAAGUUCAAAUCUUUUCAAACAAGAACAGUUACAAAUUUUAAAAGAACACGUAAAAAAUGAAAAAGACAAUAGGACUUCAACAAAUUCAGAGGGCAGCUUAAAAAAAAAAAAAAAGCAGAGCAUUUCAAAUAAGUAUAAGACAACAAUUUAAGCUGAUAGACAACUAACGCACAAUUACUUUCUUGCAGAAUCCAAAAUUGGAUACUUCCGUAUAACAAAAACUUUUAAAGUCUUUUACAUGCUUAAAGGUGUUUUACAAGCCUAUGCAAUUGUCAACUUCGAUGCACCCAAAAAGCCAAAAAAUUGAGUCAAUCUCACAGAAGACGAAAUUAUUUGAAUGCCAAAAGAAGAGAACUGCUGGGUAAAAUUCUUAGAAGCAGGAGAUUAAUCAGUCCAGCAAUUCAAUUGAAUAACUUUGAACUUUGCAAUCUAAGAUUCAAACAAACAGGGCGAAAGUGCAGAUAUGUAUCUCACAAGUAUUUGCUUCUCCCUCUUCCGUGUUUUAAAUACCACAUUUAAUCAGCACAAAAAUUAUACCAGUAAAACUUCCCUUAAGUUUGAAGCAACUCAAUAGUAGGACAUUUACAUGCUUUUGCAUCUUACUAAAGGUAAGACAAGCUAACUUGUUAAUACUUCUUCACAAAAACCAACUCAAAUGCCCGUUCACAUCAGUGGAGACACAUUCAGAGAAAGGAUAAUUGUAAUCAUCAAAAAGCAUGGGCCAAAACGCCAAAAAAGGAUAAAAAAAUUAUGUCGAGUCCAAAUCCUUAGUACCUGUGGAUUUGUUUCUGCUACAACAGAACUUAGUGCACCAUCCACGAUAUAUACGAAUGGGGCAAGCUCCAAAUCCUCUUCAGAACGAUAACAAACAAAAAGUUCACAGCCUACACAAAUCAUGCGAAAUUGUUUCUCCAUUUUUCCCUCCCCACUGCAGGCAAGAAACAGUAUCAAAAUAAGGACUCAUAAACCACAUUGCAAAAUCAGCCUUCAUCUAGCCAAAUUUUUACUAUUCUACAUUUGAACUUCUUUUUUCGUUCAUGUAUGUUUCUCAGGAUACAAUAAAGGACCAUUUCCCGUCUACAAUUAAGCCAGUAUUAGGCUUCCUAAGACCUAAGAAAAUGCUAUAUUAUGCGACAUGCUACAAAGCAAUUCCAAUUUACCUGCUAGUUUCUCACUUCUAUUUGAUUUUCAGGAUCAGUACAGCAACACAGUACUCUACCCAAUUGGUUCACCAUCACAUUGCAGCAUAAAUGCAUCCAUAAUAUAAAAUCUAGAAAUAUGUAGAAAAAUACCGCUUUAGAAGGACUUUUCCGGCCUCCUUUACAUUGAGCCUUGCUAGAUGCUUCUUCUUGUCCAGCACAUGCGCUUUAUCCGUUUUCCGCUUUGGCAUCUUCUGCAAUUGGGUAUCUUCAGAGUAAACGCAUCAGAAUCAAAACGCAUUCACACAAACGCAAACCAAAAAGUAGCUAUAAUCAAAUUAAAACAAUAAACCACCAAUAAAGCAUCUAGAAAUCAUAAUAUUUUCAAAAAACAAAAGGUACCAUAGAUCCUUUUCUACUACAAUUAAACCCUAAUGCACCAACAGUCGUGCAUAAUUUCUAACCUAAACUUAGCCAAAUAACAAGUACACAUUUUCGUUCACAGACCAAAAAAAAACUGAAAAACUCACAAUUACCACAUUAAAACACCAUGCCAGUAAUAAAAGAGCUAACUUUAAUCAUAAUUUUCUAGAAAAUGAAAAAAAAAAAAAGGAGAAGCAUAACAGAACCUGAUAUUAUACUAAAAUUAAACCCUAAAAGCAUCAGUAUUCACUGUUCAGUAAUAAUGCGCAUCGCCAAAUCUAUCAAAACAACUACUUCGACACACACACUAUGAGUUUCAAUGCCAGAUUUCUGAUACUUAGACCCAAAAAUCUGCGCCACAAAAACAGGAAAAAUGGGUUUCCAAGCAAAAAUUUUGGGCAUCGAAGACGAGGGACCAUGAUUCAGCAAGAGGGGGGAAAGCAACACAGGGAAUGAUACAGGUGAGUGACUAGGGUGGGGUUAGGGUUAGGGUUUUGGGGGAUGGUGUUGGGUACGGACCGGUGAUGAGGACAUGGGAGCCACAGUGCUUGCAGUAGUAGACGAAGAGGUCGGACUCGGGCCCAUCCGGGGCCGCGUCCUCGCUCGAGUACGUGUGCGUCGUCCUCUUCGGCAUCGAUGCCUCGCCCCUCCUCUCCCCUUCCUCUCUCUCUCUAUCUCUCUCUCUCUCUCUCUCUCUCUGAGACGCGUCGAUGGGGAGGGGGGAAGAGACGAAGAACGUAGAAAGAGGACCGUGCGGGGACGAGGUAAAAAAUAAAAAUAAAACUAAAAAUAAAAAAUAAAAUAAAAUGGGUUAAUUUUAUACAAAUUCUUACCAACAUAAUGAUCUCAAUAUUUUUACACAAAUAUAAAGUAGCAAAUAAAGAUUAUAAAAUUUAUAGCUAGGUCUAUUAAAAUAACGAAAUCUUAAUCGAUGGAAUAAAAAAAUAAAAAAGAGUCGUCUGCUAGCAAUUUAAUUUUCUAAAGAAACUUCAAAUCCAAAAUAUCUGUCUAAUUAUCGUCAUAAAUUUUCAGCCAAGUUGUAUCUAGCUAGAGAUUGCACUGUAUUGUAGAGAGAUUGCACUAAGCACUGUAAAAUAUCCAUUAAAUUACUCCGAUCCCUAUAAUAGAAGCCCUCUAUAGUUAGUUUUGAUAUAAAAAAUUCUUGCUAGUACCUUCUUAUGAUACUCAAUGUGAUCUAAUUAGCUACAUAAUUUUCACUGGUUGUUCCCAGUACGUCGAUGUUAUUUUCACUUCCUCUGGACGGUUACCUGUAAACAAAAGAAAGAGAAAAAUGCAAAAGAAGAAAAAAAAAAAAAACAGAUCAGAAUACCUUGAACAAAACAAAAGGCAAAAUGAUUUUCUUAGAAGCAAUUUUCAUAAAAUUUUCAUGAUUUUAUAUGAGUUGCCUAUUAGAUGUAUCUUUAUAUUCGUAAAUAAAAAUAAAAACUUCUUUUUCCAAGUUUAAGAAAAACCGGCUUUAAGAAGAACUUAAAAGAGAUAAUUACUGCAAUAUUCAUCGAGUGCAAGAAAUAUGAUUACUGUCAAAAGCAAUAGCUAAAAAAGAGGAGAUAUAUAACAAAUUCGACAACUUCACAAUAUUCACAAUUUUGAUGCCACCAUAAGAAAUGAUCAAUAACAAAAUAUCAUUCUUUACUUAAGUAUAUUAUUCGGUUGUUUCCUAUUGGUGAAUAUACUAUAACCCAAAGUUGGGACGAGUUCGACCCCUAUAUAAGACAGAUAUUGGUUACAACGGGACUGGGAUCACUUCGGGGUAGAGCCAGGAUGAGGACGGGUGGCCGAGACGAUGAAACUGUAACCACACUCUCUCUCUCUCUCUCUCUCUCUCUCAUUACUAUAAUUAACUGCAAAUUAUGAUUUUUCGCAUAUGCCCUUUAAACUUCAUUAACCAGAUUACUCCCUAACUAAAGAUGAGAAUAUUUUUUUGUGGGAAACUGCUCUGUCAAGAGAUAUACACAUAAACUGAUAAUAAUAAUAAAGAAAAUCAGAUUUGCGAGUGGUACGUACAUAAAUAGAUGAUUUUGCAGGAAUACAUAUAUAUAUAUAUAUAUAUACACACGCGCAUAAACUCUCUCGCAUAUGUGUUCUUGUGUAUCUAAUAUAUUACUGCAUGUCUUGACAGCUUGAGAGAGGAGGAUCAUCUGUGCCGAAAUUCGGUGACUGGGACGAGAAGGAUCCUUCUUCGGCUGAUGGGUACACCCUCAUAUUUAACAAAGUGAGGGAGGAGAAACAAUCUGGCUUGGGAAAUGCUCCGAUCAUCGCCAACGACGCAGCGCAUCGUAAUGGCUCCCAAAGAGAUGGCAACGAGCCUUCGGUGAGUGCUACUUCUGCGAAACUAAUGAAAAGGUUGCUAUGUUUUUCCUAUCUAUUGCUCUCCGUAUCGUACUCUGUCCCUCUACUGUGAAUUUUUCUAUUCAUUUUUGUCCGUAGACAUAGCAGGCCAGCGACCGAACCAUAUAAAUCUAUACACUGACUUUCGUGUUCUCCCUACAAAUCUUUGUUCGAUUUGUGUGUUUCUAACAGCAUAAAUCUCCUUGAGUUCUCACCAUCUGUCGUUUUAACAGAGCUGGUCGUGCUUCGGUCGGUGCAAGUGAUGGAUAUCUCCGAAGAACUACAUGAAGACCUGCAACUAUGUAUUGGAGGAUCUCCUUUUCCUGCCACUCUUGUUUAUCUGCAUUCUCUGAUGGUUGUUGUUGUUGUUAUUAUUAUUCUUACUANUUCGUAUCGUACUCUGUCCCUCUACUGUGAAUUUUUCUAUUCAUUUUUGUCCGUAGACAUAGCAGGCCAGCGACCGAACCAUACAAAUCUAUACACUGACUUCCGUGUUCUCCCUACAAAUCUUUGUUCGAUUUGUGUGUUUCUAGCGGCAUAAAUCUCCUCGAGUUCUCACCAUCUUCUUUGUCUCGCUGUCGUUUUAACAGAGCUGGUCGUGCUUCGGUUGGUGCAAGUGAUGGAUAUCUCCGAAGAACUACAUGAAAACCUGCAACUGUGUAUUGGAGGAUCUCCUUUUCCUGCCACUCUUGUUUAUCUGCAUUCUCUGAUGGUUGUUGUUGUUGUUAUUAUUAUUCUUACUACUACUUUCAAAGAUGUGUGUGUGGAUGUAUUCUUUACAUUAUAUACUUCUGCUUCAUUGUACCAAGACACUUGUUUGAUAUGUAAAGAUGUCUUACUUUGUUUUUAAUUUAUCUUUCACUGCUCCUACAGUUGGUAGGUAUUCAUAAUAGCAUAGGUUGGUGGGCUGGGUUUAGACUCACCCUUCGAAAUCGGCCCGAACUAGUCUAACGGGUCGAAAAGAAUAACCCGUUUUCUUGUUAUUUAUUAUCCAAUCAAGUUGUAUGGGGCUGUGUAAUAAUAACUAACUGGUAUAACUAAUGUGAUGUUUCUUAUAAUCGAACCGGACCGAACCGAACUUACCAAGAAAGCUCAAAACGGAACCGGACCGGGCCGGUUCGGCUCCCAAGCGUAAUUAUUUUCCCUUUAAAAUAUCCGGUUUUUAAACACGUGGGUACGCUACAUAACGGACAAGGAAACGCGGUCCUUUUCUUUUUCUUUUUAUUUCCCGGGAGUGAAAAUGUAUAGGGUAGUCCCUGUACUUCUCCAAUAUUAAUAUGAUGUCACCGUACUUUCUCCAAUACACAAGGAAAUAUUUAUUUUGUACGUAAGUGUGAAAUUUUAGGAACUGAGUUGUAAAUUGGAGACAAUACAAGGGAUUCUUAUAAAUUUUGUCCUCUUCGCUCGCGUAUUUAAACUUUGAAAUGAUCGGCAUUAGUCGAAGCUAAUCUCCUCCUCCUCCUCCUCCCCUCCUCCUCUCUCUCUCUCUCUCUCUCUCUCUCUCUCUCUCUCUCUCUCUCUCUCUGAUCGAUAACCUCUACUAAAACCCUAUUAGGCGAUUCCAGUUCUUAGGUACGGUUCUCGGGCUAUUUCCCCUUUUUUCCUCUUCUUUUUCCCCUUUUUCCCGCUUCAUUUAUUGGUCUUUCGUGUGGUUUUUUGUUCCCUUGGAUUGGAGUUGGUUUAAUUUUUGAGUGUUUGGGCUAUAGGUUCGUCAAAUUUCUUCUUUUUUUUUUCCCAUUGAUCCGACUCUUCGUUCUUGGUGUACACUUCGACUUGUUUCAUCUGUUUGAUUAGAGAUUUUAAAUAAAUAAGCGAUUCUUGGUGGAUGGCGAUGGAUUUUUACGGCUCAUACAGAUCUUCUUAGCUCAGUUUCCUUCUUAUUUUCAUGUUGCGAGCGGUAAUUUGCUUAAAUGAUUAGAAAAGAUUCGAUUUUUACCAACACAAUCGAAGUUGGAAAGAAUAUAUAUAUGUGUUCUUGAUGCAUCAAUAUUGCUAAAGCUUGAGGUUUUAUCUGGUGGUAUUUUUUGAAUCCAAUAGAAAUGAACUUACAAUUAAGUUAAUUGGAUCAGGGAGGUGAUCAUUGAAAGGGCUCGUGAUGAACAACGAGCGCAAUAAGGUUGUUUAUGAUCUAGACCUUAAUUCUCCUCCCGCGGAUAGCCAAGAAGGGAAUUUGAUCUCGCAGGACAACGCCGUAUCCGCGGCAACCUCUGGCGCUGUCAACUCUCAUCCCCUGCCGAAUAUAGGGUCAUAUUGCACUCCGAUCAUUGUCGAUUCGGAUGAAGCUGAUAUGCUCUCUGCGCCCACUGGGUUUCCCCAGGUCUAUCCUCUGUUCCCUGUAUUGCAUUGUUUGUUCCUUUUUUGUUUGUUGUUGGUGUAAGAUAAUGUAGGAUUCCAACUUGUUUGCUUCCUCUAUGAAGCACACGUCUUGGUAGGGUGCGCAAUAUUGGUUUACAAAAGGAAAGCCAACCAAAUGGCACCAAAUUAGACAAUUUACUUUGGUUCAUUUGGUUUGAGGUUUCAGAAUCGCGGCAUUGUUCGGCCAUCUUUAUGUUUCGUUUUAUUUUUUAACUCGAUAUCAAUUUGAUUGAAUGCGCCGGGGGAUGAACUUCUUUAUUUUUAUUAUUGUCGGCCAGCUUGCAAACUCAUCUUUCUUUGAGAAAAAUGAAGCAAAAAAGGUUUCUAGUUUUUUUUUUUCUUUCUUUCUUGUCUUCAAACGAACAGCAUAGUUGUAUUGUAUGCAACCUAUCAGGCGUACAAUAAUGCAUUCAAGGGCAUAGAAUUUAAGUUUGAAAAAACAAACAAAACGCAAGCGAACCUAAACAGGCCUAUAUAUUUUAAUUCACAGUUUCCAGAUUGGUUGAGAAAAUUUUCUCGUAGAAACCAGACCAGAAGCCUGCCAUUGGAUCGCAGGCUAGUGUGUAGGAUCUUUAAUGUGGUCUUGCAAUGCUGUUUAUUUAGCACUUUCUUUCUUUUGCAGUUAUAUCAAUUUUGCCAUACUUUUGGAUUGUCUUGUUGUGAAUGAAGUAGUUAACGGAAUAUAGCAUGAUGCUUAUUUGCUCUUAUAUUUAUGUUUUUUUUUAUUUACUUUGUUUUAGAUGAGGAACCCGUCUACGAGUAGCAUGAUGACGAUUGUCUUUGAUGAAGAUGUGGAAAUAAUAAAUCCGAGACAAUCAGGUUAGGUUUUAUCUUGAAAUGCUGUUAUAUGAAUAAUGAAGAUAGUUAUGAAAUUCUGUUAUUUAAAGAAGUAUCUGGCAUAUGUUGUUCUUUAGUUUAUUUCUUGGUCUUUCUUGUGAAACAACCAUUGUAUUCUCAAAUCUUAAGCUGCUAACACUCCACUCCCUCUCAUGUCUGGGCUCGAGACUUUUUGACAAGGCUCAUGACAUGGAAUUAAAUUAAAUGGGAAGAAAUUAAAAAUGCUAGGACCUGGCGUGACUCGUACUUAGGACCUUCUCCUCUGAUAUUAUGUAAAACAACUGUUGUACUCUAAAAACUUAAAGGUGUUAGAGAAUGAUGUUUAUAUAUUUUUAUAUUUAACAUGGCAUUCAGAUUGAUGAUUUUCAUCCUUCUUGAUAUAAAUUAUUUAUACGAGCUUCAAUCUCAAUCUAAUGUGGAAGUGCUUGUUAUCAUGCCGACUCCACUUUUCUAAGUUACCGAACAAAGCUACUUUCUUAGAGCAUUUAUGAUAAGUAUCACGGUAUCUUCAUCUUUAUAACAUCAAUUCCUUCUAUUCUGCUAUCUAUUGCACCGUUUUUUCAAUUGUACAUGUCAAUGCUCGCUCCUUUCUAUAAAGUAAUUGGUAGCUUAAGCAAAGCCAAAAUGCAUUAUGAACUGCACAGUUUUCCUCAAGUUAUGUUCUUAUCAAAUUAGACCGGCAGACCAUUGACAGCAGGUGGGUCCAAAUCAUUACAAGGGAAAAUAUACGUUUUAUUGUGCAUGAAUAGGAUAUGUUUUACAUGUACAAAUUUUCAUUUCUUCUUCUGACUAGACAUAUCUUCUUUUCUUCUCUCAGUGAAUGUUACGAAGGACCCGCCAGCCACAUCGCCUCUCUUCACUGACAACAAGUGUGAGAGUGUUCCACCAAAUACGACCCUAAUGAACUGCGGUCACUUGCAGGAUACAGAUGCAGGUCGCAGUCCCAAGGUAAAAAAUAUAUAUAGCCGGACUAUAUAUAUAUAUAUAUAUAUAUAUAUAAAACAAAAGAGCUCAUCUGAUUUUCCCUUUAUUAUUAUUAUUUUUUUUCUUUUACAGUUUCUAUGUUAGGCUUGUUUCUUCUCUUUUCUUCGUGCUACAGAUGCAACUUUGAUUCUUUCGUUCAAAUCUUCUCUUGUUUAGUCAUUAAAUUUAGGCACUAUAUUUGUUUAGUCCUCAUGCUGGUAUUACCUGUGUUUGCUUAAUGAAGGCUCUUAUUAUUAGAAGAAUGCCAAGAGUGAUUAAAGGAGCUUACAUUUUUCUUUUCCUCGGACGUCUGUAAACUUUCAUGCUUAAAAAUACUUUUUUGUUCUUCCCUUUUGCGGCCGUUAUUUCCACUGUCUAGCACUAAAAUGUUUAUGCAUCUUCAAACUGAAUCUUCUGCUCCUGUGAGUUCUAACCCAAACAACCGCAUGGCAGAAAAGGAAUGUAACAAGACCAACACAGGAGCCAGCAAAGGUUGUUUCGAAUGAACCCAAUGACGAGCCGGCGAAGGUUGUUCCAAAGAAAAACAAGGAGCUCCCCAAGAAUGACCUCGCCGAGAAGGAAAGAAGCAACCGCUCCUCCUCCGCCUCCUCCCCUGAAUCUCAUGAUGAUGCCGCCGCUGCCACCGAGAUCGACAACAUCAGCUCCCAACCCGACCACCUCCUCUCCACCAUCCUCCACUGCCUCCCCGCCCAAAUAGCCGCCAAAACAGCUCUCCUCUCCCGCCGAUGGCGCAGCAUCUGGACCGACCAUCCUCUGCGCCUCGACGGCGACUCCCUCAGCAGCCUCAGCCUCCGCCCCCACGGGCAGCCCGGCCGCACCACGAAGGGGAUGCACAGAAAGGAUUGGCGCUCUUGCUUAAUUACCGACAUCCUUACCUACCACCCCGGCCCUGUCGAACAAUUUCGCCUUGGCCGCACCCACUCCGGCAGCCGCGAGCCACUCCGCGACUCCUGGUUUCAAAUUCUCGCCCAAAAGAGCGUCUACCAGAUCGAACUGGAUUUCCCCUCCUUCCACCGCCGGCAAGAUCUGCCGGCCUCGCUCCUCGCCUGCGAGACUCUACGCACGCUCUCGCUGAGCAAUUGUCGACUGCCGGACGCCGCUGCCGCCCCAUUCAACUUCCUCCACCUUACCGACCUCAGCCUCUGCUGCAUGGAUCUGACGGAGGAGGUCAUAUCCAGCAUACUUUCAGGCUGCCCAGCACUUGCCCGCUUAUCACUCAUCCACAAUUUUCCCGUGCCUCGGAUUAGAAUCCGAUCUCGCCGUCUUCUUACCAUGACGGUUCGAGGCAAUUGGAUUGGCGAGCUUAUUAUCGAGGACGCCGAGAAACUUACACGGCUGGUUUUGGAUCGGUCGGAACCGAAGACAUCUUUGAAGAUCAUCAAUGCCCCGAUGAUCAAUACGGUCGAAUAUUGAGCGAUUAUCGCGGCGUGCAAGAGGUGCUGUGAUUCUGUGCUUAUCAAGAACAUCCAUUUUCUCCAUUUUCUCCAUCCCCUUUCUUUUCCCCUUUCUUUUUUUUUCGGUCAAUUGUAUAUGUGCUUAUGCAAAUUCUGCAACAUUAAAACAACAAAGCCAUCUGAAAAGCUAGAAUUUUUGAAGAGAAACCGUGGCAUACGGGGCAUACGGCACAUUUGUUGUCUAUAAUCUUGUAGUUCAAAGCGUAGCACUUAAUAUGUUUCAGUUUAGAUACGAAAGCUAACAGAGUAUAGCAUCUCAUGCACGCCUUUGGUUCUCGCACAUCAUCAACUUACUCUCAAAUCAGUGGUGAGGGUUACAAAGCAAUAUGAAACAAUCAGCUAGAAGUUUAGAAAGAAAAGAUCAACCACAAGUUAAAACUGAAGCUGUAAGAUCACAUUACAUUAUGAGCUUCAUGUCCUGUUCAAUAGUUAGGCAUCGAACGAACAUCGAGAACAACAACUAUGUACAAAUAGUUACCACCAUUACAUAUCUCAAUUCAACUAACUAUUAUGCUAAACUAUUGUGAAUUACACAAGCGCCCACUCAAUCUACUCAAUCUGGUGGUGAUCGACAAGAAGCAAAACUCUUUGAGUCACUUGGUUUACUUAAUGCUCGGCUUGCACGAUUGCCAUAGCCAUAAACAAACCCCUCCCCCAAAAAAUUUCACUGAAUCCUAUGGUUAGUGCUCAUACCAUAAAGAGGUAUCUCAGAUCUUCCACCGUGAGGCGAGUAGUGUGGCCACCAGCUCCUUCCCCGAAAGCGGAAGAUACCAUCCUUCGCUUCUCCUCCUGAAACAAAGAAAGGCGAACUUUGUAGAAUAAUUGGCGUGAUCAUCUAGUACACCGCUAUAAAAAGUCAAAAACGAACCUGUAGGGCUAAUAAACGGUCCUCCACUGUAUCUUUAACAGUUAGACGAGAAACAGUUACGGGCCGAGUCUGACCGAUUCUAUGUGCUCAAUCAACGGCGUGAUCUUCAGCAUAUGGGUUCCACCAAAGAUCAAGAAGAAUCACAUGGCAAGCAGCAACCAUGUUCAAACCGAGAUUUCCAGCCUUCAGCGACAUGAGCAUAACUCGAACCUGAAAUUGAAAUUCCUCAAUAUAAGGGCUUUUCCCAUGGCUUAACCCAACUCUACUUCAAUGAAAGAAUAAAAUGUAUAAGCUUUCACAUGCAUAUAUCGCUAGAAAAUCAGUCAGUUCCACACAUAACCCUGUAAAGUUUGAAGUCUCACAUAUACAUAUAAUGUGUGGAGGUUUUUCUACAAAAACAACCUAAAUUUAAGUUGGGGAGUCUUCCUGUUCAGGGGAAGUUGGUUUGUAUCAGAAAUAGUUUUCUGGAGGCNNNNNNNNNNNNNNNNNNNNNNNNNNNNNNNNNNNNNNNNNNNNNNNNNNNNNNNNNNNNNNNNNNNNNNNNNNNNNNNNNNNNNNNNNNNNNNNNNNNNNNNNNNNNNNNNNNNNNNNNNNNNNNNNNNNNNNNNNNNNNNNNNNNNNNNNNNNNNNNNNNNNNNNNNNNNNNNNNNNNNNNNNNNNNNNNNNNNNNNNNNNNNNNNNNNNNNNNNNNNNNNNNNNNNNNNNNNNNNNNNNNNNNNNNNNNNNNNNNNNNNNNNNNNNNNNNNNNNNNNNNNNNNNNNNNNNNNNNNNNNNNNNNNNNNNNNNNNNNNNNNNNNNNNNNNNNNNNNNNNNNNNNNNNNNNNNNNNNNNNNNNNNNNNNNNNNNNNNNNNNNNNNNNNNNNNNNNNNNNNNNNNNNNNNNNNNNNNNNNNNNNNNNNNNNNNNNNNNNNNNNNNNNNNNNNNNNNNNNNNNNNNNNNNNNNNNNNNNNNNNNNNNNNNNNNNNNNNNNNNNNNNNNNNNNNNNNNNNNNNNNNNNNNNNNNNNNNNNNNNNNNNNNNNNNNNNNNNNNNNNNNNNNNNNNNNNNNNNNNNNNNNNNNNNNNNNNNNNNNNNNNNNNNNNNNNNNNNNNNNNNNNNNNNNNNNNNNNNNNNNNNNNNNNNNNNNNNNNNNNNNNNNNNNNNNNNNNNNNNNNNNNNNNNNNNNNNNNNNNNNNNNNNNNNNNNNNNNNNNNNNNNNNNNNNNNNNNNNNNNNNNNNNNNNNNNNNNNNNNNNNNNNNNNNNNNNNNNNNNNNNNNNNNNNNNNNNNNNNNNNNNNNNNNNNNNNNNNNNNNNNNNNNNNNNNNNNNNNNNNNNNNNNNNNNNNNNNNNNNNNNNNNNNNNNNNNNNNNNNNNNNNNNNNNNNNNNNNNNNNNNNNNNNNNNNNNNNNNNNNNNNNNNNNNNNNNNNNNNNNNNNNNNNNNNNNNNNNNNNNNNNNNNNNNNNNNNNNNNNNNNNNNNNNNNNNNNNNNNNNNNNNNNNNNNNNNNNNNNNNNNNNNNNNNNNNNNNNNNNNNNNNNNNNNNNNNNNNNNNNNNNNNNNNNNNNNNNNNNNNNNNNNNNNNNNNNNNNNNNNNNNNNNNNNNNNNNNNNNNNNNNNNNNNNNNNNNNNNNNNNNNNNNNNNNNNNNNNNNNNNNNNNNNNNNNNNNNNNNNNNNNNNNNNNNNNNNNNNNNNNNNNNNNNNNNNNNNNNNNNNNNNNNNNNNNNNNNNNNNNNNNNNNNNNNNNNNNNNNNNNNNNNNNNNNNNNNNNNNNNNNNNNNNNNNNNNNNNNNNNNNNNNNNNNNNNNNNNNNNNNNNNNNNNNNNNNNNNNNNNNNNNNNNNNNNNNNNNNNNNNNNNNNNNNNNNNNNNNNNNNNNNNNNNNNNNNNNNNNNNNNNNNNNNNNNNNNNNNNNNNNNNNNNNNNNNNNNNNNNNNNNNNNNNNNNNNNNNNNNNNNNNNNNNNNNNNNNNNNNNNNNNNNNNNNNNNNNNNNNNNNNNNNNNNNNNNNNNNNNNNNNNNNNNNNNNNNNNNNNNNNNNNNNNNNNNNNNNNNNNNNNNNNNNNNNNNNNNNNNNNNNNNNNNNNNNNNNNNNNNNNNNNNNNNNNNNNNNNNNNNNNNNNNNNNNNNNNNNNNNNNNNNNNNNNNNNNNNNNNNNNNNNNNNNNNNNNNNNNNNNNNNNNNNNNNNNNNNNNNNNNNNNNNNNNNNNNNNNNNNNNNNNNNNNNNNNNNNNNNNNNNNNNNNNNNNNNNNNNNNNNNNNNNNNNNNNNNNNNNNNNNNNNNNNNNNNNNNNNNNNNNNNNNNNNNNNNNNNNNNNNNNNNNNNNNNNNNNNNNNNNNNNNNNNNNNNNNNNNNNNNNNNNNNNNNNNNNNNNNNNNNNNNNNNNNNNNNNNNNNNNNNNNNNNNNNNNNNNNNNNNNNNNNNNNNNNNNNNNNNNNNNNNNNNNNNNNNNNNNNNNNNNNNNNNNNNNNNNNNNNNNNNNNNNNNNNNNNNNNNNNNNNNNNNNNNNNNNNNNNNNNNNNNNNNNNNNNNNNNNNNNNNNNNNNNNNNNNNNNNNNNNNNNNNNNNNNNNNNNNNNNNNNNNNNNNNNNNNNNNNNNNNNNNNNNNNNNNNNNNNNNNNNNNNNNNNNNNNNNNNNNNNNNNNNNNNNNNNNNNNNNNNNNNNNNNNNNNNNNNNNNNNNNNNNNNNNNNNNNNNNNNNNNNNNNNNNNNNNNNNNNNNNNNNNNNNNNNNNNNNNNNNNNNNNNNNNNNNNNNNNNNNNNNNNNNNNNNNNNNNNNNNNNNNNNNNNNNNNNNNNNNNNNNNNNNNNNNNNNNNNNNNNNNNNNNNNNNNNNNNNNNNNNNNNNNNNNNNNNNNNNNNNNNNNNNNNNNNNNNNNNNNNNNNNNNNNNNNNNNNNNNNNNNNNNNNNNNNNNNNNNNNNNNNNNNNNNNNNNNNNNNNNNNNNNNNNNNNNNNNNNNNNNNNNNNNNNNNNNNNNNNNNNNNNNNNNNNNNNNNNNNNNNNNNNNNNNNNNNNNNNNNNNNNNNNNNNNNNNNNNNNNNNNNNNNNNNNNNNNNNNNNNNNNNNNNNNNNNNNNNNNNNNNNNNNNNNNNNNNNNNNNNNNNNNNNNNNNNNNNNNNNNNNNNNNNNNNNNNNNNNNNNNNNNNNNNNNNNNNNNNNNNNNNNNNNNNNNNNNNNNNNNNNNNNNNNNNNNNNNNNNNNNNNNNNNNNNNNNNNNNNNNNNNNNNNNNNNNNNNNNNNNNNNNNNNNNNNNNNNNNNNNNNNNNNNNNNNNNNNNNNNNNNNNNNNNNNNNNNNNNNNNNNNNNNNNNNNNNNNNNNNNNNNNNNNNNNNNNNNNNNNNNNNNNNNNNNNNNNNNNNNNNNNNNNNNNNNNNNNNNNNNNNNNNNNNNNNNNNNNNNNNNNNNNNNNNNNNNNNNNNNNNNNNNNNNNNNNNNNNNNNNNNNNNNNNNNNNNNNNNNNNNNNNNNNNNNNNNNNNNNNNNNNNNNNNNNNNNNNNNNNNNNNNNNNNNNNNNNNNNNNNNNNNNNNNNNNNNNNNNNNNNNNNNNNNNNNNNNNNNNNNNNNNNNNNNNNNNNNNNNNNNNNNNNNNNNNNNNNNNNNNNNNNNNNNNNNNNNNNNNNNNNNNNNNNNNNNNNNNNNNNNNNNNNNNNNNNNNNNNNNNNNNNNNNNNNNNNNNNNNNNNNNNNNNNNNNNNNNNNNNNNNNNNNNNNNNNNNNNNNNNNNNNNNNNNNNNNNNNNNNNNNNNNNNNNNNNNNNNNNNNNNNNNNNNNNNNNNNNNNNNNNNNNNNNNNNNNNNNNNNNNNNNNNNNNNNNNNNNNNNNNNNNNNNNNNNNNNNNNNNNNNNNNNNNNNNNNNNNNNNNNNNNNNNNNNNNNNNNNNNNNNNNNNNNNNNNNNNNNNNNNNNNNNNNNNNNNNNNNNNNNNNNNNNNNNNNNNNNNNNNNNNNNNNNNNNNNNNNNNNNNNNNNNNNNNNNNNNNNNNNNNNNNNNNNNNNNNNNNNNNNNNNNNNNNNNNNNNNNNNNNNNNNNNNNNNNNNNNNNNNNNNNNNNNNNNNNNNNNNNNNNNNNNNNNNNNNNNNNNNNNNNNNNNNNNNNNNNNNNNNNNNNNNNNNNNNNNNNNNNNNNNNNNNNNNNNNNNNNNNNNNNNNNNNNNNNNNNNNNNNNNNNNNNNNNNNNNNNNNNNNNNNNNNNNNNNNNNNNNNNNNNNNNNNNNNNNNNNNNNNNNNNNNNNNNNNNNNNNNNNNNNNNNNNNNNNNNNNNNNNNNNNNNNNNNNNNNNNNNNNNNNNNNNNNNNNNNNNNNNNNNNNNNNNNNNNNNNNNNNNNNNNNNNNNNNNNNNNNNNNNNNNNNNNNNNNNNNNNNNNNNNNNNNNNNNNNNNNNNNNNNNNNNNNNNNNNNNNNNNNNNNNNNNNNNNNNNNNNNNNNNNNNNNNNNNNNNNNNNNNNNNNNNNNNNNNNNNNNNNNNNNNNNNNNNNNNNNNNNNNNNNNNNNNNNNNNNNNNNNNNNNNNNNNNNNNNNNNNNNNNNNNNNNNNNNNNNNNNNNNNNNNNNNNNNNNNNNNNNNNNNNNNNNNNNNNNNNNNNNNNNNNNNNNNNNNNNNNNNNNNNNNNNNNNNNNNNNNNNNNNNNNNNNNNNNNNNNNNNNNNNNNNNNNNNNNNNNNNNNNNNNNNNNNNNNNNNNNNNNNNNNNNNNNNNNNNNNNNNNNNNNNNNNNNNNNNNNNNNNNNNNNNNNNNNNNNNNNNNNNNNNNNNNNNNNNNNNNNNNNNNNNNNNNNNNNNNNNNNNNNNNNNNNNNNNNNNNNNNNNNNNNNNNNNNNNNNNNNNNNNNNNNNNNNNNNNNNNNNNNNNNNNNNNNNNNNNNNNNNNNNNNNNNNNNNNNNNNNNNNNNNNNNNAAAAAAAAAAAAAAAAAAAAAAAAAAGACUUGGAUUCCAUAUUCUAUUUCUCUGAAAAGCUUUGCAUCAACAAAAGAAAAAUUCGUGCAGAGAAUAGUGACAGAAGAGAAAGCUACAUAACCAAAGCAAACUUAGAAUAUAUUAUUUACGGUAAAGAUGAUAUGAUCCAAGGUAUGACUGAUAGAUAGAAGACACCUAAUGAGAUUCUUCAUCAAAAGAACAGAUGAGAUAAACCACUUUUGGCAUCAUUUCUGGAAGUAAAUUAAAAGUUUAAAAGAAAAAAAAAAAAUCAAGAAUUAAACAAAUUAUGGUUGCCAUCAGAGUGUAAAACAUAAAUAAUGCUGCAUAGAAUUAGCAAAAGUGGUUUAUCUCAUCUGUUCUUUUGAUGAAGAAUCUCAUUAGGUGUCUUCUAUCUAUCAGUCAUACCUUGGAUUCCAUAUUCUAUUUCUCUGAAAAGCUUUGCAUCAACAAAAGAAAAAUUCGUGCAGAGAAUAGUGACAGAAGAGAAAGCUACAUAACCAAAGCAAACUUAGAAUAUAUUAUUUACGGUAAAGAUGAUAUGAUCCAAGGUAUGACUGAUAGAUAGAAGACACCUAAUGAGAUUCUUCAUCAAAAGAACAGAUGAGAUAAACCACUUUUGGCAUCAUUUCUGGAAGCAAAUUAAAAGUUUAAAAGAAAAAAAAAAUCAAGAAUUAAACAAAUUAUGGUUGCCAUCAGAGUGUAAAACAUAAAUAAUGCUGCAUAGAAUUAGCAAAGUCUAUAUAUAUAACUCUAAAACAUGAGUCUUUCUAGACUAGGUCUGAACAAAAAUAUCAUCAUGAUCUGUAAUCAAAAGAGGAAGUAACUUUGGUUCUUCCGGAAAGUUAUCUGAGCAUCUAAGGAAGCUCUAUUUUGAAGUCUUAAAAGAAUUUCCUGGUUCCUAACCCAUCUUGUGCUGCGAUCGAUUCGGUUUUCAAAGAACAUCACUUUGAGGGCUCUUGCUUUGGCAAUAACAAACCUGGCAAAGUUUAGCUCGCCCACCAGCCCUUCAUACGCUGUUAAUGUUACAGUCUUUAGAGGACAAUCAAGGGAAUCAAUGGUAUCUUGUGGCUCCCAGUAAUCUGAAACCUCAUAAUUUGCUGAAUUCAUGUGACAGCACUGCAACCCAAACAAAACAAAAAACAACAAAUAUUAAGCAGAUAUCAAGAUUCAGUUAAAUUACAGAGCGUGCAAAUUUAAGUCAUAUCAAAACUCUCAUGCAAGCAAAUACCAGAAUAUGGGAGGCAAGGAAAGCAUCUCAACAAGCCGGCGAGCACCUUCACUUGUUCAUGAACAGAGAAGUUUACUUCAAUAGUUAGGUUCUUAAGACUAAGCACCGGUGUACUCCAGCUAACUUGUGUUAUGUGAGGUAACAUCUGACAAUUCAGAGAUCCAGAGAAUUGGUGGAGGAAAUUAUUAACUAAAUAAAUGAAUUAGUUCAUGAAACAGUAGCUCUACACUACAAACAUUGGCUACAAGAGGCACAAGGGAAUAUUAAAGACGUACCUCGAAGACAGUGUUGCCGAGCUCGAGCUUUUCAAUCUGCGCUGUCAAAUAGUGCAAGAUCUCAAGCUUUGGCGCACUGAUAACCUUCAGCCACUGGCGCAAGGCCAAACGCCUCCCAAACAAACGUUCGAGAUUGGGUGCGUCCUCAAUGAACAGUUCUUUCAGGUCUUCGCAGUAUCUAACCUCCAACGUUUGAAGGCUCUGAGAGCGGACAUGGAUCCGGCGAAGUCUGGUUACGUGCGAAAGCGACAAGCUUUGCAGCGCGGUGCAGCAUGAUAACACGCUGCGCAAGGCACCGUCUGUUACUUCCGCUGUAUCAAGAAUCAGUUUGUGAAGGUUGAUAAGAUUCAAGCAAGCCUCGGUGGUGCAAGGAAACCGGCAAUUCACCAAUUCCAUGGUCCUCAGAGAUUCACAGGCAAGAAGGGAGGCUGGUAUGUCAGGCUCCUUAACAGGAUACACGUAGGGGAAAUGUAGCAUGAGCUCUUGAAUGUUCUUUUCGGCCAGGAUGCGGAACCAGCCGUCCACGCGGGAUUUUCGGCCUCGGAAGCAGGUGUGGGCUAGGCGGAAAGUGUCGAUGCAGCCGCGGUGGGAGGCGAGGAUGCGGCUGAUGGUCUGGACGCGCCGCCGGUCCUCAUCGCAGGUCGACGAUGAAGGGCCUGUGCCCCUGCCAAAUCUUCGGCGUUGGGAGGUAUUUGCACUGCAGAUGGAGGAGUCGUCGAGGUGGAGGGGGGACGUGCUCCAGAUGUGGCGCCACCGCGACGAGAGGAGGCUGGUCCUUGCCGCUUCUCCGGUUGGCAAGUAGGAUAUAAUGAUGGAAAGCAGGCAGUCUGGAAGCUCGUUGAUGCGAUUUGCGUCGUCAGAGGAUUCCAUCUCCCUACUAAUUCUCUCCUUCGUCACGUUCUCCUCCGCCAUGACGUUCUCCUCCGCCUUGAACCCUGAUACAGCCGUCAAUCCUAGCUAGUUAUACCUCUACUAUAUAUAUAUAUAUAUAUAUAUAUAUGCGUGUUUGGUUGGAAGCCGUAAUCGGAAUUGGAAUUGGAAUCGAACUGGAAUCCUAAUAGGAAUGUCUCGUUAUCUAAUUCUACUUGGUUCAUCAUUUGAAUCGGAAUCGGAAUCGGAAUAAAUCAUUUUCAUUAUCGAUAUUUGGUUCAGAUAAAUAUAAAAAACGUAAUCAGAUUGAUAUAUUAACUUUAUCUUUAUCUUUAUAAUAUAUUACUUUAAAUUUAAAUUAAUAUUAAAUAUUAAAAUUUUACAUCAAAUUUUGAAAUGAUGUUAAAGUUUUAAAUCUAUUUUUUUAAAAAAAAUUAAACUUUGAAGUUAGUGGAUAAUUUGAAAUAUAAAAAUAAAUUUCGAUUUAUUCAAAUUCAAAUUAAAUUAUAAUUUAAUUUUAAUUUGAAUUUUAAUUUAAUUUGUAAGUUUUAAAUAUAAUUUGGAAUCAAACUUAUAUAGUAUAUUUAUAUAUUAUAUAUAUAUAUAUAUAUUAUAUAUAUAUACAUAUAUAUAUAAUAUAGAUAUAUAUUUCUUUAAUUCAUUCCUCAUAUUUGUGAUAGUGUUCUAAGCUUAAUCCAUUCUUAAAUUUUGUACACGCUUUGCACCUAUAGAUGCUUCGUGCUUUCUAUGUUUUUGAUUUUGGUACACGUGGACCCGUCAUGGGUCUCAAAAGGAGAAAUUAUAUAAGUAUCUCUUAAAUGAGUGCAGUUUAAGAUAACAAGAAAAGAAACAGUGCAACAAGAAGAAAAACAGUGCAACAAGAGAAGAAUCCGAGAAGAAAAGAAAAGAAAAAAGCAAAAAAAACCUCUGUUCCUUUUCUUUCUCUCCCUUCAUUUUUUUCUCUCUUCUUUUCUUUUUUCUUCGCUAUAUUUUUCUCCUCCGCAGUGCUCGUCCUCCCCAUCGUCGCCACGACCUCUGCCUCGCCUGCACCUCGUGCUGCGCCGCCGACUCCGGCCGCCGCUUCUCGAGUGGCGCCGCCGACUCCGGCCGCCGCUUCUCCGACGACGCCCUCGCCGUCGCCCCCUCCUCCGCUGUCGACUCCGACGACGAGGUCCUCAGCGUCGGCGUCAUCGUCGUCGUCGUCGAGCACCCGCGUCCCCGCUGCGGCCCUCUCCUGCCGGAUAGGCAUAGCCCUAGAUAGGGCAGCACUGUCGUGGGCUGCGAGGCUUCACGGCGACACGCGCGAUACGGGACUGCGAAGCUCCCCGUCCGCGGCGCGGCCUCCACCGUCAUCGGAGAUGGUGGAGGAGAGUCGGAGAAGAAAAGAAAAGAAAAGAAAAAAGAAAAAAAAAUGUCGCGGCGCGGCCUCGGCGGGAUCGGAGGCGAGGAAGGUGGGGGAUGCGUGGGCGAGGGCGAGGGCGAGGGCGAGACCAUGAGGGUGAGAGGCCUCCGCCUCUGCCUUCGCUUUUUUUUCGGCGAAAAAAAAAGAACGAGAGAAACGAAGAGGAGAGAGAAAGAGGAAAGAGAAAAAAUAAUAAGGGUAUUUUGGUCAGUUUGCUGAAAAAGCGGACCGAAUUUGCAAAAAUAAAUAAAGUGAUCCGGUUUUGCAAAAGCCCAAAAUAAGUGAAUUUUUUAUGCAAAAAGGCCUUAUAAAUAUAAUAAUCCUAUAAAAUUCAACUUUUACAUAUUAUCUCUCUCCUAAUAUUUUUAAAUAUAUUCUUCUGAUUUGUUACCGCUAAAGUACUAUUUAUUUUAUAAGUGAAAUGACUUUUUUUUGUCAUCACAAAUAUGUUCCUUUAAAAAUUUCAACGGUUGAUUAAAGAGGGGUAAAAAGGUUAAUUCGAUUCAUUAAUUAACUAGGAUUAAGCAUUUUACAUAUAGUUAACUAGUUUUUUCUAAUGGAUCCUAAAGGUCGAAAUAUAUUUAAAAAAUUUCAGGACUUUUGCAGAGAUAAUAUAUGAAAGUUGAACUUUAUAGAGAUAUGUGUAUAAUUUACUAUAUUUGCAGGGUCUAUAUAUAUAUAAAAAAUUAAUCCAAAUAAAAAAGAAGGUGGGUUUUGUAUCCUUGAACGCACCAAGCAACGUCUGGUUUGGAUGUUUGGGCCGGGCCGGCCCAUAAUGAUCCGCGCCGUAACCGGCUCAUUUUUAAUUAUUUUGUUAUUUUUUAAAAUUUUAAAUCUUUUAAUCUUGUAUUUUAAAUGCUUUUAGUAUUAGUUUUGCAGAAUACAUUCAUCAAAAUAAGUCCCAACCAUGAGUGCAGUCGAGAUGUUGAGAUAUUCUCUUCUUUUAUCGGACCACCACUGUCUAGUGCAGUUGGUUGGUAGCUCUCUUGCCAAUCAAUAAAUUUCAACUAAAACUAAAAAAAAUAAAAUAAAAUAAAAGCUUCAUAAGGUGUUUGCGGCUAAUUUNCUCAUAUUGGUGAUCCACGUGUCAUCCUAAGCUUAAUCCAUUCUUAAAUUUUGUACACGCUUUGCACCUAUUGAUGCUUCGUGCUUUCUAUGUUUUUGAUUUUGGUACACGUGGAUCCGUCAUGGGUCUCAAAAGGAGAAAUUAUAUAAGUAUCUCUUAAAUGAGUGCAGUUUAAGAUAAAAAAUACUGUAACAAGAGGAGAAAUGGUACAAUAAGAAGAGAAACAGUGCAACAAGAAGAAAAACAGUGCAACAAGAGGAGAAUCCGAAAAGAAAAGAAAAGAAAAAAGCAAAAAAAACCUCUGUUCCUUUGCUUUCUCUCCCUUCAUUUUUUUCUCUCUUCUUUUCUUUUUUCUUCGCUAUAUUUUUCUCCUCCGCAGCGCUCGUCCUCCCCAUCGUCGCCAUGACCGCUGCCUCGCCUGCGCCUCGUGCUGCGCCGCCGACUCCGACCGCCGCUUCUCGGGUGGCGCCGCCGACUCCGGCCGCCGCUUCUCCGACGACGCCCUCGCCUUCGCCCCCUCCUCCGCUGUCGACUCCGACGACGAGGUCCUCAGCGUCGGCGUCGUCGUCGUCGAGCACCCGCGUCCCCGCCGCGGCGCUCUCCUGCAGGAUAGGCAUAGCCCUAGAUAGGGCGGCACUGUCAUGGGCUGCGAGGCUUCGCGGCGGCACGCGCGAUACGGGAUUGCGAAGCUCCCCGUCCGCGGCGCGGCCUCCACCGUCAUCGGAGACGGUGGAGGAGAGUCGGAGAAGAAAAGAAAAGAAAAAAGAAAAAAAAAUGUCGCGGCGCGGCCUCGGCGGGAUCGGAGGCGAGGAAGGUGGGGGAUGCGUGGGCGAGGGCGAGGGCGAGACCAUGAGGGUGAGAGGCUUCCGCCUCUGCCUUCGCUUUUUUUUCGGCGAAAAAAAAAGAACGAGAGAAACGAAGAGAAGAGAGAAAGAGGAAAGAGAAAAAAUAAUAAGGGUAUUUUGGUCACUUUGCUGAAAAAACGGACCGAAUCUGCAAAAAUAAAAAAAGUGAUCUGGUUUUGCAAAAGCCCAAAAUAAGUAGAUUUUUUAUGCAAAAAGGCCUUAUAAAUGUAAUAAUCCUAUAAAAUUCAACUUUUACAUAUUAUCUCUCUCCUAAUAUUUUUAAAUAUAUUCUUCUGAUUUGUUACCGCUAAAGUACUAUUUAUUUUAUAAGUGAAAUGACUUUUUUUGUCAUCACAAAUAUGUUCCUUUAAAAAUUUCAACGGUUAAUUAAAGAGGGAUAAAAAGGUUAAUUCAAUUCAUUAAUUACCUAGGAUUAAGCAUUUUACAUAUAGUUAAAGAUCCUAAAGGUCGAAAUAUAUUUAAAAAAUUGCAGGACUUUUGCAGAGAUAAUAUAUGAAAGUUGAACUUUAUAGAGAUAUGUGUAUAAUUCACUAUAUUUGCAGGGUCUAUAUAUAUAAAAUUAAUCCAAAUAAAAAAAGGUGGGUUUUGUAUCCUUGAACGCACCAAGCAACGUCUGGUUUGGAUGUUUGGGCCGGGUCGGCCCAUAAUGAUCCGCGCCGUAACCGGCUCAUUUUUAAUUAUUUUGUUAUUUUGUAAAAUUUUAAAUCUUUUAAUCUUGUAUUUUAAAUGCUUUUAGUAUUAGUUUUGCAGAAUACAUUCAUCAAAAUAAGUCCCAACCAUGAGUGCAAUCGAGAUGUUGAGAUAUUCUCUUCUUUUAUCGGACCACCACUGUCUAGUGCAGUUGGUUGGUAGCUCUCUUGCCAAUCAAUAAAUUUCAACUAAAACUAAAAAAAAUAAAAUAAAAUAAAAGCUUCAUAAGGUGUUUGCGGCUAAUUUCGACAAAAUUCGUACUUCUUUAGCUAAAACUAAGUAAAGUUCUUACAUUUGAGAGAAUCAAUCAAUGGUUUUUUUUUUUUUAAAUAAAAUUCCCAACUCAUUUGAGUAAAAUAGCUACAGACAAAAUAAAUAAAAGCUAAGGAGUAUCACUAAAAAAAAUUUUUAAAAAAAUGAAGGUCAGUAAAUCAAUUUCAAAAUGGCCUAAUAUGACAGCUAUUUUAAAAUAUGGGCCUGUUUGCCUAGCUUUUGAAAAAGUGUUUUUUGAAAAAGUGAUUUUGGUUUGGAGAAAUGAUUUUGGUUAAAAGUUGUAGAGCGUUUGACUGAGUUUAGAUAAAAGUGAUUUUUCUGAAGUGAUUUUGAAAAACUGUUUGGNAAAGGAUCAGGACAUUCGGCUCCUAACACAAUCCCCACUAAGCCCCUCACAAACACUCAAAUAGCAAACUGCACUAAAAACAGUUUACUGCACUACGUACCUGUACUCGAAUUGGAGUACCGGUACCCGGCACCCAGACUCGCAAAACCCGAGCCUCGAUCAAUUGGGUUAAUCGAGUUAAAAUUUAAAAUUUGAAAAAAAUUUAAAAUAAUUAUGAAAUUUAAAAUACCAAAUUUAAAAUUUAAAUUCAAAAAUAUAAAUAAUUAUGAAUUUUAAAAUAUAAAAUUUUAAUAUUUAAAAAUAUAAAUUUAAAUUUUAAAUUUUAAAUUUUAAAUUUAAAAUUUAAAAUUUGAAAUUUUAAAUUUAAAUAUUUACAUAUUUAAAAUUUAAUUUUUAAAAUUUUAUAAUUUGAAGAUUAAAUUUUAUCUUAAAUUUGAAAAUUUAAAAUUUAAAAUUUGAGAUUUGAAAUUUAAAUUUAAAAUUAAAAUUUUAAAAUUUAAAUUUUGAAAUCUAUUUUUUAAAAUUUAAAUUUUAAAGUUAAAAUUUUAAAAUUUAAAAUAAAUUUGAAAAUUAAAAUUUAAAAUUAAAUUUAAAUUUAAAUAUUUAACUUAAAAUUAAAAUAAAAAUUUGAAAUUUGAGUCGGAAAUUAGAAUCAGUUUUCAAGAAGCAGCUUUUUUCAGCUUCUGAUUCUGGGCCUUCAAAAUCAAUUUUCUGAUUCUGAGAAACAGAAUCAGAUUUUAGAAAUGAGGUUGUCAAACGCUCUAUUGGGCCGAAAAUCAUUUUUCAACUCAAAAGCGCUUUUUAAAAGAUAGGCCGAACACCCCUAUAACUUAGUGCUGUUAGUGGGUAUCACCAGAAUGAACUGUGAGAAAUAUUAGUGGGGAGCAGUGGUUUUAAUUAUUGUUAUCAGAAAAUUCCAAGGAUGGGUUACAUAAAUUAUGAAGCAAUCACCAAAAAUAUUUUAGUUGAAUAUUUUAAGUGAUUNUCAGACCCUUCAAUAUUUCUUCGAAAAUGUCAAAUCAAAUCCGACGGCCGAACAGAUCCGUGCCACCGUCAACAACUUCGCUGAUGACAUCUACAGCAUCGUCGGUUUGAUACUUUCGAAAGAAGAAGGGAGGGGAAUCUUUGAUUCCCCGUUUCUUCGGACCCUUCAAUAUUUCUUCGAAAAUGUCAAAUCAAAUUCAACGGCCGAACAGAUCCGUGCCACCGUCAACAACUUCGCCGACAACAUCUACAGCAUCGCCGGGAAAGUAUCGCCAGAAGAGGGGAGGGGAAUCUUUGAUUUCCCGUUUCUUCGGACCCCAAAUCGAAUUGGAAAAUCAAAUCCAAAUUGGAAUCAAAACGGGAAUUUCUUCGGACCCCAAAUCUAAUGGCAAAAUCAAUAGGGGAUUUCUUCGGACCCCAAAUCAAAUUGCAAAUCAAGUCUAUACACGAACUUAAACUGCAAAUUAAGUUCAUAUGCGAACCCAAAUUGCAAAUUAAGUUCACCUACAAACCCAAAUAAAAUCCGAACCCAUUCCACACAUAAAACCAAAACCCAAACCCAAAUAAAAUCCAAACCCAUUCCCCAAAUAAAACCAAAACCCAAACCCAAAUCAAACACAAACCCAACCCAAAUCAAGUCCACAAAUAAAAUCCGAACCCAUUCCACACAUAAAACCAAAACCCAAACCCAAAUAAAAUCCAAACCCACUCCACACAUAAAACUAAAACCCAAACCCAAAUCAAAUCCAAACCAAACCAAACCUAGCCCACAAAUAAACCCACAAAUAAACUCAAACUCGAACCCAAAUAAAUCCAAACCCAAACCAAACCUAGUCCACAAAUAAACCCACAAAUAAAUCCAAACUUGAACCCAAAUAAACCCAAACCUAAAUCAAGUCAAGUUCAAACCCAAACAAAACCCAAAACCCAAAUAAACCCAAACCUAAAUCAAGUCAAGUUCAAACCCAAACAAAACCCAAAAAUCCAAAUAAAUCCAAACCAAACCAAGUCCACAUACAAAGCCAAACGGCCCAAACCUAACCAAACUAAGUCCAAAUAAACAUCCAACCCAAAACUAAAAUAAACCGAAACCAAACCAAGUCCACAUAAAGAACCCCAAACCCAUUCCAGAAUCAAAUCCAAACCCAAACCAAACCAAGUCCACAUAUAAAACCAAACCUCAUGGACCAAAUCCCAUGAACCAAAACCAAACAUCAUGGACCAAAUCCCAUGAACCAAAACCAAAUCUCAUGGACCAAAUCCCAUGA